AACAAAGCAAAUUUGACGUACCAACACUAGGAGACUCAGAUUUCUCUGCAUUUACAGCAGGUUGGCUGUUGAUGGUAAGGAAACCCUUUGAGUUCAUCUUCACCAACUGAUCAUCAAUUGUAGUUGUCUCGGGUUGAAGACCAUCUAACUCAGACCAGUGGGCUGUCUUUUAAGUUUCCUUCACAGUAGUUACGACUCUGGUAGGUGAGAAGGUUGGGUANACAAAAACUAUUCGACUACUUUAGAAAGUUUGGUUUGUAAGUGGGACACUUAACCUAGUUCGGACUAAAAGUUAGUUACUUAACUUAUCUAGUUNNNNNNNNNNNNNNNNNNNNNNNNNNNNNNNNNNNNNNNNNNNNNNNNNNNNNNNNNNNNNNNNNNNNNNNNNNNNNNNNNNNNNNNNNNNNNNNNNNNNUUGGAGUCGUGUCCUGAUAGGACACUUGUAUCCUAGGCCUCUCAUAUAUAACGGGGGUAGACACACGAUGUAACCUAUGACCAACAUAAUAGCACAAGCGUGCAGGGGGAGCCGGCGGUGUGUGCCGGCGCCCGGGUGGCCAGCGUGCGGUAUUGUGACGGUGUCACAGGGAGGAGCGCCCGUAGUCAGGCCCCGGGGAUGUAGCCAUAUCGGUAGAACCUCGUUAACAAAUCUCAGUGUCGUGCUACGUGUGAUUGCUUGGUCCUCGGUAGAUCAACGAAUUGCCUCGGAUUAUUCUAACAAUUACUUUGAUGCUGCACUUAUUUUUUAGUGUGCGGAUAGGCAUGAGAAGCAAACAAACAGGAUAGUGCGAGACUCGUUACGAUUCAAAGUAGAGUAAGUAGUAGUAGGUUAGGUACGACACCUACGUAGUACGUACGUACUACGAGUARKAAGAAAARUAAAAACUAAACUAACCUUACGUUAGGUAGUAAGUACGAAACUAAMUACUAAUACGUACGUACUACCUASUWCGNNNNNNNNNNNNNNNNNNNNNNNNNNNNNNNNNNNNNNNNNNNNNNNNNNNNNNNNNNNNNNNNNNNNNNNNNNNNNNNNNNNNNNNNNNNNNNNNNNNNAUGAUUUCAUAUCCUUGUAAUUCUCUUCGAGUUAUGGGUUUCUUUUAGCCAACUUGAUCUAUAAUUCUUGCAAUCGGAGAAGUGUUUGGUUUUGGGUUCAUACCGUGCGGUGUCCUCACCUAGUGAUAGAAGGGGUAGCGAGGCACGCAGGUCGUGKUGUUGCCAUCAAGGGUAAAAAGAUAGAGUUUAUAUCAUAUUGCAUGAAUUUAUCCCUCUACAUCAUGUCAUCUUGCUUAAGGCGUUACUCCGUUUGUUAUGAACUUAAUACACUAGAUGCAUGCUGGAUAGUGGUCGAUGUGUGGAGUAAUAGUAGUACAUGCAGAAAGUAUCGGUCUACUUGUCUCGAACGUGAUGCCUAUAUGUAUGAUCAUUGCCUUAGAUAUCGUCAUGACUUUGNGCGAUUCUAGCUAUCGACCCGAUAGUUAUUUCGUACCACCCGUAACGUUAAUUACGUUGACUUAUCAGUAGGAAGAAGAACGUCCUACGUUAGGUACGAAACCUACGUUAGGUCCGGGGUCCCCGGUUAUUACGUUACCUUAACACUUNNNNNNNNNNNNNNNNNNNNNNNNNNNNNNNNNNNNNNNNNNNNNNNNNNNNNNNNNNNNNNNNNNNNNNNNNNNNNNNNNNNNNNNNNNNNNNNNNNNNGGUUACGUUAAGGUUAGGUUUACGAAACUUUACGUAAACCCAACAACCCUCGUAAAGGAACGUUAAGUAAUUACGUAGUACGNGAAAGGUAAGUACAGUAGCAAGGUAGUAGUGAGUAGCGAACAAGUAGCACGGUAAACGUAAGCAGCAGCAACAAUCAGUAGUGAUAGAGUAACAGUAGCAGCAGUGCAACAGUAGCAACGGAGUACCAGUAGCAGNAAUGACAGUAGUAGCGGCAAAGUAAYAUAGCAAGGACCAGUAGGAAAAACUUGUAGGCAUUGGAUCGGUGAUGGAUGAUUAUGCUGGAUGGUAUUCAUCAUGCAACAGUUAUAACACGGAGAGAUAUGUAACUAGCUCUAGUUGGUCAAUGUAAUGUAGGCAUGUCUUCUGUAUGUAGUCAUACGUGCUUAGGGAAAAGAACUUGCAUGCCAUCUAUUGUCCAUCCCUCCCGUGGCAGCGGGGUCCUAAUGGAAACUACGGGAUAUUAAGUUUCUCCUUUUAAUAGGAGAACCGGACCAACGCAUUAACACUUAGUGAAUACAUGAACUCCUUAUACUAUGGUCAUUUCCGGGUAGUGGUUCCGGCUAUUGUCACUCCGGAGUUGCUGGGUCAUAACACAGUAGUAGGUGACUAUAACUUGCAAGAUAGGAUCAAGAACACACAUAUAUUGACGAGAACAUAAUAGGUUCAGAUCUGAAAUCAUGGUCACUUCGGGGCCCUAGUGACAAGCUAUUAAGCAUGGGCAAAGUAGUAGCAACAGUCAAUCUCCGAGAACUAGUAGUAGGACUUACCGUAAGGGUNUACCAAACUCCGUUCGGUACUAAUAAAAGUUUAAAACCNNNNNNNNNNNNNNNNNNNNNNNNNNNNNNNNNNNNNNNNNNNNNNNNNNNNNNNNNNNNNNNNNNNNNNNNNNNNNNNNNNNNNNNNNNNNNNNNNNNNGUACAUUUACCUUCCUACGGUCGUCCUACGCAAACUUACUUCUACGAUGUUGAGUUUCUAUCUGGAGACCUGACGUGCAGAAGUGAUUAGUUCAAUUUCUUCUACCACCCACAUCUGAAGGCGUGGCAAAGAAUUCAUCAUCCUGUGAGCACCAUAUGAGAAAGGGGGCAUUGAAGCUAAUGCACUUCUCUUYACAGUAGGGGGUUAGAGUACUCAAAUGAAUAGGCAGAGCAAUWCUUUGAGGAUCUAUGAACAUAAUGAUUUGAGGUAUAAUGCUCAUAUUCAUAUCCCUUGUAAUUUCCGUGCAUAUCAAAAUCAUUAGCACGAGUACGAGUAUAGUUUUGACCAGUUGAGGAUGUUGAUCCUCUUGAAGACUUUGGUCCACCUGAGGAAUUUGAUCUGGGUUUCAGGUUCUUCAUAGGUGGUGUCAUGAGGACAUUCACCCUCAAGUACUUUUCCCAGGUCCUAACGUUUUGGGGGACCCCAGGAUUUCCUCCCCCGAGGGGGUUGGUCCCAUUUCCCGUGGUAAAGUUUACGGUUACCCAANNNNNNNNNNNNNNNNNNNNNNNNNNNNNNNNNNNNNNNNNNNNNNNNNNNNNNNNNNNNNNNNNNNNNNNNNNNNNNNNNNNNNNNNNNNNNNNNNNNNCCUAUAGCGAACUUUACCACCGUUACCCGUUUUCCUAUGACAUGUGGCCUUCAUUUUCAUUUUUUCCUAUUGCACUGAUCGGAAGAUAGCUAGCGACGAUGUUUCAACGGUCAUAUUGCUAAGCUAGAUCGUUGCACAUCCCGGUACACUGCCGGAGGCAUUUCAUAUAGAGUCAUUAUUGUUCUAAGUAUUGAGUUGUAAGUAAAUAAAAAGUGUGACUGAUCAUCAUUAUUAGAGCAUUGUCCCAUGUGAGGAAAUAAAAAAAAGAGGCCAAAGAUGCCCACCAAAAAAAUGAAAAAAAGAGGCCAAAGAGCCCAAACAAAAAAACUGAGAAGAAAAGAGAGAAGGGACAAUGCUACUAUCUUUUCCACACUUGUGCUUACAAAAUAGCACCACAUUCUUCAUGAUAGAGAGUCUAUUGUUUUGUCACUUUCAUAUACUAGUGAGUAAUUUUCAUUAUAUAACUUGGCUUGUAUAUUCCAAUGAUGGGCUUUCCUACUAAAAUUCGCCCUUAGGGUUCUUCGGUUGAGACGAAGCGUAAGGUUUGGGGUGGACCGUAACCCCUAACGUUUAGGUUUUUUCCUUUUUUGGAAGGUUCCCUUUUUACAUUUAACCGUAACCUUUUAAGUUAACGGUUUUACCGUUAAGGUUCGGUACCUAACUUUCCCGGGUUUACGUCCGUAACGUUNNNNNNNNNNNNNNNNNNNNNNNNNNNNNNNNNNNNNNNNNNNNNNNNNNNNNNNNNNNNNNNNNNNNNNNNNNNNNNNNNNNNNNNNNNNNNNNNNNNNGGGAAGCGUACCUAUUUAGUGACGGGUUUCUGUGUUUACCACUACAAUAGCAGUUUCAGUAUUUGGGGCAGGAGCAUUUUCUUCAUUUUGAGCAUUUUCAUCAAGUUGAGGAUUUUCCUCAACUUAAGGAAUUUGCUUGUUGUAGGAGGCAGUUGUAGCAUUAGUCGCUGCAUUAUCUGCACCUGAUUCUUGAGCAGAUUCCUCACGGAAGGUCUUCCCAUCAGAUCCUGUGAGGAUUUCUGUUGCAGCAGGAGUAGGAGGGAUUUGAGUUGACCUUGGUGAGUGAUGAGUUUCUUCCCGAAAGUCAUCAUGAAUAACUGGAGUGGUGCACCAGUUCAUCAUCACCCACAUUUCAUCAGAGGUCUUUGAGUAUGGUAGGUUGAGGAAUAUCAUACAAUUUGUAUUUCCUCUACUCCAUGUAUUUAUUCUAACUUCAGCUAAUCCUUCUACUUUCCUACACUUCUAACUUCCUUACGUAAGGUAAUACGGUAACGUUACGUACCGUAACCGUUACCCGGGAAACGGGUAACCGNNNNNNNNNNNNNNNNNNNNNNNNNNNNNNNNNNNNNNNNNNNNNNNNNNNNNNNNNNNNNNNNNNNNNNNNNNNNNNNNNNNNNNNNNNNNNNNNNNNNAAAGUUAAGGAAGGGACCGGGGUUCCCGUUUUCGGGAACGGGUAAAGGGUUUAAAAGGUUUAAAGGUACAAACUUUUGGUCAAUUAUACUACCGUUACGUUGGGCUUUCGUGUAAACGUAAAGAAUGGACACGUNACUACUAGAUACCCANAGCACCCACGUAAAACAAUGCAACACCACUAUUAGAGGACGACCUAACUUGUUUUUGUCAGGGUAUGCAUGUGAUAUGAUAUGGCAAAUACAUGAUAUGAUAUAUUGGAUGUAUGAGAUGAUCAUGUUGUAAUAGUUAAAUAUCGACUUGCACGUCGAUGCUACGUCAACCGGCAGGAGCCAUAGGGUUAUCUUUAAACUAAAGUUUGUGCUUGUAGAUGUCGUUUACUAUAUUGCUAGGUAGUARCUUUAGUAGUAAUAGCAUAGAUAGCACGACAACCUCGACGGCAACACAUGAUGGAGAUCAGUGGUGUGGCGCCGGUGACGAUGAAGAUCAUCGACCGUAGUUGUUUUGCUAGGUAGUUAGGAGUAACUACGAAGGAACGACAACGUAAGUACNNNNNNNNNNNNNNNNNNNNNNNNNNNNNNNNNNNNNNNNNNNNNNNNNNNNNNNNNNNNNNNNNNNNNNNNNNNNNNNNNNNNNNNNNNNNNNNNNNNNCGGUACGAACGGUACCGACCCGAACCCGUACCUUACCGUCCGUUACCUAGUUACUAACGUGUUCCAACGUCCUUUAGGUCCUUUAAAAGGGUACGGUUUUAACCUACCGGUUUUUCCGUUUUAAACGUUUGAAACCUUAAAUUAACCGAACCUUUAAGGACGUUAGGUCCGWYGUUAUGAMCUUARKACACUAGWURCAUGCUGGAUAGUGGUCGAUGUGUGGAGUAAUAGUAGUACAUGCAGAAAGUAAUCGGUCUACUUGUCUCGAACGUGAUGCCUAUAUGUAUGAUCAUUGCCUUAGAUAUCGUCAUGACUUUGUGCGAUUCUAGCAAUUGCCCGACAGUAAUUUGUUCACCCACCGUAAUACUUGCUAUCAUGAGAGAAGCCUCUAGUGAACACUAUGGGCCCGGGUCUAUCUUACACAUUAUAUAUUCAGAUCUACAUACAAAAAUACCAAAAAUACCUUGCUGCACUUUUAUUUAUAUUUACCUUUCAUCACUAUCAGAUCUCACCUUGCAAGUAAUCGUGAAGGGAUUGACGACCCCUUUAUCGURUUGGGUGCUAAGUUUGUUUGUUUUGAGCAGGUUUAUUGGUCCCUCAUCUUGAUACUCUAUUGGAUUGAUCCUUGGUUUCAAAUGAGGGUAAUACUUAUAUUCUACUUUGUGUCAUCCUACCCUUUCCUCUUACGAAACGGGGUAAAAACCAACCGGCUAAGACCUUCAAACGAAGGUUAACGACUAAAACCGUGNNNNNNNNNNNNNNNNNNNNNNNNNNNNNNNNNNNNNNNNNNNNNNNNNNNNNNNNNNNNNNNNNNNNNNNNNNNNNNNNNNNNNNNNNNNNNNNNNNNNUACCUGUAACCCAUACUCCUNUAAAAAUUUUAGUCACUAGAAUCUUAAGCAAAAAACGAACAGCUACGAAUCUGCCAGUACCUACCGGAUGUUGGAAAUAUGCCCUAGAGGCAAUAAUAAAAUAGUUAUUAUUAUAUUUGUUGUUUCAAAUAAUCGUUUAUUAUCCAUGCUAUAAUUAUAUUGAAUGGAAACAUAAAUGCAUGUGUGGAUAUAUAGAAAAAACAAUGUCCCUAGUAAGUCUCUAGUUGACUAGCAUGUUGGUCAAGGAUGGUUAAGGUUUCCUAGCCAUAGACAAGUGUUGUUACUUGAUGACGGGAUCACAUCAUUAGGAGAAUGAUGUGAUGGACAAGACACAAAGUAUAAACGUAGCAUAUGAUCGUGUCAUUUUGUUGCUAUUGUUUUAUGCAUGUCAAGUAUUCAUUCCUAUGACCAUGAGAUCAUGUAACUCACUGACACCGGAGGAAUGCCUUGUGUGUAUCAAAUGUCACAACGUUACUCGGUGACUAUAAAGGUACUCUACAGGCAUCUCCGAAGGUGCCCGUUGAGUUAGCUAUGGAUCAAGACUGUGAUUUUUCACUCCAUGUGACGUAGAGGUAUCUCGGGGCCCACUAGGUAAUACAACAUCACAAAAGCCUUGCAAGCAAUGUANACUAAAGUAUUAGUGACGGGUAUCUUGUAUUACACGAAGAAGUAAANNNNNNNNNNNNNNNNNNNNNNNNNNNNNNNNNNNNNNNNNNNNNNNNNNNNNNNNNNNNNNNNNNNNNNNNNNNNNNNNNNNNNNNNNNNNNNNNNNNNUCUCUGUCAUACGCCAUGCUAGAUCGUUGCACAUCCCGAUACACUACCGGAGGCAUUCCUAUGGAGUCAUCAUUAUUAGAGCAUUGUAUCAUGUGAGGAAAUAAAAAAAGGCCAAAGAGCCCAAAAAAAGACGAAGAAAAAAAAGAAGAAGGCCUAAGAGCCCAAAUGAAWAAAAGAGAAAAGGAGAGAAGGGACAAUGCUACUAUCUUUUUCCACACUUGUGCUUCAUGAUAGCACCAUGUUCUUCAUGAUUGAGAGCUUCUUGCUUCGUCACCACCAUAUGCUAGUGGGAAUCUUCAUUAUAUAACUUGGCUUGUAUAUUCCAAUAAUGGGCUUCCUCAAAAUUGCCCUAGGUCUUCGUGAGCAAGCAAGUUGGAUGCACACCCACUAGUUCUCCUUUUGAGCUUUCACAUACUUAUAGCUCUAGUGCAUCUUUUGUAUGGCAAUCCCUACUCAUUCACAUUGAUAUCUAUUAAUGGGCAUCUCCAUAGCCCUUUGAUACACCGAGUCAAUGWGACGSAUCUCCUUCUUUUUGUCUCACAACCACCAACACACUCUAUUCCACCUAUAGUGCUAUAUCCAUGGCUCACGCUCAUGUAUUGCGUGAUAGUUAAUAAAAGUUUGAAGAAAGUAAGAGUGUAAGAAAACAANNNNNNNNNNNNNNNNNNNNNNNNNNNNNNNNNNNNNNNNNNNNNNNNNNNNNNNNNNNNNNNNNNNNNNNNNNNNNNNNNNNNNNNNNNNNNNNNNNNNGUUUCUACACUCUUACUUCUCAACUUUUUAUAACUAUCACGCAAUACAUGAGCGUGAGCCAUGGAUAUAGCACUAUGGGUGGAAUAGAGUGUGUUGGUGGUUGUGAGACAAAAAGAGGAGAUGGUCACAUUGACUCGGUGUAUCAAAGGGCUAUGGAGAUGCCCAUUAAUAGAUAUCAAUGUGAAUGAGUAGGGAUUGCCAUACAAAAGAUGCACUAGAGCUAUAAGUAUGUGAAAGCUCAAAAGGAGAACUAGUGGGUGUGCAUCCAACUUGCUUGCUCACGAAGACCUAGGGCAAUUUUGAGGAAGCCCAUUAUUGGAAUAUACAAGCCAAGUUAUAUAAUGAAGAUUCCCACUAGCAUAUGGUGGUGACGAAGCAAGAAGCUCUCAAUCAUGAAGAACAGUGGUGCUAUCAUGAAGCACAAGUGUAGGAAAAGAUAGUACGCUAUUCGUCCCUUCUCCUUCCUUUUCCUUCUUUUUUUUACAGUUUCGGGCCUUCGUUAGGUCCCUUCUUUCGUUUUUUUUUCUUUCCGUUCGUUUUUUUUNNNNNNNNNNNNNNNNNNNNNNNNNNNNNNNNNNNNNNNNNNNNNNNNNNNNNNNNNNNNNNNNNNNNNNNNNNNNNNNNNNNNNNNNNNNNNNNNNNNNACUUAUAUUCCUAAGCUUCAUUUCGUAACCAAGAUAUGGCAUGCUCAUGUGGAGAAAAUGAGCAGCACCUCCUCAAGUUCAUUUCUGGCUGUAUCAUGGCUUUGAACAAGCAAGUAGUAUCUACCCUCAUUGUUUGAACUCAAACUUUGUAGUAUUGAAGUCCUUCCAUGCCUAGCACUGCUAGACAUAAUUUCUCUCCAAGGAUCCCCACCUAAGACCCCCUGUUGUCAGCUCUAUGUUUGCUGUUAGGAACUUUGCAGCAGUCAAGGCUAGUUCAAACCGACUCCACUAGUUGCCAAACUCCAGCGUUUCCUUUCUGCAUGUAUGCCUUCCAUGCUGGACAGGUUUCACUGCCAUUGCAAACCUGUGGGCAUGGGUGGCCGUGGUGACCACCACCCUGACCUGCAAACUGGGUGCUCUGCACCUAGUUUCCUCCCCUCCGACCGUUUCUUGGCGAGGCAGGUUGUCUCAGUGUGUCUCAGAGCAUCCUUUGACCGUUCCAAGCCACUCCCAAUCNNNNNNNNNNNNNNNNNNNNNNNNNNNNNNNNNNNNNNNNNNNNNNNNNNNNNNNNNNNNNNNNNNNNNNNNNNNNNNNNNNNNNNNNNNNNNNNNNNNNGAGGAACGACCGGACCCGAACUCCCGGACCUUCCUUARWCWWARGGAAARGWWUWGCCUUUGAAAGGAAAUUGAUUGCUGAUGGAUCAUACUGGAAACUUGAGCAGUAUCUCAAAACCUUAUGGGUUGCUGCUUGUGACAUCCUCGACUUUUGCUACAGUGAUUAUUGUAAUUAAGCUACAGUGAUCAACCGCUAACGAUGCCACGUCAUCGAAUUCCCAUCUCAGACCCGCGUUGAUUCGCGUCUGUCCGGAUUAAAAGAUUUGGAAACAAAAGAAAAGUACCUUAUAAGUUCAUUACGAAUAUUAAAAGAAUAGGGAUAUGAAAGAUAGGAUUAAAAGUACGUAUAAUAAUUUGUAAAAGAAAAUAUAAUAAGAGAAAGWGUUUCAAAAGAAAAAUUCAAAUAGUAAAUUAAAUAAUAAAAGAAAGAAAAGAAAACUGAAAGAAAGAAAUGAUAAAAGGGAAAAGGUAAAACAAAAUAAAAACAAAUCAAAAAGAAAAGAAAAAAGAGAAAGCAACUCCCUCCCCGGCCCAGCUGGGCCACCCACCGGCCGAGCCGGCCACCUCCCGCAACCCUAAUCCCCCCUGGCGACCCCCACUCCCCUCGCUACUMCCUCCCCCCCCCCCCUGUCCGCCGCCGCCAGCCCCCCUCGUGGSGGGGGCCCSMCCCSACCCSACCGCCGCCGCMUCGCCGCCACCUCCCCACCUCCCUCCUCCGUCGUACCCUCCCCACCCCACCCGACCAACCUACCCCUUCCGNNNNNNNNNNNNNNNNNNNNNNNNNNNNNNNNNNNNNNNNNNNNNNNNNNNNNNNNNNNNNNNNNNNNNNNNNNNNNNNNNNNNNNNNNNNNNNNNNNNNUAUUUGGCAUAUCACUUAUUCUUCUUGAAAAAAAACUUAAAGAGGGAGAUAGAUAAGGCAUCACUUGAAGAACUCUUGAAAGAAACACCAGUAUGAAUUUGGAAUGAAAGAGGAUACUACAAAUGAACUGGGGUGCAUGAGAACAAAAGAGAAAGAUUUGAUUAGAGAAUGCUUGAACAAGGCACCGGUAAGAAGUUCACGAAAUGAAUGAGGAUGCCAAGAAUGAAUGGAGAUACAAGAGAACAAGGAGAUCAUGAUCCUCUUGAGAGAAAACUUGAACAAGGCACUGGGAUAAUUGAGAGACGAACGAAGAGAUAACAAUUGAGAAGAAUGAUGAACUGAAACCUGUGAAAAUCUUCACAAUGAAUCAUUUGGUUACGUAUAUAGAAUAAAAAAAAUAACAAACGANAACAAAUAGAAACAAAAAACGGACACGUUUAAGUAAGGAAAAAUUUAGAAAUUCAACUUUAGGUAAUAAGGUAAGGGGUAGGGGAGGGGACGGNNNNNNNNNNNNNNNNNNNNNNNNNNNNNNNNNNNNNNNNNNNNNNNNNNNNNNNNNNNNNNNNNNNNNNNNNNNNNNNNNNNNNNNNNNNNNNNNNNNNAUCGUCUCCUUAUAUCUUUUAGAGCACGGCGGUGCGUGAUUUGGUAGUUGUCUUAUGCUAUGAAAGUAGUACCAAAGGUGAUAGAUACCCAAAGAGGAUGCAAAAAACCUCCAUCUUCGUGUGCAUUGAGUAGAAAGAGAAGUUUUGAUUCCUCUCAAAUAGUUUUGAGACAUGGAUUUGGUAAUAUUAAGAGUUAUGUUAGUAGGGUGUUGUGAAUCUAGAAAUACUUGUGUUGAAGUUAGUGAUUCCCGUAGCAUGCACGUAUGGUGAACCGCUAUGUUAGGAAGUCAGAGCAUAAUUGAUCUAUCGAUUGUCAUCCUUUGUGUUGAGGUCGGGAUCGCGCGAUGGUUAACACCUACCAACCCUUYCCCUCGGAGUAUGCGUUUAGCACUUUGGUUUCGUACUUACUAAUAAAACGUUUUGCAACAAGGUAUGGUGAACGUUCGUUCUAUAGGACUAAUGUGACGCCCUAGUGGUAUAGAUCGCACUUUACACCUUCCACCUAUUGCUAGCCUCUCUAGUNNNNNNNNNNNNNNNNNNNNNNNNNNNNNNNNNNNNNNNNNNNNNNNNNNNNNNNNNNNNNNNNNNNNNNNNNNNNNNNNNNNNNNNNNNNNNNNNNNNNUAUAUUUCUUAUAGAAAUAUUCCAAAAGCUUGAAAUAGGCAGGAAUGGUUUUGGAGGGGUUUGCCCAAUAUUUUGAACAUGACCAUGUGUUGAAACUCAUAAAUAUGGAAUAAAUAUUUCCACUGAGUUUCCCUAAAUUUUCUGAAAUAUUUUGAAGGCAACAAAAAAUAACUUUCCUUCAUAGGAGACCAUUUCUGGCCUCAUAGAAGGGCUUUUAAAUAAAAUAAUAAAAUAACUUUAAAAUAAUAAUAUGGUGGUUUUGGAAGACACUUUGAUAAUGGGUUUGAAAUAAAUAAUUGAUGCAAAAUAAAUUCCCUAAUUUGAGGGCUUGUAGUACAAACCUCAUCUCUAAGGUUUUAGUAAAGUUUAACCCAAAAGAAAAUGGUCUUUUUGGUAGAAAAUAAUAUUUAGGUAAAAGUAGAUUAUUUGUUCUAAACACAUGGCAUGAUCAGUUAGGCAGGAGAUCAUAGGGAAUGGACGAUGUGAGUUAGGAGAAUCGGCGAAAGUAUUAAAGUGGGGAAUNNNNNNNNNNNNNNNNNNNNNNNNNNNNNNNNNNNNNNNNNNNNNNNNNNNNNNNNNNNNNNNNNNNNNNNNNNNNNNNNNNNNNNNNNNNNNNNNNNNNUCUAUGUCAAGGAUCACGCAAUYCCGUAUACCAUUCACUUGUCCUUCGGUAUGUUAUUUGCCCGAGAUUCGAUCGUCGGCAUCUCCAUACCUAUUUCAAUAUCGUUACCGGCAAGUCUCUUUACUUGUUCCGUAAUACACGAUCCCGUGACUAAAUCUUUAGUCACAUUGCUUGCAAGGCUUGUUUGUGAUGUUGUAUUACCGAGUAGGCCCCGAGAUACCUCUCCGUCACACGGAGUGACAAAUCCCAAUCUUGAUCCAUGCUAACUCAACGAACACCUUCGGAGAUGCCUGUAGAGUACCUCUAUAGUCACCUAGUAACGUUGCAAUGUUUGAUACACACAAGGCAUUCCUCCGGUGUCAGUGAGUUACAUGAUCUCAUGGUCAUAGGAAUGAAUACUUGACAUGCAAGAAAACAAUAGCAACAAAAUGACACGAUCAUAUGCUACAUUUAUAGUUUGGGUCUUGUCCAUCACAUCAUUCUCCUAAUGAUGUGAUCCUGUCAUCAAGUAACACACUUGUCUAGUGGACUAACGGUAAACCUUAACCACUUACCUUCGGAACCAACGAGGUCCUAAGUACAAACCGUAGACGUAACUUACGUAAGGGACUUAGUUUGUUUUGUACUAUAUACUACCNNNNNNNNNNNNNNNNNNNNNNNNNNNNNNNNNNNNNNNNNNNNNNNNNNNNNNNNNNNNNNNNNNNNNNNNNNNNNNNNNNNNNNNNNNNNNNNNNNNNUAGUAAAAGCUUUAUUUUGUUCAUAAGCAUGGGGUGAAUUUAUCAUGGAUUGCAACAAAAGAAAUACAAUCAACCAAAGAGAAACUAUCAUAAUUAAAGUCUUGGUAAUCCAAAAUAGUGGGCACAUCACUAGUUAAAAGUUUUGACCUCUUUAAACCCACUUUUAUCAAUUUUCUCAACAAGGUUUUCACCCUCCGAAUCAUAGGGACGCCUUCUAACUAAAUAUGACUCUUCUCUAGUYCCCUUUUUCAUCKAAUAUUAUUUUUACUAAACAAAGAAUCAAUAGAUAGAAACACCAAUCAUUUUAAGAUCUUCAUCACUUUUAUGAAAGUAAUCACUAGAAAACGCUCUUUACUAAAAAUUCUCUUUUAGCUCUAAGCAUAGUGGUUCUUUUCUUACUUUCAUCCCUAGAAACAUAAAGAGAUUUAAUUGAUUCWUCAACUUUAGGCACACAAAAAUUCAUCUUGAGAGUUUCUACAUCAUGAGAAACUCUAUCAAUACUUCUAGACAAAUCAUCAACUUUAUUCAACUUUUUUUCUAUCGAAGUAUUGAAAGCUUUUUGAGUAUUGAUAAAUUAUUUAAUAUUGUUCUANNNNNNNNNNNNNNNNNNNNNNNNNNNNNNNNNNNNNNNNNNNNNNNNNNNNNNNNNNNNNNNNNNNNNNNNNNNNNNNNNNNNNNNNNNNNNNNNNNNNUGUGGAUAGAGAGACACAAUUUUGCUUCUUCGAGUACCAACUUACCAAGGAGCAUCCAAGAAAUUGACAUGCCCGAGAGGUAGACAUCAUUCCCACCUCAUCUCUGUCCCAAUCUGCAUCCGUGUACCCAACGAGAUCAAACUUGGCAUCCUUGKGGUACCAUAGACCCAACUUUGUGGUGUGAACAAGGUAUCUAAGAAUAUGCUUAACCGCCUUAUAAUGACAUUAACUAGGGGAAGCUUGAAAUCUUGCACACAUGCCUACACUUAACAUGAUGUCCGGUCUAGAUGCACAAAGAUAAAGAAAAGGACCAAUCAUAGAGCGGUAAAUAGAUGGGUCAAAUGGGAUAUUGUUUGUAUCUUUGUUAAACAACUAAGUUUGGUUAGCAUCGGUGUCUUACAUGGACUUGCAUUUGUCAUACUGAACUUCUUAGGAAGGUCCUUGAGAUAUUUGGUUUGGGACAAGAAACAUCCUUCUAGAAUUGUUGAAUUCGAAAACCGAGAAAGACUUCAAGUCCGCAUUGUGUGACNNNNNNNNNNNNNNNNNNNNNNNNNNNNNNNNNNNNNNNNNNNNNNNNNNNNNNNNNNNNNNNNNNNNNNNNNNNNNNNNNNNNNNNNNNNNNNNNNNNNUACAAGAGAGAGAAGAACCAUCUAACUACUAGCUAUGGACCCGAAGGUACUGUGGUGAACUACUCACGCAUCAUCGGAGAGGCAAUGGUGUUGAUGAAGAAGGCCACCGGAGAUGGGUCCCCCUCCGGCAGGGUGCCGAAACGGGCUCCCGAUUKGUUUUUGGUGGCUACAGAGGCUUGCGGCGGCGGAACUUCUAGAUAUAGGUUUCUUUUUGGGCGUUUCUGUAUUUAUAGGAAUUUAUGGCGGUGGAAUUACGUCAGUUGGGCCCACGAGGAGGUCACGAGCCUGCUAGGCCCUCCUAGGAGGGUAGGGCGCACCUACCGGGCUCGUGACUAACUCGUGGCUCUUCUGGCCUUCUUCCAAAGCUUCGAGGGUCUCUUWUGGUCCAAAAAAAUCAUCGCAAAAGUUUUAUUCCAUUUGGACUCCGUUUGAUAUUCCUAACUGAAAAAGGUCAAAAACAAGGAAAAAACAGGAACUGGCACUGGGCUCUAGGUGAAUAGGUUAGUCCCCAAAAAUGAUAUAAAAUGGCAUAUAAAUGUAUAUAAGACAUCCAAGUUAAUAAUGUAAUAGCAUGGAACAAUCAAAAAUUAUAGGAUACGUUGGAGACGUAUCAAGCAUCCCAAGCUUAAACUCCUAGCUCGUCCUCGAGUAGGAAGUGAUAAGUCCGAAUUUUGAUGCGGAAUNNNNNNNNNNNNNNNNNNNNNNNNNNNNNNNNNNNNNNNNNNNNNNNNNNNNNNNNNNNNNNNNNNNNNNNNNNNNNNNNNNNNNNNNNNNNNNNNNNNNUCUCUCCACAAGCUACAUCAAGUUCACAUAAAUACAACAAUAUACAAUCAUCAUGAAAAAGAGCAGGGUUCGACUAUGGACGAAAAUAAAUGAUAAAAGAACGACGUCCAUCCUUGCUAUCCUAGGUUGCCGGCGUGGAACCCAUCCUAGAUCGAUGAUGAUGAAGAAGAAGAAACUCCAAAAGCACAAUCAUCGCGCUCACAACAUAAUAUCACAUUACUUGUACUUGCAAUUGGUGUUGUAGUAAUUUGGGAGCCACAGGAACUCAGCAAUUUCAUUUCCAAAGGUAUCGAGACUAACAAAGCUUAAUUGGUGAGGCUGCAGCUAGCGACCAAGCAUUUAUUUGAGGUGGCUAACUUACGAGUACAAAAAUAGAGGGGUGAUCUACGCAUAUCGGAAGUGAACUAAUAAUGAUCAAGUGAAUGAUCGUGAACCCUACUUACGUCAGACAUAACCUCACCAUGUACUCGAUCGGAGAAGGAGCUCAAGAAAGAGACAGUCACAGUUACACACUUAGUUGGCUAAGUUUUUAAUUAAGUUUACUUCAAGCUAUCUAGAACUGGAUGUAAACAAGUUCAGUUNCCANAUACCGCGGCAUGANNNNNNNNNNNNNNNNNNNNNNNNNNNNNNNNNNNNNNNNNNNNNNNNNNNNNNNNNNNNNNNNNNNNNNNNNNNNNNNNNNNNNNNNNNNNNNNNNNNNUUUUCGCUUUGGGUCUUUCGUGAUAAUGGAUGGGUCAAAAUUCGGUUGUGCAAAGACAUCUAGCCAGAUAGUUCCACUCUCCGAGAAAAAUAUCCAGCCUUGUACACCAUUGCUCGCGAUAAGAAUAAUUCCAUUGUGUAGGUGCUCUCUGCUCAGAUCAUCUCCCCCGAACAUUCGUUCAUGCGAGAUUUGAUUGGUCCCCGACUUAUGGCAUAAUCUUUWWUCUCGACUAGAUGUGAUUAUUCUAACACAAGGUCGGGAUGUGUUUUGCUAGAACCUUACUACAUCGGGGUCKUUCUACAAAACUACUAUGUAAUGUGCGCUAACUAAUUCUGGAUACCGUGAAUAAUAACAAGAAAUUAGGAGGUCGAAGAUUCCACUAAAAGUAAAACUACUUCAUGUGGUAUCUUCAUAGGGGAGGUGGUGCUAAAGACAAUCUCGCACGGUACAACUAGUAAGGGAGUAAGAACUUUUUUGUUACUCAUGAUGAGACAAUUAAGCACCUCCUUUUACAAUGCAUGUUUGCAAGCUCUGUGUGCUUAGUUUGGUUANNNNNNNNNNNNNNNNNNNNNNNNNNNNNNNNNNNNNNNNNNNNNNNNNNNNNNNNNNNNNNNNNNNNNNNNNNNNNNNNNNNNNNNNNNNNNNNNNNNNAACCUCAGUGCCAAGGAUUCAUNUAAUCCCGUAUGUCAUUCUCUUUGUCCUUCGGUAUGUUACUUGCCCGAGAUUCGAUCUUCAGUAUCCGCAUACCUAUUUCAAUAUCGUUUACCGGCAAGUCUCUUUACUCGUUCCGUAAUACAAGAUCCCGCAACUUACACUAAGUCACAUUGCUUGCAAGGCUUGUGUGUGAUGUUGUAUUACCGAGUGGGCCCCGAGAUACCUCUUCGUCACACGGAGUGACAAAUCCCAGUCUCGAUCCAUACUAACUCAACUAACACCUUCGGAGAUACCUGUAGAGCAUCUUUAUAGUCACCCAGUUACGUUGCGACGUUUGAUACACACAAAGCAUUCCUCCGGUGUCAGUGAGUUAUAUGAUCUCAUGGUCAUAGGAACAAAUACUUGACACGCAGAAAACAGUAGACAAACAAAAUGACACGAUCAACAUGCUACGUCUAUUAGKUUGGGUCUAGUCCAUCACAUGAUUCUCCUAAUGACGUGAUACAGUUAUCAAGCAACAACACCUUGUUCAUAAUCAACGACGUAACCCUCGUACUUAACUUCCUUUUGAACUAUAAACCGUUGGGACCUUAACCGGUCUAACUUUACCGUUAANNNNNNNNNNNNNNNNNNNNNNNNNNNNNNNNNNNNNNNNNNNNNNNNNNNNNNNNNNNNNNNNNNNNNNNNNNNNNNNNNNNNNNNNNNNNNNNNNNNNGGAGUCCUUCCUUCCCUUUCCCACCUCCUUCCUUUUUUCUUCUUUGUAUUUCUUCGUAUGGCGCAUAGGGCCUUCUUGGGUUUGUCCUUCAGUAUGUUACUUGUCCGAGAUCGAUCGUCAGUAUCCGCAUACCUAUUCAAUCUCGUUUACCGGCAAGUAUCUUUACUCGUUCCGUAAUACAAGAUCCCGCAACUUACACUAAGUCACAUUGCUUGCAAGGCUUGUGUGUGAUGUUGUAUUACCGAGUGGGCCCCGAGAUACCUCUCCGUCACACGGAGUGACAAAUCCCAGUCUCGAUCCAUACUAACUCAACUAACACCUUCGGAGAUACCUGUAGAGCAUCUUUAUAGUCACCCAGUUACGUUGCGACGUUUGAUACACACAAAGCAUUCCUCCGGUGUCAGUGAGUUAUAUGAUCUCAUGGUCAUAGGAACAAAUACUUGACACGCAGAAAACAGUAGCAACAAAAUGACACGAUCAACAUGCUACGUCUAUUAGUUUGGGUCUAGUCCAUCACGUGAUUCUCCUAAUGACGUGAUCCAGUUAUCAAGCAACAACACCUUGUUCAUAAUCAGAAGACCCUGACUAUCUUUGAUCAACUGGCUAGCCAUCUAGAGGCUUGCUAGGGACAAUGUUUUGUCUAUGUAUCCACACAUGUAUAUAAGUCUUCAUUCAAUACAAUUAUAGCAUGGAUAAUAAACGAUUAUCAUGAACUAAGAAAUAUAAUAAUAACUAAUUUAUUAUUGCCUCUAGGGCAUAUUMCAACAGUCUCCCACUUGCACUAGAGUCAAUAAUCUAGUUCACANNNNNNNNNNNNNNNNNNNNNNNNNNNNNNNNNNNNNNNNNNNNNNNNNNNNNNNNNNNNNNNNNNNNNNNNNNNNNNNNNNNNNNNNNNNNNNNNNNNNUGAGGAAGGUUUCCUCCUCCAAUUCAGUUUGGAGGAGGAGUCCUUUCCUUCUUGCCCACCUCCUCUCUCUUUUUGUUUCGUUCUUUUCCUUUAUUGUUGACUUAGCCGAAAUAGGCUUAUUGGGCUGACCUCACCAGCCCACUAAGGGCUGGUGUGCCACCCAUGGGCCUAUUAGGUUCUCUCCCGGGUGGGUGGCCCCUCCCGGUAAAACCCCGAACCCAUUCGUCACUCCCGGUACUUUACCGGUAAUGCCCGAAAUCUUUCUGGAAGUCAAAUGCAACAAUCCUAUAUAUCAAUCUUCAUUUCUGGACCAUUCUGGAGACCCUUGUGAUGUCCGGGAUCUCAUCCGGGACUCCGAACAACAUUUGGUUACCAACAUCAAUAAUUCAACUAUUACCAAAACGUCACCGAACCUUAAGUGUGCAAACCCUGCGGGUUCAAGAACUAUGUAGACAUGACCGAGACACUCUCUGGCCAAUAUCAAAUAACGGGACCUGGACGUCCAUAUUGGAUCCUACAUAUUCACGAAGAUCUUAUCGGUUNNNNNNNNNNNNNNNNNNNNNNNNNNNNNNNNNNNNNNNNNNNNNNNNNNNNNNNNNNNNNNNNNNNNNNNNNNNNNNNNNNNNNNNNNNNNNNNNNNNNUACCUGCUUCUGUAUUGUUUGAUACAGGAGCAUCGCAUUCCUUUAUGUCGGAAAAUUUUGCAUACAUGCAUGACAUUAGGAGCGAAGAGAUGAACAUCCCGAUAGUGGUAAACACCCCUGGGGGCGAAUGCCGAACCUCUGUGGUUUGUCCCCAUGUUCCAGUUGAAAUUGAAGGAUUAGAAUUCCUUGCCAACCCCAUCCUACUAAAGUCAUCCAACAUCGAUCUCAUAUUGGGGAUGGACUGGUUGAAAGCUCAUACGGCGUCGAUCGUUUGUGCCACCAAAACCGUCCACCUCCUACACCCUUCAGAUGAACUAGUAAGCUACCAUGCUCAUCUCGUCCGUAAUGCUGAGGCACGGCUGUAUGCCUUGAAUGCAUUAAAUGCGUCGCCUCUUGAAGGGAUUGAAAACAUUCAAGUGGUCCGAGAAUUCCAAGAUGUCUUUCCAGAAGAACUUCCGGGGAUUCCCCCUGCUCGAGCUGUCGAGUUUGUCAUUGACUUGGUACCCGGUACCACUCCUAUUGCCAAGCGUCCUUAUAAAAUGCCACCACAUGAACUCCUUGAACUUAAGCAAGAAAUUGACAACUCGCUCCGUCUGGGUUUCAUCCGUCCGAGUUCCUCUGCUUGGGGAGCACCUUCUCUCUUUGUUAAGAAGAAGGAUGGGACAAAUCGAUUGGUUCAAGACUAUCGUCCUAUCAACCAGGCCACUAUUCAAAACAAAUAUCCUCUCCCGCGGAUAAAUGAUUUGUAUGAUCAACUUGCUGGUUCCACCGUUUUCUCUAAGCUCGAUUUGAGAUUGGGAUACCACCAGAUCCGUGUUCGCAAGGAGGAUAUUCCAAAGACCGCCUUUGUUACUCGAUAUGGAUCAUACGAGUACACCGUCAUGUCCUUCGGCUUAACCAAUGCACCGGCAACUUUCUCUCGAUUGAUGAAUUAUAUAUUCAUGGAUUACCUCGACAAAUUUGUCGUGGUAUAUCUGGAUGAUAUUCUGGUGUUUUCGAAGAACAAAGAAGAGCAUGCUGAACAUCUUCGUCUUGUACUGGAUAAGCUUCGGGAGCAUAAACUCUAUGCGAAGUAUUCCAAAUGUGAGUUCUGGCUAGACAAAGUGACUUACCUUGGUCAUGUGAUUUCCAAGGACGGUAUUGCGGUCAACCCCGAACGAAUUCAAGCUAUUCUUGACUGGACUCCCCCGAAGAAUGUCAAGCAAGUCAGAAGCUUUCUCGGACUCGCCAGCUAUUGCCGUCGAUUCGUCGAGAACUUCUCCAAGAUUGCGAAGCCCUUAACCAACCUGCUUCACAAAGGUGUUAAGUAUGAAUGGACUGAUAAAUAUCAGGAAAGUUUCCAGGCACUCAAGGAUAAACUGACGUCCGCUCCAGUACUUGCUCCUCCAGAUACGAAAAGGGAUUUCGUCAUAUACUGUGAUGCUUCUCGUCAAGGAAUAGGUUGUGUCCUAAUGCAGGAUCGUAAGGUGAUCGCUUAUGCUUCACGUCAACUGCGUGCUCAUGAAGAGAACUACCCAGUUCAUGAUCUCGAGCUUGCCGCAGUCAUUCAUGCGUUGAAGGAAUGGCGACAAUACCUUGUCGGUAAUCGCUGUGAAAUCUACACCGACCAUCAAAGUCUGAAGUACUUGUUCACUCAACCGGAGCUGAACCUGCGUCAACAAAGAUGGAUGGAGCGUAUAGCAGAUUUUGACUGUAGUAUAUCAUAUACCCCUGGCAAGGCUAAUGUAAUGGCUGAUGCCUUAAGUCGCAAGUCAUACUGCAACCACCUCCAAGUGCAUCAGGUUCACGAUCGUCUGCAAGAGGAAUUCCGUAAGCUGAACCUCCACAUUGUUCCUGAGGGUUACCUUGUUACCCCUCCUGAAGAGUAUCAAAAGAUGAACCUUCGUGUUGUUAAUCAGGGUUCCCUCAGUAACCUAGUGGUUGAACCAGAUCUUGUGAGCUCCAUAAAGAAUAUACAAAACUUUGACGAUGAUGUCGACAGGAUUAAGAGCUAUAUUGCGAAGGGUAAACCCUCCUUUUUCACUGUUGAUGAAGGUGGCGCCUUGUAUUUCAAGGGUCGCCUAUUCGUUCCAAAUAAGAAGGAAAAUCUCAGGAUGACUGGGAAGGUGAUGGAAGAAGCUCAUGACACACCAUUGUCUAUUCACCCGGGUAGUCCAAGAUGUACCAAGACAUCCGGCAAAGAUUCUGGUGGCCCAAUAUGAAACAAGACAUUGCACGCUAUGUGGCAGAAUGUGAUAUAUGCCGGCGUAUCAAAGCAGAACACCAAAAGCCUGCUGGAACUCUGCAACCUAUCUCUAUUCCCGAGUGGAAAUGGGAUCACGUUGAAAUGGACUUCGUCACUGGUUUUCCCAGGUCUCAGAAAGGUAAUGAUGCUAUUCUUGUCGUCAUUGAUCGACUGUCCAAAGUUGCACAUUUCCUGGCCGUCAAAGAAACGAUUAAUGCUAGUCAGCUGGCAGAUCUUUAUAUGUCAAGAGUUGUUUCACUUCACGGUAUUCCGUUGGUAAUCAGUUCGGACCGUGGCAGCUUGUUUACUUCAAAAUUCUGGGAAUGUUUUCAGAAGGCUAUGGGGACUCAUCUGUCCUUCAGCACGGCAUUUCAUCCUCAAUCCCAGGGACAAGUUGAACGAGUCAACCAAAUUCUCGAGGACAUGCUUCGAGCUUGUGUCAUUUCUUUCGGUAAGAAAUGGGAGGAAUCUCUCCCGUAUGCCGAGUUCUCUUACAACAAUAGCUAUCAAGCUAGCCUGAAGAUGGCCCCUUUCGAAGUAUUGUAUGGGCGNNNNNNNNNNNNNNNNNNNNNNNNNNNNNNNNNNNNNNNNNNNNNNNNNNNNNNNNNNNNNNNNNNNNNNNNNNNNNNNNNNNNNNNNNNNNNNNNNNNNUCAUGACAUGUGCCUUCAUUUUCAUUUUUCCAUUGCAUGAUCGGAAGAUAGCUAGCGAGAUGUUUCAACGUCAUAUGCUAAGCUAGAUCGUUGCACAUCCCGGUACACUGCCGGAGGCAUUUCAUAUAGAGUCAUUAUUGUUCUAAGUAUUGAGUUGUAAGUAAAUAAAAGUGUGAUGAUCAUCAUUAUUAGAGCAUUGUCCCAUGUGAGGAAAUAAAAAAAAGAGGCCAAAGAUGCCCACCAAAAAAAUGAAAAAAAGAGGCCAAAGAGCCCAAACAAAAAAACUGAGAGAAAAAGAGAGAAGGGACAAUGCUACUAUCUUUUUCCACACUUGUGCUUCAAAAUAGCACCACAUUCUUCAUGAUAGAGAGUCUAUUGUUUUGUCACUUUCAUAUACUAGUGAGAAUUUUCAUUAUAUAACUUGGCUUGUAUAUUCCAAUGAUGGGCUUCCUCAAAAUUGCCCUAGGUCUUCGUGAGCAAGCAAGUUGGGUGGACACCCACUAGUUUUCUUUUUGAGCUUUCAUACACUUAUAGUUCUAGUGCAUCCGUUGCAUGGCAAUCCCUACUCAUUCACAUUGAUAUCUAUUGAUGGGCAUCUCCAUAACCCGAUGAUACGCCGAGUCGAUGUGACCAUCUCCUUCUUUUUGCCUCGCAACCUCCACCACACUCUAUUCCACCUAUAGUGCUAUAUCCAUGGCUCAUGCUCAUGUAUUGCGUGAGAGUUGAAAAGGUUAGAGAAAGUAAGAGUGCGAAAACAAUUACUUGUCCAAUACCGGGGUUGUCCAUGAUUUAAAUUCGUUGUUUGGGGAUGAUGGAGCAUAGCCAGACUAUAUGAUUUUGUAGGGAGAAAUUUCUUUGGCCUUGUUAUUUCAAAAGUUCAUGAUUACUUUGCUAGUAUGCUUGAAGUAUUAUUGUUUUCAUGUCAAUAUUAAACUAUUGUUUUGAAUCUUACGGAUCUGAACAUUCAUGCCACAAUAAAUAAGUUACAAAGAACAAAUAUGUUAGGUAGCAUUCCACAUCAAAAAUUCGGUCUUCAUCACUUCCCUACUCGAGGACGAACAGGAGUUAAGCUUGGGGAUGCUUGAUACGUCUCCAACGUAUCUAUAAUUUUUUAUUGUUCCACGCUAUUAUAUUAUCAACUUGGGAUGUUUUACAUGCAUUUAUAUGCCAUUUUAUAUCAUUUUUGGGACUAACCUAUUAACUCAGUGCCUAGUGCCAGUUUCUGUAUUUUCCGUGUUUUUGACAUUUUUCAGAAAAGAAUAUUAAACGGAGUCCAAACGGAAUAAAACCUGCGNNNNNNNNNNACAGAAGAUACCGAGAAGACUUGAGAACCAAGGAAGGAGGUCUCGUGGGAGGUCACGAGCCCCCUAGGUGUGCCCUAGGGGGGACGCGCCUAGCAGGCUUGUGGGCCCCCCUUUCCUCCUCUGCCCUACCUCUUUUGCCUAUAAAUUUCCAAAUAUCCCGAAACCACCAGAGGGAGCCACGAAAAUACUUUUUAACCGCCGCAAGCUUCUGUCUCCGCAAGAUCCCAUCUGGGGACCGUUCUGGUGCCCUGGCGAUGGGGGAUUCGGACACGGAGGGCUUCUUCAUCAACACCGUUGCCUCUCCGAUGAUGCGUGAGUAGUUCACCACAGACCUUUGGGUCCAUAGCUAGUAGCUAGAUGGCUUCCUCUCUCUCUUGGAUCUUCAAUACAAAGUUCUCCAUGAUCUUCAUGGAGAUCUAUCCGAUGUAACUUUCUUUUGCGGUGUGUUUGUCGAGAUCCGAUGAAUUGUGGAUAUAUGAUCAGAUUAUAUAUGAAUAUUAUUUGAGUCUUCUCUGAUUACUUAUAUGCAUGAUUUCAUAUCCUUGUAAUUCUCUUCGAGUUAUGGGUUUCUUUUAGCCAACUUGAUCUAUAAUUCUUGCAAUCGGAGAAGUGUUUGGUUUUGGGUUCAUACCGUGCGGUGUCCUCACCUAGUGAUAGAAGGGGUAGCGAGGCACGCAUCGUGUUGUUGCCAUCAAGGGUAAAAAGAUAGAGUUUAUAUCAUAUUGCAUGAAUUUAUCCCUCUACAUCAUGUCAUCUUGCUUAAGGCGUUACUCCGUUUGUUAUGAACUUAAUACACUAGAUGCAUGCUGGAUAGUGGUCGAUGUGUGGAGUAAUAGUAGUACAUGCAGAAAGUAUCGGUCUACUUGUCUCGAACGUGAUGCCUAUAUGUAUGAUCAUUGCCUUAGAUAUCGUCAUGACUUNNNNNNNNNNUGCGAUUCUAGCAAUUGCCCGACAGUAAUUUGUUCACCCACCGUAAUACUUGCUAUCAUGAGAGAAGCCUCUAGUGAACACUAUGGGCCCGGGUCUAUCUUACACAUUAUAUAUUCAGAUCUACAUACAAAAAUACCAAAAAUACCUUGCUGCACUUUUAUUUAUAUUUACCUUUCAUCACUAUCAGAUCUCACCUUGCAAGUAAUCGUGAAGGGAUUGACGACCCCUUUAUCGUGUUGGGUGCAAGUUUGUUUGUUUUUGAGCAGGUUUAUUGGUCCCUCAUCUUGAUACUCCUAUUGGAUUGAUACCUUGGUUUUCAAACUGAGGGAAAUACUUAUAUCUACUUUGUUGCAUCACCCUUUCCUCUUCAAGGGAAAAACCAACGCAAGCUCAAGAAGUAGCAAACUGCCAUGAAAAGCCGAGAUAAUCCUUUGUUUAAUUUUGGUGUUCCAUCCGAGCCAAAUCCUGCGAUGGAAGCGCAAAAUACCCUGCUGCAAGGAAAAAUGCCCCUUUGGGUCUUCCCUCAUGGCGAGUUGCUCCAGUAAGCGCUCGGCCUAGGGAUUGUUGACAUAGCUGUUGGCGACAUCUUGAGCCACGCUGGCUGGCACGACGUGAUGGUAGUCAGAGUGUCGGAGGGGUUAGCGCGCGAUAAGGCAUUAGCACCGGCAUUCUAAAUGCCUUUUUGUAGCGGAUGCAGUAAUGUAGACCGAGUAGUUUGGUGAAUUCCUUCUGCUGCCAAGGCAUUUUCAGUCGUUGUUCCUCCAAAUGAACUAGGCUUUUUUGGUGGGUGAGGAUGUCGAAUUCCACAUGCUGAAGGUAGGGCCACCAUUGAUUGAUAGACACAAUAAUUGGGAGGUACUCCUUCUCAUAAGUGGACAGGCCCUGAUAACGCAGACUGAGCGCCUUCUCAUGAAAGAAAACGAAUGCACGUUCUAUUGCAGAAUGGCCCCAAUGCCACGAUCGUUCGCGUCUAUCUCGACUGCGAAUGGUUGCUUGACAUUGGGUAGGGCCAGCAUAGGGGCUAAGACCAGUUGUUCCUUCAGCACUUGGAAUGCAGUUUCGAUGACGGGAGUCCAUAGAAAUGGGACCCCUUCCUUUAGCAGAUUGAACAGGAGUCGUGCGAUCACGCCGAAAUUCCUAACGAACCGGCGGUAGUACCCUGCGAGCCCCAGGAAGUUGUGGACUCCUUUGACGUCCGUGGGGGUUGUCCAAUUAACCACUGCAACAAUCUUGGAUGGCACGAUGGAGACGCCCUCGACACUGAUGGUGUGGACGAGGUACGAAAUCUCCUAUUGGCCAAAGGCACAUUUGCUUAGCUUGACAUUCCAGCAAUCCUUGCAAAGCGGUUGUAGAACCUUCCGCAGAUGGACGACAUGGUCAGGCAGAGACGCGUUGAAGACCAAGAUGUCAUCGAAUAAGGAGAGCACGCGCACACGGUUGAGAGGGUUCAGGUCCAUUGUCAUUGCGCCCAGAAAUUUCGUCGGUGCGCCUGCGAAGCCAAAUGAGACCACCAUUAACUCGAAGUAGCCUUGAUGGAUUGAAAUGCAGUUUUGUGCUCCUCUCCUGGUGCAAGACGGAUUUGGUGGUAACCUGCACGGAGAUCAAGUUUGGAAAACCAGACCGCGCCAUGUAGUUCGUCCAGAAGUUCCUAAAUCACUGGCACUGGGUACUUGGCGACCACUGUAAGUGCUUUGAUGUGUCUAUAAUCUAUGCACAAGCGCCAUGCCCCAUCCUUUUUCUUGAUGGGGAUGAGUGGCAAAGCGAAGGGACUGGUGUUGCAUUGAAUGAUACCUGAUCUGAGCAGUUCUUCAACUUGUGCUUUGAUUUCCGUUGUGUGCUCUGGCUUGUGACGAUAUGGCCUGAUGUUCACUGGUUGUGUACCCGGGAAAAGAGGUAUCCAAUGAUUGCUAGCUCGCCGGGCAUCACACAUGUGGGCGCGACGAAGACAUCUGGAAAGUCGUCGAUGACGCGUUGAAUGCAGUCUGGGGUUGGCGCUGAUGUUUCACUGGCUGUUGCGAUCACAUACAAAAGAAUUCUCGNNNNNNNNNNNNNNNNNNNNNNNNNNNNNNNNNNNNNNNNNNNNNNNNNNNNNNNNNNNNNNNNNNNNNNNNNNNNNNNNNNNNNNNNNNNNNNNNNNNNCUCGAAGACCAAGAUGCACAUGCAUUUUCAGGCUAUUGACAAUGAUCUCUCGUACAUUGUGGAACAUGGCAUUCCCUCCAUCGCUGCUACUGUCUCUACCGCUGAUGUGAAGAAAUUCAAGCAACUUGAUUCUCAAGCAAAGAAUAUCAUCUGUGGCCAUCUGAGCAAAUGUCAGUAUGGCAGAGUGAGUGCUUUGGGCACAGCGAAGCUUAUCGGGGAUAGGCUGUCCAAAGUCAAUGAAGGAAUUUCACCUCAGCGUGACUCUCGUGUUGAUGUUCUUCGCAAUCUCUUCAAUCGCUUCAAGAGGCUUCAUAAUGAAAGUUGACAAGACACCUUUGAUCGCCUCACUGACAUCUCAAAUGAACUGGGAGCUCAAGACAUCGUUGACCAUGAAGUUGUAAAGAAACUGCUAAGAUCUCUAGAUCCAUCAUUUGAUACACUCGUUCUGAUGAUUCAAGAAAGAGCAGACUAUAAGAUGCUUGAUCCUGCUGAUAUACUCGAAAGGCUCAAUACUCAUAAAAUCCAACAGGAAGAAAAGAGAGAUCUAUAUGGACCAAGCUACUCUGGACCUCGUGUGCUGAAGGCCAAAGCAAUUUCCUCAUCUGAAGAAGAAGACUCAGAUUGCAGCAUUGGUGAUCCUGAAGAAGUUGGACAGGAGCUUGCAAUGCUCGUGAGGAAAAUGCAGAAGUUUACAAGGGGUGGAGAGUUUGGUAAAUCUUCAAGAAGAGAUAUGAGGAAAUCAAAAUCUUCAUGUGAGGACUACAAGAAAAGAACCUGCCACAAAUGCAAGAAAUUUGGCCACUAUAUUGUUGAUUGUCCUCGCUGGCUGAAGGAAUCAAAGAAGAAGAAUUAUAAGGAUGAAAGUUCUGAUGACUCGAAGCAAAAUAAGAUAUCUUAAAAAUCCUCAUCCUAAAAGUCCUCAUUGCACAAGAAGACUAGUUUCAGAAAGGCUCGGGCACUCAUUGGCAAGGAAAUGGAUUCUGAGGAAGAAUAUGAGGAAUGUGAUGAAGAGGAAGGUUCUGAAGAAGACUCAGAGUCUGGUGUGGCAAGUCUUGCACUGGCUACCACAUUCUUCAACAAGUCAAUCUUCAACCUUGAAGAAAAUGACAACACUAUCUACACUGAUGACUAUGUUGAUGACUUCGCUCCAACCUAUUGCUUCAUGGCAAAAGGUUCAAAGGUACCGAAUGACACUUUCUCCUCUUAUUCAAGUGACUGUGAACCUGAUGAUUAUAAAAAACCCAGUUAUAGUAAACUUGCCAGCAUUGCAACUAAGCAACAAAGUGCCAUUGAAAAGCUUCAAAAACUGCUAGACAGAAGCGAUUAUCUGUUGAAUGACGAAAUGAAUCAUACACAAAUCUUCACUGAAGAUGUGAAAAGUCUUUAGUCUAGAUUUGAUAGUCUUCAAGAUCUUUAUGGCACACUCUUGGCUGAUCAUGAGAAACUUUCCUAUGAAUCUCUUCAAAGGAAACUUGAUCUUGAGAAUUUGAAGAUGUCUCAUGAUGAUAUUUGAAUGGAAAAUGAUUCAUUGCUUGCUCAACAGAUCAGUGCCACUCGGGUUGAAUUCACUCCACCAUGUCUCAAAUGCAUCGAGCGUGAAACUGCCAAUUCUUCACCAGAAUCAUCAAAUGCUUCUAUUGCUGCAAAUUCUUCAACUGCUCCUAUGGUAAAAAAUUCCGCACUUGAGGAAACCACAAACGUGACUGACGAAAAUGCACGGCUGAAGGAAUUGUAUGUGACAGGCAUGUACAAAAGUUUCAAAGGGCAUCAAACCCUUUGCGAUGUGCUCACAAAGCAGAUUUUGAACAGGAACUCGAGAACCUUUGCGAUGUGCUCAAAAAGCAAAUUUUGAGCAGGAACCGGAGACCCUUUGCGAUGUGCUCAAAAAGCAGAUUUUGAACAGGAACCCGAGGAAAGAAGGAAUUGCCUUUGAAAGGAAACAGAAUGUUGAUGGAUCAUACUGGAAACCUGAGCAGUAUCUCAAAACCUCAUGGGUUGCUACUAAAGGACCUCCUGUUGAUCAAUCCAAUCUAACAAGCUUUGCUUGUGAAUUAUCCUAUUCCUCACGAGUCAUUUGACUCCAACUAUAAAUUGUUCAGAACUCAAUCUGGUGAAGUAUUUGCUCGAUAUGUUGGAACUAACUUCAGGAAUGGACCACCCCUGGGGAGAAUCUGGGUCCCCAAAAGUUGCCUGGAAAAUCUUGAGGUGAAUGUCCUCAUGACACCACCUAUGAAGAACCUGAAACCCAGAUCAAAUUCCUCAGGUGGACCAAAGUCUUCAAGAGGAUCAACAUCCUCAACUGGUCAAAACUAUACUCGUACUCGUGCUAAUGAUUUUGAUAUGCACGGAAAUUACAAGGGAUAUGAAUAUGAGCAUUAUACCUCAAAUCAUUAUGUUCAUAGAUCCUCAAAGAAUUGCUCUGCCUAUUCAUUUGAGUACUCUAACCCCCUACUGUGAAGAGAAGUGCAUUAGCUUCAAUGCCCCCUUUCUCAUAUGGUGCUCACAGGAUGAUGAAUUCUUUGCCACGCCUUCAGAUGUGGGUGGUGAAGAAAUUGAACUAAUCACUUCUGCACGUCAGGUCUCCAGAUGAAAAUCAACAUCUGAAGAAUUUGCUGGAGACCUGAGGAAAAUGCUUGAAUGGACGCAAGCUAAAAUUGAUGAAAUGAUAACAUUUCACGCGUCCUCAAAUUUACUGUUUAUGAUGAAACUCCUAUCAAAUGAAAUUGAUAUCAUAUUCUUCAAGUCUAAAGCAUAUGAGAUGGUAAGUUGUACUAAUUCACUUACAGGAUGACAAACCCAAGAGUACUGAGUGGGUUCUUGAUAGUGGUUGCACAAACCACAUGACUGGUGAUAAAAGCUUGUUGAUGAAUAUGCCACUGACUCCAUCACCACUAAAGAAAAUCACUUACGCUGAUAAAGGUAAAAGCAAAGUAUUGGGACUUGGCAAACUGGCUAUCUCCAAGGACAGGCACAUGGACAAAGUCAUGCUUGUCGAAUCCCUUGGGUUUAACCUCAUGUCAGUCUCAAUUCUUUAUGAUCUUGAUAUGGUUAUUAUCUUUGGGAAAUAUAGAUGUGUAGUCAUCAUGGAAUCUAACAGAUCCAAAGUCUUUGAAGGCUUAAGUAGAGGAGAUUUGUACAUUGUUGAUUCUUUUCAUAGGUCCUCAACCAGCCACAUCCUUACUACCAAAAACCUCAAAAGGCUGGCUAUGGCAUCGAGACUUGGUCAUGCAGGCAUGAGGAAUUUGCACAUGCUAGCAAACAAGAAGCAUGCCAUUGCCAUCGAAUCGGUCAAAUUCCUCAAGGACCACCUCUACGGUGCUUGUGAGUCUGGAAAAAUGACCAGAUCCAAACACCCUCGGAGACAAUCAUGGCUACUACUCGUCUGUUUGAAUUACUUCACAUGGAUCUGUUUGGACCUACUCAUUAUGCUACUCUAACCAAUCCAGCAUCCUUAUAUGGCUUUGUCAUUCAAAGUGCAUUAUAUCGACUAGAGGGGGUGAAUAGGCGAUUUUUAGAAUUUCAUCACUGAGGAAAUUCCUCACUGAUGAAUAACGUGCAGCGGAAAUAGCGCAGGAUCAUAGGUGCAAAGAUUACAACUACAGUUUACUUGAUGAAGAUUAUGAGAAUUGGUUUGCACAGUAUGCAGGCACAGAAUAAGCACAUGAAGAUUAACUGAUAUGAAGAAUUUGAGUUUGAGGAAAUUCAGAGAAAUUCUUCAGCAAAUUCUUCAAACGGUGACAAUGAAAGUCUUCAACAUACAAUAUUGAGGAAUUGAAAGAGUUNNNNNNNNNNCGUAUCAUGAUGAAGACAGUUGUUGAUGACCCAGUUCCAACUGUUGUGACAGUUGUACGUCUGGUUUGGAGCGGCUUGGUAUUGAAACCAAAGGACAUACACUCCCGGGACACACGGUCCCUACAGUAUUCUCCUUGAGCUAAGGACACACAGUCCUCGCCCAACACUCAUGGUAAGUCUUCAGGGCAGACUUCCAAACCCUCACAAACUCGGUCACCCGGCGAUCCACAAAUGACUGUUGGAUGCUCUAGACCAUGACGCCUAACCGUCUGGAGGAUGCACAGUCCNNNNNNNNNNNNNNNNNNNNNNNNNNNNNNNNNNNNNNNNNNNNNNNNNNNNNNNNNNNNNNNNNNNNNNNNNNNNNNNNNNNNNNNNNNNNNNNNNNNNNNNNNNNNNNNNNNNNNNNNNNNNNNNNNNNNNNNNNNNNNNNNNNNGUUGGUUUGUUUGUUUGGUGUUUGGGGUAUUUCCUCACUGAUGAUUUACUCUCGAAGACUCUGAGGAAUUUGGGUUGCUCUAAAUGACAAGUGUUAGUUUCUCGCAGAGCAGCCAACCAACUAGUGGUUGCUAGGGGUGGCUAUUUAUAGCCUGAGAGCAUCCCGACAUGAUUUGACAUAAAUGCGCUUAAAUAUUGUGACCGUUGGUGUGGAUAAGAUCGGUGAGGUGGCGCGUGUCACGACAACGGUCGGAACUUUCAACUGUGAAAGUCCUCAUGUCUCUCAUAUUCCUCACUUGAGGAUUUUGUAGUAUUAGUCUUGGGUUGAGAAUCAUCAGGAAAUUCAUUCCGUAGUAUUAAUUCGACCCCCUUUAACAGUACGACGUUCCUAUGACUCAAGAGUAAAGAAAAUGAAACAUAAAGAGUAAAUCUUCACGCUUCAAAGUCUUCAGACUGAUUUUCUUCAGGACACACCGAAUUCCUCAUCUUCAAUAUCUUCAUGAGGAAUAUCAAUUUCAUCGCAAUUUCUUUGCGAUCAAAGUGUUCAAGAUUAGACCAAUUUCUUCAGUCGAAUACAUACAUUUUUAGGGGUCGAUAUUCAUCGUAUAACUCAAACUCCCCAACAACUUAUAGAGCUUGUGUACACUUAUAAACACAUUAGUUACUUAACCUAUAAGUCUUCAAANNNNNNNNNNGAUGCACUUACAGUCAUCGUCGAUGACUAUUCUCGAUACACUUGGGUACAUAUCAUUCUGUAUAAAACUGAAGUGCAGGAAGUCUUCAAACGAUUUUCCUCAGGAACAACUUCAAAAUGAAUUGCACGAACUAGCUGGUUGGCUGCUCCGCAAGAAACUGACACUUGUCAUUUAGAGCAACCCAAAUUCCUCAGGGUCUUCAAGAGUAAAUCAUCAAGUGAGGAAAUACCCCAAACACCAAAGCACAAACCAAAAACCAAGUGAUUGAGCAUCACUGAAGAAUUUGUUCCUGUGUGGAACUGAAGCCUUUUACCUUUGAGGACUGUGCAUCCUCCACACGGUUAGGCGUCAUGGUCUAGAGCAUCUAGCAGUCAAUUGUGGAUCGCCGGGUGACCGAGUUUGUGAGGGUUUGGAAGUCUGCCCCGAAGACUUACCGCGAGUGUUGGGCGAGGACUGUGUGUCCUUAGCUCAAGGAGAAUACAGUAGGGAUUAUGUGUCCCGGGACUGUGUGUCCUUUGGUUUCAAUACCAAGCCGCUCCAAACCAGACGUACGACUUUCACACCAGUUGGAACUGGGUCAUCAACAACUGUCUUCAUGGUGAUACGGGUUCUAUUUCUUCAACUCUUUCAAUUCCUCAAUAUUAUAUGUUGAAGACUUUCAUUGUCACUGUUUGAAGAAUUUGCUGAAGACUUUCUCUGAAUUUCCUCAACCUCAAAUUCUUCAUACCAGUUAAUCUUCACGUGCUUAUUCUGUGCCUACAUACUGUGCAAACCGAUUCUCAUAAUCUUCAUCAAGUAAAUUGCUGUUGUAAUCUUUGCACCUUUGAUCCUUCGGUAUUUCCGCUGCACGUUAUUCAUCAGUGAGGAAUUUCCUCAGCGAUGAAUUUCUAAAAAUCGCCUAUUCACCACUAUCUAAUCGAUAUAACGCACUUUCAAUUGGUAUCAGAGCAAGGUACCCUUGUUCUGUGUGAUUUUGGUUUAACCACCUGGAGUUUUAGUUUUGUCGACUGCAGGUAUGAUCAAGGUUACUGCAGGAUGUCCUACCUUCGAAGGAAAUGACUUCCCCUACUGAAAGACCAAGAUGCAGAUGCAUCUUCAGGCUAUUGACAAUGAUCUGUGGUACACUGUGGAACAUGACAUUCCCUCCAUCGCUGCUACUGUCUCUGUCGUUCAUGUGAAAAAUUCAAGCAACUUGAUUCUCAAGCGAAGAAUAUCAUCUGUGGUCAUCUAAGCAAAGGUCAGUAUGGCAGAGUAAGUGCUUUGGGCACAGCGAAGCUUAUCUGGGAUAGGCUGUCCAGAGUCAAUGAAGGAAUUUCAACUCAGCAUGACUCUCGUGUUGAUGUUCUUCGCAAUCUCUUCAAUCGCUUCAAGAGGCUUGACAAUGAAAGCUGCCAAGAUACCUUUGAUCGCCUCACUGACAUCAGAAAUGAACCACAAGCACUGGGAGCUCGAGACAUCACUGACCAUGAAGUUGUGAAGAAACUGCUAAGAUCUCUGGAUCCAUCAUUUGAUACAUUGGUUCUCAUGAUUCAAGAAAGAGCAGACUAUAAGAUGCUUGAUCCUGCUGAUAUACUGGAAAGACUCAAUACUCAUGAAUCCCAACAAGAAGAAAAGAUAGAUCUGUAUGGACCAAGCUACUCUAGACCUCGUGCGUUGAAGGCCAAAACAAUUUCCUCAUAUGAAGAAGAAGACUCAUAUUGUAGCAUUGGUGAUCCUGAAGAACUUGGUGAUCCUGAAGAACUUGGACAUGAGCUUGCAAUGCUCGUGAGAAAAUUCCAGAAGUUUACAAGGCGUGACCGGUUUGGUAAAUCUUUAAGAAGAGAUAUGAGGAAAUUAGAAUCUUCAUCUGAGGACUACAAGAAAAGAACCUGCCACAAAUGCAAGAAAUAUGGUCACUAUAUUGCUGAUUGUCCUUGCUGGGUGAAGGAAUCAAAGAAGAAGAAAUACACGGAUGAAAGUUCUAAUGACUCGAAGAAAAAGAAGAUAUCUUAAAAAUCCUCAUCCUCAAAGUCCUCAUCGCACAAGAAGACUAGUUUCAGAAAGGCUCGGGCACUCAUUGACAAGGAAAUGGAUUCUCAGGAAGAAUCUGAGGAAUGUGAUGAACAGGAAGGUUCUGAAUAAGACUCAGAGCUGGUGUGGCAAGUCUUGCACCGGCUACCACAUUUGUCAGCAAGUCAAUCUUCAGCCUUGACAAAAAUAAUAACGCUAUCUACACUGAUGACUAUGCUGAUGAGUUCGCUCCAACCUAUUGCUUCAUGGCAAAAGGUUCAAAGGUACUGAAUGACACUUGCUCCUCCGAUUCAAGUGACUCUGAACAUGAUGAUUAUAAAAAACCAGUUACAGUAAACUUGCUAAUGUUGCAACUAAACAACAACGUGCCAUUGAAAAGCUUCAAAAAUUGCUAGACAGAAGCGACGACCUGUUGAAUGAUGAAAUGAAUCAUACCCAAAUCCUCACUAAAGAUGUGGAAACUCUUCAGUCCAGAUUUGAUAGUCUCCAAGAUAGUUAUGGCACACUCUUGGCUGAUCAUGAGAAAAUUUCCUAUGAAUUUCAUCAAAGGAAACUUGAUCUUGAGAAGUUUAAGAUGUCUCAUGAUGAUCUUCGAAUGGAAAACGAUUCAUUACUUGCUCAACAGAUCAGUGCCGCUCAGGUUGAAUUCACUCCACCAUGUCUCAAAUGCAUCGAGCGUGAAACUGCCAAUUCUUCACCGGAAUCAUCAAAUGCUUCUAUUGCUACAAAUUCUUCAACUGCUCCAGUGGUAACAAAUUUCUCACUUGAGGAAAUCACAAAUUUUACUAACGAAAAUGCAGGUCUGAAGGAAUUGUAUGUGACAGGCAUGUACAAAAGUCUCAAAGGGCAUCACACCCUUUGCGAUGUGCUCAAAAAGCAGAUUUUGAACAUGAACCCAAGGGAAGAAGGAAUUGCCUUUGAAAGGAAAUUGAUUGCUGAUGGAUCAUACUGGAAACUUGAGCAGUAUCUCAAAACCUUAUGGGUUGCUGCUUGUGACAUCCUCGACUUUUGCUACAGUGAUUAUUGUAAUUAAGCUACAGUGAUCAACCGCUAACGAUGCCACGUCAUCGAAUUCCCAUCUCAGACCCGCGUUGAUUCGCGUCUGUCCGGAUUAAAAGAUUUGGAAACAAAAGAAAAGUACCUUAUAAGUUCAUUACGAAUAUUAAAAGAAUAGGGAUAUGAAAGAUAGGAUUAAAAGUACGUAUAAUAAUUUGUAAAAGAAAAUAUAAUAAGAGAAAGUGUUUCAAAAGAAAAAUUCAAAUAGUAAAUUAAAUAAUAAAAGAAAGAAAAGAAAACUGAAAGAAAGAAAUGAUAAAAGGGAAAAGGUAAAACAAAAUAAAAACAAAUCAAAAAGAAAAGAAAAAGAGAAAGCAACUCCCUCCCCGGCCCAGCUGGGCCACCNNNNNNNNNNNNNNNNNNNNNNNNNNNNNNNNNNNNNNNNNNNNNNNNNNNNNNNNNNNNNNNNNNNNNNNNNNNNNNNNNNNNNNNNNNNNNNNNNNNNGUAGCUUAAUUACAAUAAUCACUGUAGCAAAAGUCGAGGAUGUCACAAUUCUCCCCUACUAACAAGAAUUCUCGUCCCGAGAAUUAAGAGAUAGAUGGAAAGAGCCCGGGGUAUUCAUCACGAAGAUGAUCCUCGCGUUCCCAAGUGGCUUCAUCUUCAGAGUGAUUUGACCACUGCACCUUAAGGAACUUGGUGACCUUGCGACGAGUCUUACGUUCAGCUUGGUCGAGAAUGCGGACCGGAUGCUCUUUAUAAGAGAGGUCUUGUUGUAGCUCAAGCAUAUCGUGAUCCACUGCUCGAAUAGGGUCCUUGAAGCAGCGACGGAGCUGAGAAACAUGGAAGACAUNNNNNNNNNNNNNNNNNNNNNNNNNNNNNNNNNNNNNNNNNNNNNNNNNNNNNNNNNNNNNNNNNNNNNNNNNNNNNNNNNNNNNNNNNNNNNNNNNCGUGAACCUGAGAAAGGUUUGCCGGUAGUUCCAAUUGAUAAGCCACUCUUCCACGCCUUUCGAGAACAGUGAAAGGACCAAUAUAACGAGGAGCUAACUUGCCCUUGAUUCUGAAACGGUGUGCACCUCUCAUUGGUGUGACACGAAGAUAAGCCUUUUCGCCAGGUUGAUAGACCAUAUCUUGAUGAUGACGGUCAUACUGACUCUUCUGACGAGACUGAGCAGCCUUCAGAUUCUCAUGAAUAAUGCGGACUUGAUCUUCGGCAUGUUGAAUANNNNNNNNNNNNNNNNNNNNNNNNNNNNNNNNNNNNNNNNNNNNNNNNNNNNNNNNNNNNNNNNNNNNNNNNNNNNNNNNNNNNNNNNNNNNNNNNNNNNACUAUCAUCACUUGGGCAGAGUUCAAGGCUGCUUUCCGUGCUCGAUACAUUCCCCAGGGAAUCAUGGACCGGAAGAAGCGUGAGUUCCGCAACUUAGUCCAGGGCAACAAGACUGUGGAUGCUUAUCAGCGGGAAUUUCUGGAAUUAUCUCGCUAUGCUGAAGNNNNNNNNNNNNNNNNNNNNNNNNNNNNNNNNNNNNNNNNNNNNNNNNNNNNNNNNNNNNNNNNNNNNNNNNNNNNNNNNNNNNNNNNNNNNNNNNNNNNNNNNNNNNNNNNNNNNNNNNNNNNNNGAGAAGUUCCGUGAAGGCCUCCACCCUGAUAUCAAGCUGACGCUCCUCGUUCAGGACUAUGCUGAUUUCGCCACCCUCGUGAACAAGGCUAUUCAGGUUGAGACUGGUCUGCAGGAAUACAAAGAUAGCAGCAAGCGCAACCGUGACAUGGGCUCAUCUUCGGGCUCAUCUGCACAGAAGCGGAAGAUCUGGAUUCCCAACAACAUGUACCAUGCACCUGCUCCUACUCCGAGGCCGUCCUAUGCUGCACCUCGCCUGCCUCCUCNNNNNNNNNNNNNNNNNNNNNNNNNNNNNNNNNNNNNNNNNNNNNNNNNNNNNNNNNNNNNNNNNNNNNNNNNNNNNNNNNNNNNNNNNNNNNNNNNNNNNNNNNNNNNNNNNNNNNNNNNNNNNNNNNNNNNNNNNNNNNNNNNNNNNNGACGGGCUGUGCUUCAAGUGUGCCAUCCAGGUCACCGUGCUAGAGACUGCAGGCAGAAUCAGAAUCAGCUGGCACUUCCCGCAACUGGCCGUGGCAACAACCAGAANNNNNNNNNNNNNNNNNNNNNNNNNNNNNNNNNNNNNNNNNNNNNNNNNNNNNNNNNNNNNNNNNNNNNNNNNNNNNNNNNNNNNNNNNNNNNNNNNNNNUAAGAAAUAUAAUAAUAACUAAUUUAUUAUUGCCUCUAGGGCAUAGUUCCAACAAUAUGAAUAUGAGCAUUAUACAUCAAAUCAAUAUGUUCAUAAAUCCUCAAAGAACUUCUCUGCCUAUUCAUUUGAGUACUCUAACCCCCUAAUGUGAAGAGAAGUGCAUUAGCUUCAAUGCCCCCUUUCUCAUAUGGUGCUCGCAGGAUGAUGAACUCUUUGCCACCCCUUCAGAUGUGGGUGGUUAAGAAAUUGAACUAAUCACUUCUGUAGGUCAGGUCUCCAGAUGAAAUUCAUCAUCUGAAGAAUUUGCUGGAGAAGUGAGGAAAAUGCUUGAUUGGACGCAAGCUAAAAUUGAUGAAAUGAUAACAUUUCAUACGCCCUCAAAUUUACUGUUUAUGAUGAAAUUCCUAUCUGAUGAAAUUGAUAUCAUAUUUUUCAAGCCUGAAGCAUAUGAGAUGGUAAGCUGUACUAAUUCAUCUGCAGGAUGACAAACCCAAGAGUACUGAGUGGGUUCUUGAUAGUGGUUGCACAAACCACAUGACUGGUGAUCAAAGCUUGCCGAUGAAUAUGCCACUAACUCCAUCACCAGUGAAGCAAAUCACUUAUGCUGACAAAGGUAAAAGCAAGGUAUUGGGACUUGGCAAAGUGGCUAUUUCCAAGGACAGGCACAUGGACAAAGUGAUGCUUGUCGAAUCCCUUGGGUUUAACCUCAUGUCAGUCUCAAUGCUUUGUGAUCUUGAUAUGGUUGUUAUCUUUGGAAAAUAUAGAUGUGUAGUCAUCAUGGAAUCUGACAGAUCCAAAGUUUUGAAGGCUUUAGGAGAGGAGAUUUGUAUGUUGUUGAUUUUUCCACUGGUCCUCAACCAACCACAUGCUUACUAGCAAAAACAUCAGAAGGCUGGCUAUGGCAUCGAAGACUUGGUCAUGCAGGCAUGCGGAAUUUGCACACGCUCGCGAAGAAGAAGCAUGUCAUUGGCAUCGAAUCAGUCAAAUUCCUCAAGGGCCACCUCUGCGGUGCUUGUGAGUCUGAAAAAAUGACCAGAUCCAAACACCCCUCGAAGACCAUCAUGACUACUACUCAUUCGUUUGAAUUGCUUCACAUGGAUCUGUUUGGACCUACUCAUUACGCUACUCUAACCAAUGCAGCAUCCUUUUAUGGCUUUGUCAUCGUUGAUGACUAUUCUCGAUACACUUGGGUACAUAUCAUUCUAUAUAAAACUGAAGUGCAGGAAGUCUUCAAACGAUUUUCCUCAAGGGCCUCGACGAACUUCGGCGUCAAGAUCAAACACAUUAGGAGUGAUAACGGGACAUAAUUCAAAAAUACUGGUCUUGAUGAUUAUCUUGAUGAACUUGGUAUUACUUACGAAUAAUCUGCUCCCUAUACUCCUCAACAGAAUGGCGUCAUUGAACGCAAGAACAUGACUCUGGUUGAAAUGGCACGGACCAUGCUUGAAAAAUAUCAGACUCCUCGUCGUUUCUGGCCUAAAGCUAUCAACACUGCUUGCCACAUCAUCAACAGGGUAUAUCUUCACAAAUUCCUCAAGAAAACCUCAUAUGAACUCCUCACCGACAAGAAACCCAAUGUAAGUUAUUUCAAAGUCUUCGGUGCAAGAUGCUGGAUUAGGGAUCCUCACCAUAGCUCAAAAUUUGCACCUAAAGCACAUGAGGGUUUUAUGCUUGGUUACGGAAAGGACUCGCACACCUACAGAGUCUAUAACACCUAUCACAACAAGGUUGUUGAAACUAUAGAUGUGCGGUUCGAUGAAACUAAUGGCUUGCAAAGAGAGCAAUUGCCUCGUGUACCAGAUAAAUUAUCUCUUGAGGAAGCAAUCAAGUUCAAAGCUACUGAAGACAUUGUUCCUACUGAGGAAAUUGCUGAAGAAAUCGUCCCCAGUACUGAUGAAAUUCAAGAAGGUGCUCCAGAGAAAAUUCCUCAGCCCAGACAAAAUCCUCAACCAGCUCAUCCAAGGAUUGCAAAUGAAGUAGAACUUGACAAAAUCCUCGACGACAUCAAUGCGCCAGGUCCUCUCACUCGCUCAAAAGCUUCACAUUUAGUUAACUUUUGCGGGCAUUCCUCCUUUGUGUCUAUCACAUAACCCUCAAAAGUUGCUGAAGCUUUCAUGGAACCUGAGUAGAUUCAAGCCAUGCAAGAUGAACUUCUUCAAUUCAAGCUAAAUGACGUGUGGGAACUCGUCAAACGACCAGAUCCUCGCAAGCACAAUACCAUCAGCAUCAAGUGAAUUUUCCGAAACAAGCAAGAUGAGGAUGGUCAAGUGGUGAGGAAUAAGGAACGACUUAUAGCCCAAGGCAACACACAGGUUGAAGGAAUUGAUUUCGAUGAAACUUCUUCACCUGUUGCUAGACUUGAAGCUAUUCGAAUUCUACUUGCUUAUGCUAAUCAUCAUAACAUUACUCUAUAUGAAAUGGAUGUGAAAAGUGCAUUCCUCAAUGGUAAGCUUGAGGAAGAAGUAUAUGUUGCUCAACCCCCAGGUGUUGACGAUCCGAAGCAUCCAGACAAAGCCUUCAGACUCAAAAAGACACUCUAUGGCCUCAAGAAAGCCCCUCGGGCGUGGUAUGAUACAUUGAAGGAAUUCCUCAUGAAGAAAGGCUUCAAACCUGGUUCACUCGAGCCAACUAUUUUCACUAAAUCCUAUGAUAAUGAACUAUUUGUGUGCCAAAUAUAUGUCGAUGACAUUACCUUUAGUUGUACUGACAAACGUUACAGUGAUGAAUUUGCUUACAUGGUGAGUGAAGAAUAUCAGAUGUCUAUGAUGGGGGAGCUGAAAUUCUUCUUAGGUCUUCAAAUUCGUCAACAACGCAAUGGCAUCUUCAUAUCACAGGAGAAAUAUCUCAAGGAUGUUCUGAGGAAAUUCAACAUGCAUGAAUGCAAAGGCGUCAAGACUCCCAUGCCUACCAACGACCACCUAUGCAGUGAUGAAAAUGGUAAAGAUUUCGAUCAGCAGGUAUAUCGCUCGAUGAUUGGCUCUUUAUUGUACCUAUGUGCAUCUAGGCGAGAUAUAAUGCUUAGUGUUAGCAUGUGUGCUCGUUUUCAAGCAAAAUCGAAGGAAUCAAACCAUAAGGCUGUGAAGCAUAUUCUUUGAUACUUAGCUCACACACCAACACUAGGUUUAUGGUACCCCAAGGGCUCAAAUCUUCAUCUCGUUGGAUAUUCUGAUUUGAUUAUGCUGGUGACCGUGUGGAUCGGAAGUCAACUUCUGGCACUUGCCAUUUCCUCGGAAGAUCAUUAGUCUGCUGGUCCUCAAAGAAGCAAAAUUGUGUUUCUCUCCCCACUGCCGGAGUUGAGUACAUUGCUCCUGGAUCCUGUUGUGCUCAACUACUAUGGAUGAAGCAAACCCUCAGAGACUAAGACAUCAACAUGAAGAAUGUGCCUCUCUACUGUGACAAUGAGAGUGCAAUCAAGAUCGCCUACAACCGAGUACAACACUCGCAGACUAAGCACAUCCAGAUUCAUCAUCAUUUUCUUCGGGACCAUGUCCGCAAGGGCAAUAUCAUCAUUGAGCAUGUGAAGACUGAUAAUCAACUAGCCGAUAUUUUCACUAAGCCCUUGGAUGAGAGAAGGUUUUGCAAGUUGCGGUGUGAGCUAAAUAUCUUAGAGUCUUCAAAUGUUUUGUGAAAACAUGCACACAUCCUAACACUUAUGAAAAAUUGAUGACUUAGAUGUGCAACACACGAUGAAUCGAUUUUCUUCAAUGAAUGAAGAAUAUCACUCUUAGUGUGAGGAAAUUAAUAAAGAAUUUGGUUCUCAGGGCCCUACGACAAUUGUACGCGACGCCUGAAAUCAUCAUUCUUAUACGGUGGGUCACGCAACCACCCAACUUUAAAGUUCUUCAAGUUGUUUUUCUUCAAAGUUGAAAUUCAUCAACCUGACACUUUGUCACAAAAUUCUCAAGAUUUUCAAAAUCAUCAAAAUCUGCAAAUUCUUCAAAAACGUUUGAUGAUUUUCAUUUGCCUAUAUAUAUAUAUAUAGACUGAGACUUCAAAGUCCUCAACAUCAUUCACUUAUAGCUCUGUCUUCAAUUUGAUAUGUCAACUAAGUGACUGACCUAACUCCCCUCUAUGCUAUACUCAACUGAGUCUAUUCAUUUCUUCAUAUGCGUUCUACUUGAAACUUGUUCAAAAUCCUCACUGUGUCCUUGUCAGCCGAGGACUUUGUAACGAAAUCCUCAAAACUUCAAAAAUGAAUUUUUAUAACAUUACACAGUAACUGGACCCACUUCCCACGAUUGGAUAACCACGAUCUCCACCGCUUCAAUCGUGGGCUCCACGUGUCGUGCGGAGAUGAAUGGGCAAGGGCAGUUCGGUCCAAAAGUUUCGGCCGAACAGUUUUUCACCUGAGCUAUAAAUAGGCCCUUACCCCCCUCAGCUAUAACUCUUCGUCCUCUCAUCUUCUCUUCGCUCGAGCUCAACCCUAGCGCCACUGCUAGCAAUCUCGUCGCCAGUGAGGAGAAGCUUCACUGCCUCGCCCUCACCGUCGCCGAACUCACGCCGGAAGCGGAAUCUCUCCCUCCGCCACCGCCGUAGCUGAUUUCUGCCGCCAAGUUAGGGCACAAAAGAUAUGAACCGAAGAGCUUCACUCUUUUACUGCUCCUGUUCUUCGUGUUCUUCACUCAGGGUAAUUAAAAUCUUAUUUUAUUGCCUUUGUUGAUCUAUUAUUUCACUUUAGACUCGUGAAAUCUGUUUUUCCUCACAGUAUCUGUCAGCCACGCAAACUCAUUCCUCAAACACUUGAUGAAUUUCACUAAGCCACUCAAAUUCUUCAUGAGAUUCCUCAAUUGUGUAAAUUCUCAAAUCUGCACAACUCUGGAACCCAAGAUCAGAAUGCUUAGUCAAAUUCCUCAACCCACUGGUCAAAUUCCUUAACUUCUAUUUUUUUUAAUUUCUUCAAAACUGAGAACGCAUAUGACCUCUCCAAAUUCUUUACAGCCAUACUGUGUUCACAGGUACAAAAUGUCAGCUGAUGAAUUACUAGGUUCUCAUCAACUUAACUCAUUUGCAGAGUUCCUCGAAGAAACUUUACCAGUGUCAUCAGAAUCUUCAAGAGUGCAUAUUCCUCAUGAAAAGCCUCAGUUGAAGAAAAUGGAAGAUGACAGGAAGCAAAAGGGAGGAAAGAAGCUUGAACAAAACACUACUUUUGAUAUUCCUGAAGAAAUAUAUGCUGACUACUACACUCCUUAUGAGGAAAUAUAUGGCAAAGAAACCAUGGCGAAGCGCAAGAUAAGGCUUCAGAAAAUCGAACGCAGUUGGGUUAAGGAGUGGAAGGAAUACCGCUAUGUAACUCCAAAAUAUGCGAAGAAAUUUGCGCUUAAGCCACCUUGCAAGAGGCCUCCUCAGGGUGAUCAACAAGCCGCUCAUCCCUCAAGCAUUGAAACAAUUGAGAAUUACCGUGAUGAGAAAGACAAAUAUUUGUCUAAGCUACAGGAGAAAGCAGAAGCAGCCGAAGAAAUUCAACGACGACUCUGCUGCUGCUGCCACUGCUGCCACCUCUUCAGCUGUUGAGGCCUCUGGUACAGCUAUUUCUCAGAAGAAGACUGUGCCGAAGAAACCAAAGGCCUCAGUGCCAAAAGAGCAAUUGCCUCAGAAGGUUGCACCACUGCCAAAAGCUUCAACAACACGACAGUCCUCACAGCCUCAACAGAAGCAGAUAGUUAAGCAUCAGCCUGCUCAUUCCAGUUCCUCAGUGCCAUCUGCCACGAGUUCUGCUACAAAGUCUUCACCACCUCUCUUGAAGAAUAAAAUGACUACUGGAAGAGGCAUCCGGCCUAGUCCUAGCAAAGUCAUCAACGUUCCUUCUGCAUCAGAAGGAAGUGAGGAAUUUGAUGAUGAAACUCUAUGGAUGCUACGCCUCUGAAUGUAGCUCCAUCCUACUCACUGGUUCCCUUCGGAGUUGACUACGUCAUUCCUGAAGAUGAUGAGGAAAUGAAGGAUGCUGAAGUUGAAUAAAUCAUGGAUGAGGAAAUACAAAUUGAUGAUAUUCCUCAACCUACCAUUCCUCAAAAGACCUCUGAUGAAAUUGUGGGUGAUGAUGAAACUGGGUGCACCACUCCAGUUAUUCAUGAUGACUUUCGGGAAGAAACUCAUCACUCACCAAGGUCAACUCAAAUCCCUCCUACUCCUGCUGCAACAGAAAUCCUCACAGGAUCUGAUGGGAAGACCUUCCGUGAGGAAUCUGCUCAAGAAUCAGGUGCAGAUAAUGCAGCGACUAAUGCUACAACUGCCUCCUACAACAAGCAAAUUCCUUAAGUUGAGGAAAAUCCUCAACUUGAUGAAAAUGCUCAAAAUGAAGAAAAUGCUCCUGCCCCAAAUACUGAAACUGCUAUUGUUGUGGUAAACACAGAAACCGCACUAAUAGUAGCUCCUCCUCAAGAACAACAGCAUAAUCUUCAACCACAGCAGAAUCAACCUUUCUCCAAAAGGCCAAAGUUUGAAAAGGAGGCAUUUUAUGAAGAACAUAUGUACUUCACUGGCACAAAUCCUUAUGAUAAGCUUCGCAUCAGGCACCGGAAGUUUUGGACGAGGAACCAGCUGAACUACUAUGCUUCAGUGCUCUGUGGAAGGAACAAGAUAUUUUAGGACAAGAAUAUUCCUCACUGUGACAUGGAAUAAAUUCCUUGCUUCACUCCAGUCCUCAACGUUGUUCACGAAGCUAGAUUGCUGCCUCUCUGCACUGACAUUGGCGACUGGAACUGCGACAUUAUUCUUCAAUUCUACGCCACACUGCACAUCUGUGGAGACCCAAAGGAUGUCAACACUUGGGUUUUGGAUUGGAUGACUCAGCACACGCAUUACAAAGCGUCUGCCACUGAAUUGCUUUGAGCUCUUCGAGUCUCAAUUCCCUCAGAGAAUGCAGUGCUGAUGUAUGAUGAACGUGAGCUGUGAAACAGACUGAUGGAAGUCCUCAUGAAGCCUUUGGCCAAGGACCAACCUCCAAGGACUCGCUUUCUGGUUCAAGACUUGAAGUAUGAACCACGAACAGUGUACAGAAUCCUGGCCAAUGUCAUCGCUCCCAUCAAAGGCCAUGGUGAUGAAGAAGAUGUCGUAGGCAUCAUGAAGAAUAUCCUUUUCAAUAUCAUCCAUGGCAUACCAAUGAAUCUUCAUGACUUCUUCCUAAGGACUUUGGCUGAUAAUGCACUGUCGCCUUUUGACAUGAAGAUUUAUGCAUCGUGGAUCAUGCGAUUUAUCAGAAGCAGGUCAGGCAUCAACUACCAUGCUGAUUUUUCUAAUCACAUCGGAUAUCUACCGCCCAUCAAAGUCAUCAAGAAAACAUUUGAGCUUGUUGAAGGCAAAGGAAAAUCUGUGAUUGAUGAAGGAAAUCGGCCCCUUGAUGGCCAGUUUCAUCAAGCGGAGUCAUAUUCUCCAUACGUUGACAUUGCUACCCAAGAUCCACCAAGCCCAACUGCCCCAAGAGUCAUGAAUAAUAGAGAGCUACUUCUCAGUCUUCAUCAGAAUGUCGAUCGCAAUCACAAAUGGGUCAAACGUCAAUUCAGUGUGAUUGUGAAAAGCCUCAACGAGACUCAGAAUACAGUGAGGAAAAAUCACUAUUAUCUUCAUAAGGUGUUUGAUCGUACCUGGGCCACCUUGGCUCAUCUGAAGACUUAAGAGGAACUUGAGGAAUUGGAGUUUACUCAGGAUUCCGACUGGUCGUUGCCUCCCAAGAAUAAAUUCAAGCCAAUUCCAGUUCCUGACCUUGAGGACAAUUCUUUUUCUUCAUUCUGCACUACUGAGUCAGAUGAAGAACCAGAAGACACUGCAACUGGUCCAAGGAAGAAGCCCGUCGCCAAGAAUCCUCACACCUCUUCAUUAGCCAAGAAGUGAAAGUCUUCAUGGGGCAUUAGUCCUCAGUUUUGUCCCUUUUCGUCACUUGAUGACAAAGGGGGAGAAAUCUGAGUUAGUCUUCAAACGAGAUCUAUUUUGGGGCUUAUGAACUUUAUUAAGUUACAAACUCUUGGUUCUUCUGAAGUGUUUUAUGUAAUUUGUUGUAACUUAAGCCCGAUGGUACUCUGACUCUUUUGAAUGUUUUUCUUGGCAUGCUUAUUCCUCAAAGUAUAUUAAUGCAGGCAUGCUGAAAUUUUUCAGAUACCAUUUCUCAUCAUGCAUUCUCAAAUUCCUGAUUUUGUAUGUCCAUUGUAUGCAUGAUUUACAAUAUACACGUGGAGAUCUCCAUGAUAUAAAUCAUCAAUGUGCAUCUGCCGUGAAAAGCAAAUUCCUCAAAAUAUGCACAUCUUCAGGGGGAGUCUCUCAGUAUUUUGAUUUCAAAUUCCUCAAACUCAGUAUUUACACUUCAUAUUUUUAUCCCCGUUGAAAACUUAACCUAAUUGUCAUCAACCACAAAAAAGGGGGACAUUGUAAGUGCAUUUAGUGCCCUUAGUGAUUUUGGUGGUUUGAAGACUUAUAGGUUAAGUAACUAAUGUGUUUAUAAGUGUACACAGGCUCUAUAAGUCAUUGAGGAGUUUGAGUUAUACGAUGAAUAUCGACCCCUAAAAAUGUAUGUCUUCGGCUGAAGAAAUUGGUCUAAGCUUGAAGACUUUGAUCGCGAAGAAAUUGCGAUGAAAUUGAUAUUCCUCAUGAAGAUAUUGAAGAUGAGGAAUUCGGUGUGUCCUGAAGAAAAACUGCCUGAAGACUUCGAAGCGUGAAGAUUUACUCUUUCUGUUUCGUUUUCUUUACUCUUGAGUCUUAGGAACACCGUACUGUUAAAGGGGGUCAAGGUAAUACUACGGAAUGAAUUUUCUCAUGAUGCUCAACCCAAGCCAAACCUACAAAAGCCUCAAGUGAGGAAUAUGAGAGAUAUGAGGACUUUCACAGUUGAAAGUUCCGACCGUUGCCGCAACAUGCGCCACCUCACCGAUCUUAUCGAGACCAACGGUCACAAUAUCUAAGGGCAUUUAUGUCAAAUCAUGUCGGGAUGCUCCCAGGCUAUAAAUAGCCACCCCCACAACUACUAGCUGGUUGGCUUUUUCGCGAGAAACUGACACUUGUCAUUUAGAGCAACCCAAAUUCCUCAGAGUCUUCAAGAGUAAAUCAUCAAGUGAGGAAAUACCCCAAACACCAAACCACAAACCAAAAACCAAGUGAUUGAGCAUCACUGAAUAAUUUGUUCCUGUGUGGAACUGAAGCCUUUUACCUUUGAGGACCGUGCAUCCUCCUGACGGUUAGGCGUCAUGGUCUAGAGCAUCCAACAAUCAAUUGUGGAUCGCCGGGUGACCAAGUUUGUGAGGGUUUGGUAGUCUACCCUGAAGACUUACCACAAGUGUUGGGCGAGGACUGUGUGUCCUUAGCUCAAGGAGAAUACGGUAGGGACCAUGUGUCCCGGGAGUGUAUGUCCUUUGGUUUCAAUACCAAGCCGCUCCAAACCAGACGUACAACUGUCACAACAGUUGGAACUGGGUCAUCAACAACUGUCUUCAUCAUGAUACGGGUUCUAUUUCUUCAACUCUUUCAAUUCCUCAAUAUUGUAUGUUGAAGACUUUCAUUGUCACCGUUUGAAGAAUUUGCUGAAGAAUUUCUCUGAAUUUCCUCAAACUCAAAUUCUUCAUAUCAGUUAAUCUUCAUGUGCUUAUUCUGUGCCUGCAUACUGUGCAAACCAAUUCUCAUAAUCUUCAUCAAGUAAACUGUAGUUGUAAUCUUUGCACCUAUGAUCCUGCGCUAUUUCCGCUGCACGUUAUUCAUCAGUGAGGAAUUUCCUCAGUGAUGAAAUUCUAAAAAUCGCCUAUUCACCCCCUCUAGUCGAUAUAAUGCACUUUGAAUGACAAAGCCAUAUAAGGAUGCUGGAUUGGUUAGAGUAGCAUAAUGAGUAGGUCCAAACAGAUCCAUGUGAAGUAAUUCAAACAGACGAGUAGUAGCCAUGAUUGUCUCCGAGGGUGUUUGGAUCUGGUCAUUUUUCCAGACUCACAAGCACCGUAGAGGUGGUCCUUGAGGAAUUUGACCGAUUCGAUGGCAAUGGCAUGCUUCUUGUUUGCUAGCAUGUGCAAAUUCCUCAUGCCUGCAUGACCAAGUCUCGAUGCCAUAGCCAGCCUUUUGAGGUUUUUGGUAGUAAGGAUGUGGCUGGUUGAGGACCUAUGAAAAGAAUCAACAAUGUACAAAUCUCCUCUACUUAAGCCUUCAAAGACUUUGGAUCUGUUAGAUUCCAUGAUGACUACACAUCUAUAUUUCCCAAAGAUAAUAACCAUAUCAAGAUCAUAAAGAAUUGAGACUGACAUGAGGUUAAACCCAAGGGAUUCGACAAGCAUGACUUUGUCCAUGUGCCUGUCCUUGGAGAUAGCCAGUUUGCCAAGUCCCAAUACUUUGCUUUUACCUUUAUCAGCGUAAGUGAUUUUCUUUAGUGGUGAUGGAGUCAGUGGCAUAUUCAUCAACAAGCUUUUAUCACCAGUCAUGUGGUUUGUGCAACCACUAUCAAGAACCCACUCAGUACUCUUGGGUUUGUCAUCCUGUAAGUGAAUUAGUACAACUUACCAUCUCAUAUGCUUUAGACUUGAAGAAUAUGAUAUCAAUUUCAUUUGAUAGGAGUUUCAUCAUAAACAGUAAAUUUGAGGACGCGUGAAAUGUUAUCAUUUCAUCAAUUUUAGCUUGCGUCCAUUCAAGCAUUUUCCUCAGGUCUCCAGCAAAUUCUUCAGAUGUUGAUUUUCAUCUGGAGACCUGACGUGCAGAAGUGAUUAGUUCAAUUUCUUCACCACCCACAUCUGAAGGCGUGGCAAAGAAUUCAUCAUCCUGUGAGCACCAUAUGAGAAAGGGGGCAUUGAAGCUAAUGCACUUCUCUUCACAGUAGGGGGUUAGAGUACUCAAAUGAAUAGGCAGAGCAAUUCUUUGAGGAUCUAUGAACAUAAUGAUUUGAGGUAUAAUGCUCAUAUUCAUAUCCCUUGUAAUUUCCGUGCAUAUCAAAAUCAUUAGCACGAGUACGAGUAUAGUUUUGACCAGUUGAGGAUGUUGAUCCUCUUGAAGACUUUGGUCCACCUGAGGAAUUUGAUCUGGGUUUCAGGUUCUUCAUAGGUGGUGUCAUGAGGACAUUCACCUCAAGAUUUUCCAGGCAACUUUUGGGGACCCAGAUUCUCCCCAGGGGUGGUCCAUUCCUGAAGUUAGUUCCAACAUAUCGAGCAAAUACUUCACCAGAUUGAGUUCUGAACAAUUUAUAGUUGGAGUCAAAUGACUCGUGAGGAAUAGGAUAAUUCACAAGCAAAGCUUGUUAGAUUGGAUUGAUCAACAGGAGGUCCUUUAGUAGCAACCCAUGAGGUUUUGAGAUACUGCUCAGGUUUCCAGUAUGAUCCAUCAACAUUCUGUUUCCUUUCAAAGGCAAUUCCUUCUUUCCUCGGGUUCCUGUUCAAAAUCUGCUUUUUGAGCACAUCGCAAAGGGUCUCCGGUUCCUGCUCAAAAUUUGCUUUUUGAGCACAUCGCAAAGGUUCUCGAGUUCCUGUUCAAAAUCUGCUUUGUGAGCACAUCGCAAAGGGUUUGAUGCCCUUUGAAACUUUUGUACAUGCCUGUCACAUACAAUUCCUUCAGCCGUGCAUUUUCGUCAGUCACGUUUGUGGUUUCCUCAAGUGCGGAAUUUUUUACCAUAGGAGCAGUUGAAGAAUUUGCAGCAAUAGAAGCAUUUGAUGAUUCUGGUGAAGAAUUGGCAGUUUCACGCUCGAUGCAUUUGAGACAUGGUGGAGUGAAUUCAACCCGAGUGGCACUGAUCUGUUGAGCAAGCAAUGAAUCAUUUUCCAUUCAAAUAUCAUCAUGAGACAUCUUCAAAUUCUCAAGAUCAAGUUUCCUUUGAAGAGAUUCAUAGGAAAGUUUCUCAUGAUCAGCCAAGAGUGUGCCAUAAAGAUCUUGAAGACUAUCAAAUCUAGACUAAAGACUUUUCACAUCUUCAGUGAAGAUUUGUGUAUGAUUCAUUUCGUCAUUCAACAGAUAAUCGCUUCUGUCUAGCAGUUUUUGAAGCUUUUCAAUGGCACUUUGUUGCUUAGUUGCAAUGCUGGCAAGUUUACUAUAACUGGGUUUUUUAUAAUCAUCAGGUUCACAGUCACUUGAAUAAGAGGAGAAAGUGUCAUUCGGUACCUUUGAACCUUUUGCCAUGAAGCAAUAGGUUGGAGCGAAGUCAUCAACAUAGUCAUCAGUGUAGAUAGUGUUGUCAUUUUCUUCAAGGUUGAAGAUUGACUUGUUGAAGAAUGUGGUAGCCAGUGCAAGACUUGCCACACCAGACUCUGAGUCUUCUUCAGAACCUUCCUCUUCAUCACAUUCCUCAUAUUCUUCCUCAGAAUCCAUUUCCUUGCCAAUGAGUGCCCGAGCCUUUCUGAAACUAGUCUUCUUGUGCAAUGAGGACUUUUAGGAUGAGGAUUUUUAAGAUAUCUUAUUUUGCUUCGAGUCAUCAGAACUUUCAUCCUUAUAAUUCUUCUUCUUUGAUUCCUUCAGCCAGCGAGGACAAUCAACAAUAUAGUGGCCAAAUUUCUUGCAUUUGUGGCAGGUUCUUUUCUUGUAGUCCUCACAUGAAGAUUUUGAUUUCCUCAUAUCUCUUCUUGAAGAUUUACCAAACUCUCCACCCCUUGUAAACUUCUGCAUUUUCCUCACGAGCAUUGCAAGCUCCUGUCCAACUUCUUCAGGAUCACCAAUGCUGCAAUCUGAGUCUUCUUCUUCAGAUGAGGAAAUUGCUUUGGCCUUCAGCACACGAGGUCCAGAGUAGCUUGGUCCAUAUAGAUCUCUCUUUUCUUCCUGUUGGAUUUUAUGAGUAUUGAGCCUUUCGAGUAUAUCAGCAGGAUCAAGCAUCUUAUAGUCUGCUCUUUCUUGAAUCAUCAGAACGAGUGUAUCAAAUGAUGGAUCUAGAGAUCUUAGCAGUUUCUUUACAACUUCAUGGUCAACGAUGUCUUGAGCUCCCAGUUCAUUUGAGAUGUCAGUGAGGCGAUCAAAGGUGUCUUGUCAACUUUCAUUAUGAAGCCUCUUGAAGCGAUUGAAGAGAUUGCGAAGAACAUCAACACGAGAGUCACGCUGAGGUGAAAUUCCUUCAUUGACUUUGGACAGCCUAUCCCCGAUAAGCUUCGCUGUGCCCAAAGCACUCACUCUGCCAUACUGACAUUUGCUCAGAUGGCCACAGAUGAUAUUCUUUGCUUGAGAAUCAAGUUGCUUGAAUUUCUUCACAUCAGCGGUAGAGACAGUAGCAGCGAUGGAGGGAAUGCCAUGUUCCACAAUGUACGAGAGAUCAUUGUCAAUAGCCUGAAAAUGCAUGUGCAUCUUGGUCUUCGAGUAGGGANNNNNNNNNNNNNNNNNNNNNNNUAGGGAAAGUGCUUUCCUUCAAAGGCAGGACAUCCUGCUGUAACCUUGAUCAUACCUACAGUCAACAUAACUAAAACUCCAGGUGGUUAAACCAAGAUCACACAGAACAAGGGAGUACCUCGCUCUAAUACCAAUUGAAAGUGCAUUAUAUCGACUAGAGGGGGGGGGUGAAUAGGCGAUUUUUAGAAUUUCAUCACUGAGGAAAUUCCUUUUGAGGAAAUUCCUCAUUGAUGAAUUACAUGCAACGGAAAUAGCGCAUGAUCAGAGGUGCAAAGAUUACAAUAGAAGUUUACUUAAUGAAGAUUAUGAGAAUCGGUUUGCACAGUAUUUAGGCACACAAUAAGCAGGUCAAGAUUAACUAGUAUGAAGAAUUUGAGGUUGAGUAAAUUCAGUGAAAGUCUUUAGCAAAUUCUUCAAACAGUGACAAUGAAAGUCUUCAACAUACAAUAUUGAGGAAUUGAAAGAGUUGAAGAAAUAGAACCUGUAUCACGAUGAAGACAGUUGUUGAUGACCCAGUUCCAACUGCUGUGAUAGUCGUACGUCUCGUUUGGAGCGGCUUGGUAUUGAAACCAAAGGACACACAGUCCCUACCGUAUUCUCCUUGAGCUAAGGACACACAGUCCUCGCCCAACACUCGUGGUAAGUCUUCAUGGCAUACUUCCAAACGCUCACAAACUCGGGCACCUGGUGAUCCACAAUUGACUACUGGAUGCUCUAGACCAUGACGCCUAACCGUCUGGAGGAUGCACAGUCCUUGAAGGUAAAAGUCUUCAGUUCCACACAGGAACAAUUUCUUCAGUGAUGCUCAAUCACUUGGUGUUGGUUUGUGGUUUGGUGUUUGGGGUAUUUCAUCAUUGAUAAUUUACUCUCAAAGACUCUAAGGAAUUUGGGUUGCUCUAAAUGACAAGUGUCAGUUUCUCGCGGAGCAGCCAACCAGCUAGUGGUUGUGGGGGUAGCUAUUUAUAGCCUGGGAGCAUCCCAACAUGAUUUGACAUAAAUGCCCUUAAAUAUUGUGACCGUUGGGGUGGAUAAGAUCGAUGAGGUGGCGCGUGUCGCGGCAACGGUUGGAACUUUCAACCGUGAAAGUCCUUGAUAACCCAGAAGUAUAGGGGAUCGCAACAGUUUUCGAGGGUAGAGUAUUCAACCCAAAUUUGUUGAUUCGACACAAUGGGAAGCCAAAGAAUAUUCUCGAGUAUUAGCAGUUGAGUUGUCAAUUCAACCACACCUGAAAGACUUAGUAUCUGCAGCAAAGUAUCAGUAGCAAGGUAGUGUGAUAGCAACAGUACCAACGGUAACAGUAGCAGCAGCAACAACAGUAGUGAUAGAGUAACAGUAGGAGCACUGACAGCAGUAGCGACGGAGUAACAUUAGCAGGAGUGACAACAGUAGCGGCAAAGUAAUGUAGCAAGGACCAGUAGGAAAAACUCGUAGGCAUUGGAUCGGUGAUGGAUGAUUAUGCCGGAUGGUAUUCAUCAUGCAAAAGUUAUAACACAGAGAGAUAUGUAACUAGCUCGAGUUCGUCAAUGUAAUGUAGGCAUGUAUUCCGUAUGUAGUCAUACGUGCUUAGGAAAAAGAACUUGCAUGACAUCUAUUGUCCAUCCCUCCCGUGGCAGCGGGGUCCUAAUUGAAACUACGGGAUAUUAAGGUUCUCCUUUUAAUAAAGAACCGGACCAACGCAUUAACACUUGGUGAAUACAUGAACUCCUCAUACUAUGGUCAUCUCUGGCAAUGGUUCCGGCUAUUGUCACUCCGGGGUUUGCCGGGUCAUAACACAUAGUAGGUGACUACAACUUGCAAGAUAGGAUCAAGAACACACAUAUAUUGACGAGAACAUAAUAGGUUCAGAUCUGAAAUCAUGGCACUCGGGCCCUAGUGACAAGCAUUAAGCAUGGCAAAGUAGUAGCAACAUCAAUCUCAGAACAUAGUGGAUACUAGGGAUCAAUCCCCGUCAAAACUAACUCGAUUACAUGAUAGAUCUCAUCCAACCCAUCACCGUCCAGCAAGCCUACGAUGAGCUUACUCACGAACGGUGAAGAGCAUCAUGGAAUUGGCGAUGAAGGAAGGUUGGUGAUGACGACGGCGACGAUCUCCCCUCUCCGGAGCCCAGAACAGACUCCAGAUCUGCCCUCGAGAGGAAGAACACGAGGUGGCGGAGCCUCCGUAUCGUAAAAUGCGAUGAACUCUUCUCCUUGAUUUUUUCGGAUGAAAGGGACUAAAUAGAGCUGGAGUUGGAGGCGGUGGAGCUCCGUGGGCCCCACAAGGCUCCUAGGCGCGGCCAGGGGGGGGGCGCCUGGUGGGCUUGUGGGAUCCACGCUCCACUUCUUUAGUUGAUUCUUGCGCCAGUAUUUUUUAUAUAUUCCACAAAAAAUCCUCGUAAAUUUCCACGUCAUUCCGAGAACUUUUAUUCUGCGCAAAAACAACACCCUGACAAUUCUGCUGAAAUCAGCGUUAGUCCGGGUUAGUUCCAUUCAAAUCAUGCAAAUUAGAGUCCAAAACAAGGGCAAAAGUGUUUGGAAAAGUAGAUACGACGGAGACGUAUCAACUCCCCCAAGUUUAAAGCCUUGCUUGUACUUAAGAAAUUCAGUUGACAAACUGAAAGAGACAAAAGAAAAACUUUUACUAACUCUGUUUGAUCUUGUUGUUGCAACUAUGUCUAACUCAUAUCCAGAAUUUCAGCAAGAUCAUAAGCUAACCACAUUAGCAAAUGACAUCUAGGUCUCAUGGUAAACUCAUAUCAAUGGCAUAAUGAACUAGCGAGCAAUAAUAAUGAGUUCCAAACGUCAACAGUUCAAUCAAAACAAACAUGAAGCAGUAUGAACAGAUGGUAUCUCGCUAGCUCUUUCUGAGACCGCAAAACAUAGAUGCAGAGCACCUUCAAAGACCAAGGGCUGACUGAACAUUGUAAUUCAUGGCAAAGAAGAUCCAGUCACAGUCAUACUCAAUAUCAGUUAAAAGCAAAGCAUAGAAAUGACAGAGGUGCUCUCUAAUUGGUGCUUUUUAUAAGAAGAGGAUGACUCAAUAGAGACAUAAAUAGAUAGGCCCUUCGCAGAGGGAAGCAUUGAUUUGAAGAGGUGCCAGAGCUCAAGCUUUGAAGACAGAUAUAAAUAAUUUUGGGUGGCAUGCUUUCAUUGUCAACGCAAUUACCAAGAGUUUUCACCAUCUUCCAUGCUACACAUACUGUAGGUGGUUCCCAAACAAAAAAGUAAAGUUUUGACUCCCCCACCACCGAUCAAUCACACUCCACGACUAGCCGAAUACUCGGGUGCCGUCCAUACCAACAACAAUCCAGGGGGAGUUUUUUUUGCAAUUAUCUUUUCGAUUUGAGCAUGGAACUGGGCAUUCCAAUUACCGGCCCCUUUCUUGUGAAUGAUAGUGAAUAAACACAUAUCGAGGAUAACACACCUAGCAUGGAAGAUACCGAUCGCCCCUUGUCACCACAUGAGCGGUUCGGGCAUGCAAAACAGAAUUAUUUCUUGAAGGUUUAGAGAGUGGCACAUGCAAAUUUACUUGGAACGGCAGGUAGAUACCGCAUAUAGGUAGGUAUGGUGGACUCAUAUGGAACAACUUUGGGUUUAUGGAAGUGGAUGCACAAGCAGUAUUCCCGCUUAGUACAAGUGAAGGGUAGCAAAAGACUGGGAAGCAACCAACUAGAGAGCGACAACAGUCAUAAAAAUGCAUUGAGAUUAACCAACAUUGAGUAGAAGGAUGAGUAGGACAUAAAUCACCAUGAACAUGAAUAUCAUAGAGGCUAUGUUGAUUUUGUUUCAACUACAUGCGUGAACAUGCGCCAAGUCAAGCCACUUGAAUGAUUCAAAGGAGGAUACCAUCCUAUCAUACUACAUCAUAAUCAUCUCGAGAUUCAUGUUGGCAUCCAAGAGAAACCAUUAUAAGCUCCUAGCUAAUUAAGCAUGGCAUCAGAAACUAUGAUCUCUAAGUUGUCAAUGCAAACAUGUUUCUCUCACAACAAAGCUGAAUCAGGAACGAUGAGCUAGUCAUAUUUACGAAAAGAAAAUAUAUCGAGUUCAUACCAGCUCUUCCAGGCUCAGUCACUUCAUCAUAUAUCGUCAUUAUUGCCUUUCACUUACACGACCGAACGAUGUGAACAACAAUAAGAGUGCUCGUGCAUUGGACUAAGCUGGAAUCUAUAGGCAAACACAAAGGAGAAGUCAAAGUAAUAUGGCUCUUUGACAGAUAAACAGAUAUGCAUGCGAGAGCCACUAAACAUUUUAACCAUGGUCUUCUACCUUGACCCAAAGAAAAAGAAAACUAUUUACACGGGAAAGCUCCCAACAAGCAAAAGAAGAACGGGAAAUCUUUUUGGGUUUUCUCAAAAUAGACAAACACACGAGAAGAAAGCGAGAAAAAUAAAUAAACUAGCAUGGAUGAUAAAGUGGCAAAGUGUGAACACGGACUAUCAAAGCGAAAGUGUGAACAUGAAUAUAAAGUUGGUGAGAAACACGUACUCCCCCAAGCUUAGGAUUUUGGCCUAAGUUGGUCUACUCCCAAGGAGGGAAAUAACCGUCUCUGGGGUACUCUGGAGUGUACUGAGGGUGCCACUGCUGUGUGAGCUCCUGUGGCUCCCACUGAUAAACUGGGGUCUGGUACUCGACUCGUAGCUCGGGCACGGGAUUCUUGUGGUGGUGCUAUGCCCCAAUAUGCGUAGAUGUCCGAGGGCAUAAUAAUGUACCUGCCUAGAUGAAGAUUGAUCAAACAAGGAGCAGGCAAAGUAAUAGUCUCUUGAGUACCCUGACUAAAUACCAGGUUAUAAAUCAUCCUCCUAUUUAUAUCUUUAUCAAGAAAGUCAUGGCGAACCAUGCUAUCAUAAUCUAGAUAUCUCUCAGGAAGAAGAGUCUCUUCUUCCUCGUGCAGUCUAAUAGGUAUCUCAAAAUGUCUAGCAAGACGGGUAGCAUAGAUACCUCCAUAAACAACGCCUUUAGAACGGUUCGUGUUCAACCGUUGAGCUACUAUAGCGCCCAAGCUAUAAGUUUUAUCAUUAUAAAGGGCUUCACGCAAGACCUGGGGAGCUAAGGGCCCCAACUUUCACACAGCCAAUCAAACAUUUUCCCACAAAUAAUGAGAAGUACCGAAGCACGGGAAAAUGUAUGCUAUCAGCUCUAGCGCAAGACACUCCUCUCUCCUCUCCGAAAACAAUAGUAUCUAUGAAAGCCUCCAAGUCCCGUGGAUGAGGUUCAUGAAUAUCCCCAACAUAAGGUAAUUUGCAAACAUUGCAAAAAUCCUGAAGUGACAUGCGCUCGGGGAUAUCAUAUAAUUUGAACUCAACCAUAGGAGGACUCUUCCUUGGAUAGAAAUUAAAGCUUUGCACGAAAAUAUUAGUGAGGAGGAGGUAUUGCUGACACUUAACUUCAACGAAGGCAGUAAGGCCCGCGUUCUCUACCAAGUAGUAAAAGUCCUCAUAAAUUCCAGUGGCGCGUAAGAACACAUCGCUUGGCCACUCGCACGCUCGAACUUCUGCAACUCUGGGGACCGUAUACUUGGGUUUCCUCUUCUCAUGUUCAUCAUCCUUGGGGUCACGGCUUGAAGAGCCUCUUAAGAACCUCCUCAUCUUUUCCUUUUUCUAUCUCUGAAAAUUUCUCAAAUUUUUUGUGACUCGAAGGAAAAGUGAACAAGGCUCAACGAAACUCAUAGCAACUACUCCACAAGUGCCUAGAGGCCAUAUCACACAUCAAAACUAGUUGGGACCAGCUAAAAUUAGCAUGCAAAGCUCAAGAACAGGGUCACCAAGGCAGCAAAACUACGCGACAUAUAAGGCACUAGAGCAAAAACUAAUUGGACCAAUGAAGGAGUCGCAUACCAAGGAGCAAUUUCCCCAAAACAGUUUGGUGAAUGGAGCUUUGCACAAGGAGAUCGAAAAUCGCAGCAAGAAGAGCAAGAACACGGGUUUGAGCUGCGAAACGAUUUUUUCUGGAGGUAGGGGAAGGAGAUGGUAGCUAGAAUAAGUGGAGGGGUGACACGUGGGCUCCACAAGCCUGGUAGGCGCGGGCAGGGGGGGUGCCCGCGCCUCCAGGGCUUGUGGCCCACUGGUGCAGCCCCCUGACUAGCUCUCCGUCUCAGAAUUUUUCAAAAAUUCCAGAAAAAAUCAUAUUUGAUUUUCUCGGCAUUNNNNNNNNNNNNNNNNNNNNNNNNNNNNNNNNNUCGGCAUUCGGAGAACUUUUAUUUUCGGGACACUUUUCUACGGGAUGCAAAAAACAGAAAACAGGGAAAACUAAAGCUAAAUCUAUCAUUUUUCUUCUAAGCAACCGAAGGUGAAAGCUUGGAACACAGGUUGGUGACUUCUCGAUUCAUCCAUCCCAUGGUCAUCGAAAGAAAUCCGUCAAUGAGGUUGAUCAAGUCUCCUUGACAAACUUUUUCGAAUCGCAUAAAAAAGAACGGAGAAUUUUCGAAUAGUCACUAGGUUACCUCAAUGGGGAUGUGCAUAUCCCCAACAAGCAAAUCAUACUUCAUCUUAACAGUAGGUAUAGGGCAUUCAAAGUUCCCAAUAAGAAUCGAUGAAGUUUUUUCAAUAGCAUUGAUGCAAUGUACUCGAUAUUGUUUCUUCGGAAAGUGAACCGUAUGCUCAUUAACGUUGAUAUGGAAAGUGACAUUGCCUUUGUUGCAAUCUAUAACAGCCCCUUCAGUGCUUAAAAAGGGUCUUCCAAGGAUGACCGCCAUGGCAUCGUCCUCGGGAAUAUCCAGAAUAACAAAGUCUGUUAAGAUAGUAACGUUCGCAACCACAAUAGUCACAUCCUCGCAAAUGGCGAUAGGGAAAGCAGUUGAUUUAUCGGCCAUUUGCAGAGAGAUUUCAGUGGGUGUCAACUUAUCUAGUUCAAGUCUAUGAUAAAGAGAGAGAUGCAUAACAUUAACACCGACUCCAAGGUCACAUAAAGCAGUUCUAACGUAGUUUUCUUUAAUGGAGCAAGGUAUAGUGGGCACUGCGGGAUCACCUAGUUUCUUAGGAGUUCCACCCUUGAAGGUAUAAUUAGCGAGCAUGGUGGAAAUCUCAACCUCAGGUAUCCUCCUCUUAUUAGUCACAAUAUCCUUCUUGUACUUAGCAUACACAGACAUUUAGAGCAUAUCUGUCAAUCACAUUUGCAGAAAGAUAGGCCUAAUCAUUUCAACAAAGCGCUCAAAAUCCUCAUCAUCCUUUUUCUUGGAUGGUUUGGGGGGGGGCAUGGGUUUCGGAACCCAUGGUUCCCUUUCGUUACCAUGCUUCCUAGCAGCGAAGUCAUUUUUAUCGUAUCUCCUAUUCUUAGGCUGUGGGUUAUGAAGAUCAACAGGUUGAAUCUCCACAUCCUUAUCAUUGCUAGGUUGAGCAUCUUCAUGAGCAUCAUUAUCGAUAUUAUCAUUAGGCUCAUGUUCAUCACCAGAUUGCCUUUUAGCAUCAGAAACAGAGACAUCGUUUGGACUCUCGGGUGUAACAACAAUAGGGUUGCUAGUGUGCAAGUUCCUAUCAUCUUUCUUUUUCUUUCUAAGAUGACUAGGUGCAUCAGUGCUAACUCCUUGAGAAUCUUGUUCAAUUCUCUUAGGAUGACCCUCAGGAUACAAAGGUUCCUGGGUCAUUCUACCACCUCUAGUGACGACUCUGACGGAAUUGUGAUUCAACACAUUGAGCAAGUCAUUUUGAGCCUUAAGUACUUGUUCUACUUAAGUAGUAACCAUAGAGGCAUGUUUACUCAGGAGCUUAAGAUCAUUGACGUUUCUAUCUACACAAGCACUUAAAUGACUAAGCAUAGGAGAAUUCUGUUCCAAUUGUCUGCUAACAUAAUCAUCGAAACUUUGUUGUUUGGCAACAAAGUUAUCAAAUUCAUCCGGGCAUAAGCUAGCAGGUUUAUUGUGACAGCCCGAUGCCGACGUUCCAGAAGAUUCCCCUCUCUUUCCGUUUUCGUCGUGUGCCUAUUUUCUUUUGUCGCAUCAUCAUCGCAUCAUGCGCAUCAUCAGCAUUGCAUCGGCAUCUCCGUUGCCGCCAGUUUUCAAAACCUGCAUCCGUUGUUAGUUGCCGGUUCGCGUCGUUGUUCGUUCCGAGCCUGACCGCACUCGCACGCGCCCGCGGCACCGUCGAAACCCUGUUUUUAAAGUGCGUUUAAAACUUUCUCUGGUCGAGGUGAAACUUGGCACGCGGUCGCAAUUAGUUAUCGCUAGGCCGCCUGUCGAAUUUCGUCGCGAUCGGAGACCGUCUCGUACCUGAACGGUCGACCGUAGCGGCACCAUAUUCGGGCUACCGUCGCACGUCUGUCGGUGUUUUAAAAUUCGUGCCGCAUCGCCCGUUCUCCCUCUCAUCUCCGGAUAUCCCCUCUACACGGCCACGUACCCGUUCCCACGUUCGGAAUCGUCCGAAUCCGACCCCGCGGUUGGAUCCGGAGCGCGAUUCCGGUUAACCGAGCCCCCCGUUUGUCUAUAUAUAGGCCCCCUCCUUAAUUUUAGGCAACCAACCCCUCUCCACCUCGGGAUCCGUGCCUACCCCCGAAACCCUAGCGCAGCCUCUCACUCUCUCUCCCUUCCAGCCGCCGGGCCCGCCGAGCCCAGAUCGGGCCCGGGCAGGCCCAUCCGCCGCCGCCGCCUUGCCCGAGCUCGUUGCAGCUCCUCUCCAACGCUGCGUCGUCGCCGGCCAGCAGCCGCGCUGCCGGAGCGCGCCGCCCUCGGUCCCCGCGCGUCCCUAGCCUAGGCGCCCCGUCGCCGUCCCUGGACUCGCCGGAGACCGCCGGCCGGAGCUCCCCAGCCCCUGCCUGCCGGUUCCCUGCCCGCGCCCUAGCGCCGCCGCGUCGCCAGGCCGGUGUAGCCCCGCCGCCGCCCCCGGAUCCUGUCAGAUCCGGACCGUGGGGGUCCAACCCCUGCCGCAUCCCUUCCCGGAGACUGUCGGACCUCGCCGUCGAGCAACCAGCAGCCGCCGCCAGCCACUGCCUCGCUCGUGCGGGAGGACGAGGGAGCGCCCAUCGCCGCGCCAGCGCCCCUGCGGGCCGGCCUCCCGCAGCGGCCCAGGAACAUGCCGGCCCAGGACCACCUCGGCCUCCUCCCCGCGACAUGGGCCAGGCCCACUAAGGUGACCAGCCCCCCAGCCCCUUUACUUAUGCAUAGGCGCCUCUUAGUUAUUCUAAGCCUCAGUUUCGGCCCGGUAGCUAUUAUAGGAAUUAUUUUCGGUUUAGACAAUUUCAGGAUUUAGCUAAUUAUUUAAACCCCCGUAACAUUUAAACCGUAAGCCGGUUCGAGACGUGUUAUAUAUCGUUUUGUGGUAGUUUCGCGCGCAGAAUACGAAUUUGAAACUUGCAUAAUUAUGUGACGUCAUUUAGCGUGCUGGUUGCCUACAUAAGUGUGCUGCCCCAAUAGUAUAUAGCCUGUAUAAUUUUUCCGCGCAUGUUCGGAGUGCUCGAAUGCCAUGAUAGAAAUGUCCAUAUUUUAGGGACCAUAUUUCCAUGUUUUUUAGAGCGGUCACUCGUAUUUUUUGCGUGUAGGGUUUGCCGGUAAUUUAUUUUCCCAUAUCUAGGUGAUUCUCCCGCAUUAUUGUGUGGCUUUAUUUUGUGUUGCAACCCCACAUAUUUUAUAUGUUUCCGGAGUAGAAAAAUCCCAUGAAUUUUUCUGUGCAAUUAGUUUUAGCUUUAGAGGAAGUUAGUUCGCGAGAUAUUUUGCUAAGUUGCCGUUUUGUUUAAUUUGUGGGAUUUAUUCCGUGCCUCGUUUGAAUUAGUUGUCAACUAGGGAGUUGAUCUUGGAUGUUUUGUUUAGCCCCUGGUAUUUUUUGGUUGCAAUAGAAAUGCAUGUUUAGGUGUUGUUUGCCUGCUCUCAAGUUGCUAGAAAUAGUGCUGUUUUAGAGGAGCUGAAAUAUUUCUAAGUCUGGAAUCUGUUAUAUUUUGUUGCUGUCUUGUCUUGCUUGUAACUUGUGAUCUGUAGCUCUUUUGAGGUUGGUCCAAUGGAGUUAGUUGUACCCCUUGUGUUUCUCUAGCUUUCUGUGAAGUUUCAUGCCAUUUUGAGUCCUGUAGCUUAGGAUUUUUCUGCUGUCAAUAUUGCUUCAGAUCGAAAACUGCAUUUUCAUGAGGUGUAAUUUUCACUAAGUCUGAAAUAGUGUGUGAGAUGCCAUUUUGUGACUUCUUUCUCUAGUGAUCCUUGCUGCCAUGAUAGUUGUUGUUAGUUGUUCGUAGUAUUGCUUCUUGCCCUCUUCCGUGACAUGCCUUGCUUGUGCAUAUCGGAGUUGUGUAGCCAUAGUUGUGGGGCGUAGAAAGUGCUAUGUGGCUGAUUUUGGCAGAUUGUAGUGAUUUCUUGUUUUGCUCGUAGUUUUCGAACCGUAGCUCCGUUUUGAUCGUGUCCUACAUGAAACUUGCUUAGAAUCUCGUGUAGUUUCAUUUUCUCCUGCUGGUUGUUUGUUUUGAAGUGCUCGUGACUGCCGUUGCACACAUAUUGCAUUCAUGCCAUCAUAUCUUGCGGUGCUUGUAACUUUUGAUCCGUAGCUCUGUUGGAGAUGUUCUUUAUGAGUAGAUUGCUUGAAAUGACGCGUAGAAUCACGUAAAACUAUUUGUUUUGCUGUUUAACAACCAAUUAAAUGUGUUAGUUCAGAUCUGGACAGAAUUGUAAAUUACCAUGUGAGGUCGUCUCGGAGAUGCUAUAUGUCAUUUCCGACCUCAUUUAAAAUGUCUAGAUAGGUAGUUUAAUUUCCGCUUCACCUCUUGCAUGUUUGACAACUUUAAUAUUGCCGUGUAUCUAAUCGGGAUAGAACUAAAUAAUAAACGUGGAGUUUCGUCAAUAUGCAACUCGUUGCAUAUUGAACUUCACUUAAUUUGUAGUGUUUGAUUGUGUGAAUUGUCAUGCCGUGACUUGCAUGUAUUUAGGUGCUCAUGCAUCAUAUGUGUUGUGCAUCGUGUGGUGAAUUCCGUGUGUUGAUGCUUGUUUUCGGUUUCCCCCGUCUCGAUAGAGUUCCGCAACGUGCCGGAUUGUGAGGACCCGUUCGACUACGUCGGUUCGUCUGCUUCACGGAGGCAUUCUUCUUCCAAGCGGGGUCUCAGGCAAGAUGAUCAUUUCCCCAGAUACCAUUACUAUCAUUGCCAUGCUAGUAUAACCGUUUCUAUCGAUUAUGUCUCGUUGCCUACCACAUGUUAAAUAACAGCCUCUCAACAAUGCCAUGAAACCUUCAACAUGUUCGACCUAGCAAACCAUUGAUUGGCUAUGCUACUGCUUUCUUAACCCUGUUGAUAGCGUUGCUAGUUGCAGGUGCAGUUGCUUCCAUGUGAUAACAUGGGUUCCUUGUUAUAUCACCAUAUUAAUGCUAUUUAAUUUAAUGCACCUAUAUACUUGGUAAAAGGUGGAAGGCUCGGCCUUUCUAGCCUGGUGUUUUGUUCCACCUUUGCCCCCUUAGUUUCGGCUACCGGUGUUAUGUUCCAUAAACGAGCGCUCCUAACACGAUCUGGGUUGUUAUGGGGACCCCCUUGAUAAUUCGUUUUAGAUUAAAGCUGGUCUGGCAAGGCCCAACAUUGGUUCUACAUUUGCCCAACAUAAUAAUUCUGUUAAAUUGAAAUGCAUAGGGAGUUAGCGCUACCCGAGGAGUAAUUUUACAUAAACAGGGGGGGCAGUGCUGAUGGUGUUGGUCCCAAACGGUAUGCCUGCGGGGCCACCGCGAGGAAACUCGAGGUUUGGCACCUGCAGCUAGUUCCAUCCGUCGUGUCCUGAGAACGAGAUACGCGGCUCCUAUCGGGUACGUCGACACGUUGGGCGGCCUUGCUGGAUUAGUUUUACCUUUGACGAGAUAUCUUGUGCAUCGGGAUUCCGGUGAUGCUUUGAGUAAUCUCGGAGUUGAGGUUUUCCACUAGGGAAUCCAACGAGAUCGCGAGCUUCGUGAUUGAGGAUUUCUAUGCGGCUUGUGGUAAUUUGUGAUGGACUAGUUGGAGCAACCCUGCAGGGUUAAAUCUUUCGGAAAGCCGUGCCCGCGGUUAUGUGGCAACGUGGAAACUUUGUUUAACACUGGUUCUAGAUAACUUGAAGUUAACUUAAUUAAAACUUGCCAACUGUGUGCGUAACCGUGACUGUCUCUUUCGUGAGUUCCUUCUCCGAUCGAGGACACGGUGGGGUUAUGUCUGACGUAGGUAGGUGUUCAGGAUCAUUCAUUUGAUCAUCUGUAGUUCACAUCCGCUAUGCGUAGAUCUUCCCCCUCUUACUUCUUGUACUCGUAAGUUUAGCCACCAAAUAUAUGCUUAGCUGUUGCUGCAACCUCACCACUUAACCAUGCCUCACCCAUUAAGCUUUGCUAGUCUUGAUACCUUUGGAAAUGAGGUUGCUGAGUCCCCUGUGACUCACAGAUUACUACAACACCAGUUGCAGGUACAGGUAAAAGUUACUUGACGCGAGCGCGUUGAUUGAUCAUUUGGAGUUGCUUCUUCUUCUUCUUCUUCAUCGAUCUAGGGUGGGUUCCAGGCCGGCAGCCUGGGAUAGCAAGGAUGGACGUCGUUCUUCUAUUGCCGUUUGUUUUCGUCCGUAGUCGGACCCUGCUCUUACUCUUGAUGAUUAUGUAAUUUACUGAUGUGACUCUGAUGUAGCUUGUGGCGAGUGUAAGCCAACUCUAUUUAUACCUCUUCUUUUCAGUACAUGUACUUGUAACGAUAUCCAUUCUUGCGACACGACGAGAUGCGCUUCUAUCCCUGACGAGGCCCCCGUGCCAAAUUGAGGAUAGGGUCGCAUCUUGGGCGUGACAUUUAUCAAAAGGAAUAUCACUCUCAUUGAAUCUACGAAGAUAAUUUACCUCUACUACCUGUAUCGGGUUAUCAAGAUCAUGGAUCUCUUCGAUAGGUGGUAGAUUUUUGACAUCUUCAGAUUUAAUGCCUUUCUCUUUCAUAGAUUUCUUAGCUUCUUGCAUAUCUUCAGGACUGAGGAAUAGGAUACCUCUUUUCUUCGUAGUUGGUUUCGGAGGUGGUUCGGGAAUAGUCCAAGCAUUCUCAUUGCACAAGAUAUUAUUCAAUAGGAUCUCAAAUUGUUCUACAGUUCGUUUCCUAAAAACACAACCAACACAACUAUCUAGGUGGUCUCUAGAAGCAUCGGUUAGUCCAUUAUAGAAGAUAUCAAGUAUUUCAUUCUUCUCAAGAGGGUGAUCAGGCAAAGCAUUCAGUAGCUGGACGAGCCUCCCCAAGCUUAUGGGAGACUCUCUUCUUCAACUUGCGCAAAGUUGUAUAUUUCCUUCAAGGCAGCUUGUUUCUUAUGGGCAGGGAAAUAUUUUCUAGAGAUGUAGUAGAUCAUAUCCUGGGGGCUAUGCACAAAACCAGGAGCAAGAGAAGUGAACCAGGUCUUAGAAUCAUCCUUUAGCGAGAAAGGAAACAACUUAAGGAUAUAGUAGUGGCGAAUCUUUUCCUCACUCGUGAAUAGGGUGGCUAUAUCGUGUAGUUUGGUAAGAUGUGCUACAACCGUUUUAGACUCAUAACCAUCAAAGGGAUCAGAUUUGACCAGAGUGAUUAACUCACGGUCGACAGAGAAUUCAUAAUCCUUAUCGGUCACAAAGAUAGGCGAAGUAGAAACUUUGGGUCAUAUUUGAUCCUAGCGUUCAAAGAUUUUUCUUUCCACUUACGCAGUAACUUCUCAACACCAUAGCUAUCCUUACAAGCAAGAAAGUCCUCAGCUAUCUCUCCCUCUAUAACAUAACCCUCAGGCAUAUCAGGCAAUUCAUAUCUAGGAGAGCUAGUUCUAAGAGGCGAAAUAGAAGGUUCUACCUCAAUAAUCUCAACAGUUUCACAAGUAUCAUCACAUCUAGCAGCAACUCUAGCAAUUUGUGCAUCAAGGAAUGCACCUAGUGGCAAAGCAGUAUCAAGCAUAGCAUCAUCACAAGUAUCAUGGACAGCAGAAGUAGCAUCAUCAAGCACAUGCGACAUAUCAAAAUUUCUAGCAUGACGUGGUGUCGCAAACUUACUCAUAACUGAAGGUGAAUCAAGUGCAGAGCUAGAUGGCAGUUCCUUACCCGUCCUCGUAGUUGAGGGCAAGACUUUAGUUUUUGGAUCUCUCGGAUUCCUCAUAGUGAUCAGCAAACGUAAAUCCCAAGUGACUCAGAGAAUAUUGCUAGGCCUCCUCGGCAAUGGCGCUAGAAAAAGGUCUUGAUAACCCAGAAGUAUAGGGGAUCGCAAUAGUUUUCGAGGGUAGAGUAUUCAACCCAAAUUUGUUGAUUCGACACAAGGGGAUGCCAAAGAAUAUUCUCGAGUAUUAGCAGUUGAGUUGUCAAUUCAACCACACCUGAAAGACUUAGUAUCUGCAGAAAGUAUCAGUAGCAAGGUAGUGUGAUAGCAACAGUAGCAACGGUAAAGUAGCAGCAGCAACAUCAGUAGUGAUAGAGUAACAGUAGCAGCAGUGACAACAGUAGCAACGGAGUACCAGUAGCAGCAAUGACAGUAGUAGCGGCAAAGUAACAUAGCAAGGACCAGUAGGAAAAACUUGUAGGCAUUGGAUCGGUGAUGGAUGAUUAUGCUGGAUGGUAUUCAUCAUGCAACAGUUAUAACACGGAGAGAUAUGUAACUAGCUCUAGUUGGUCAAUGUAAUGUAGGCAUGUCUUCUGUAUGUAGUCAUACGUGCUUAGGGAAAAGAACUUGCAUGCCAUCUAUUGUCCAUCCCUCCCGUGGCAGCGGGGUCCUAAUGGAAACUACGGGAUAUUAAGUUUCUCCUUUUAAUAGAGAACCGGACCAACGCAUUAACACUUAGUGAAUACAUGAACUCCUUAUACUAUGGUCAUUUCCGGGAGUGGUUCCGGCUAUUGUCACUCCGGAGUUGCUGGGUCAUAACACAUAGUAGGUGACUAUAACUUGCAAGAUAGGAUCAAGAACACACAUAUAUUGACGAGAACAUAAUAGGUUCAGAUCUGAAAUCAUGGCACUCGGGCCCUAGUGACAAGCAUUAAGCAUGGCAAAGUAGUAGCAACAUCAAUCUCAGAACAUAGUGGAUACUAGGGAUCAAUCCUCGUCAUAAAUAACUUGAUUACAUGAUAGAUCUCACCCAACCCAUCACCGUCCAGCAAGCCUAUGAUGAGAUUACUCAUGAACGGUGAAGAGCAUCAUGGAAUUGGCGAUGAAGGAAGGUUGGUGAUGACGAUGGCGAUGAUCUCCCCUCUCCGGAGCCCAGAACGGACUCCAGAUCAGCCGUCCAGAGGAAGAACAGGAGGUGGCGGAGCCUCCGUAUCGUAAAACGCAAUGAACUCUUCUCCUUGAUUUUUCUCCGGACGAAAGGAACUAAAUAGAGCUGGAGUUGGAGGCGGUGGAGCUCCGUGGUCCCCACAAGCCUGCUAGGCGCGUCCAGGGGGGUGCCUGGUGGGCUUGUAGGCUCCACGCUCCACUUCUCCGGUUUAUUCUUGCGCCAGUAUUUUUUAUAUAUUCCACAAAAAAUCCUUGUAAAUUUCCAGGUCAUUCCGAGAACUUUUAUUUCCGCACAAAAACAACACCAUGGCAAUUCUCCUGAAAACAACGUUAGUCCGGGUUAGUUCCAUUCAAAUCUUGCAAAUUAGAGUCCAAAACAAGGGCAAAAGAGUUUGGAAAAGUAGAUACGACGGAGACGUAUCAACUCCACCAAGUUUAAAGCCUUGCUUGUCCUCAAGCAAUUCAGUUGACAAACUGAAAGAGACAAAAGAAAAACUUUUACGAACUCUGUUUGAUCUUGCUAUUGCAACUAUGUCUAACUCAUAUCCAGAAUUUCAGCAAGAUCAUUAGCUAACCACAUUAGCAAAUGACAUCUAGGUCUUCUCCAACCUGCGUCACCUUGCCCCGCAGCUUGACCUCUGGCGCGUCAUCGAGCCGACGCCCGCUGAGUCUCGUCAUCUUCUCCAGGACGAAGUCCGCCCGCACGUGGACGUCCUGGUGGAGCGGUGCGUCCGGGUGCUUGUCUCCAGUGAGGAGGAGGGCUCCGACGCCGAGCCUGCAGGCGCCAAGGGCGACGUCGGCGGCCUCUCCCCCUAGGCACUCCCGGCUUCUGUCUACCUGCUCCUGUGCUAUUUGAUCAAGAACCCUGCCUUGUCGGGCGUUAAGCUUUUGCGUUAUUACCUUUUCCAUCCGUCGUCUUCCCUUUCCCUCUUGAAUUGAUCAUUUGCUCACUGGUGGUCGUUGUGGCUUGGCUUCGAAGCUUAGGGACCGUCGUUGCCCCAGCCAGUGCUCGGGGAAACGGCGGCCACGGCCCUCAGGUGGUCCCGUCCUCCCGAGGCACCGCUCGUGCCGCUGCACGCAUGGUCGAUGGCCUCAUUCCUCGAUGCAGCUGAAUCCUUAGGCCACACACCCCUUCGUUAGUACGUAUGUUUUUAAUUUGUUGUUACUUUGGCAUGAAACCAAAUGACCCCCGUUUGGUCCUGCGGGGUACUUAGCUCGUGGGUUUGCGCCGGUCCAUUUCGUAGAUCCUCCUGAGUAGCUCCUGCUUUGUAUGUAUGACAGGGUGGAGACCCUUUCGGCACUCUAUGUUUGCAGGCCCUAGUCCCGCACUGUGUUCGGUGGGGCUCCUGAGGCUCAAUGCGUAGGAGCCCCCUUUGGCGUUUGAGUGAUUCCUCUUCACGUUUCUUUGGUCAUCUCCCCAGGACGCCCUGAGGCCUCCUGAGACUCUUUGCAGUGAUAUCGUGCUUCGAUCUGGACCCCCGAGCGGGGGCUGAUCGCCGAAAAUGUUUGCCCGUGGGACGACAAAUCCUUGCUUUCGCUCCUUGGCCCCUAGGGGCGGGCGGAGCAUGUAGCUCCUCAGAAAAUCCAGAAAGAGAGGCUUCCAAACCGGCGAAACGAGAAAGCGUAAGAGAAAGUUCCACCCCCUUUUUGUUUUUCAAACAUAAAAAAUUGACAGAUUUAAGUCCGACAGAAGAUGGUUCGAAAUCUAGGUAAAAUCAAGCAAAUUCCGUGUGCGGCACCUAGGCUGGCAUAAUCAUUGGGGACUAUGUCGGUUUCCUUGCCAGCUGCGGGCAUAGUCAUUGGUGGACUGAGUUGAUUGCCGCUGUCUUCUCCCCAGCGCAGAGCGUAGGGAUGCCACUAGGCAUGGGAUGUACCCCUUCCGCAUCCUCGGGGGGGCCCUGGGCGUAUACAGCCUCGGCUCGUUAUUACGGGAGAGUGUCACGGUGGUGGUGUAUCUGGGAGGUCGCGAGGACGCUUUGGCCUCGCGGGUGUCCCUACCCUCGAGGCAUAGGUGCCUGAUUCCUGAAGUCAUUGGUGGACUGUGUUGAUCGCCGCCAUUUCCCCUAGCGCUGAGCAUAUGGCUGCCACUAGGCGUGGGAUGGACCCCUUACGCGUCCUCGGCCCCCCUGGGCGUAUACAACCUCGACUCGUUAUUACGUGAGAGUGUCACGGGAUGAAGUAGGUUCCGGAAGGAUUGAAGGACAAUGCAGAGGUGCGCCGGGUUGAUGCAGGUCCUGCGCGCUCCUUCUCCCGAGGCCAGUUGAGGGCUUUUCUAUUACUCUACGUUGGUAGGUCCUAGUCCCACACAUUUCCCUACCACCAUGAGGCGCCUCACGGGGCAAGGCCCUGGUUCCCCUGACAUCGAUCGAAUGUCCCUGGAUGGCACUAGGGUGGCCAACUGGCUUUGUGAUCGGUAAGGCUCCUGAGGCGCGAUGCUCAGGAGCCCCCUUUAACGUUAGAACGGCUCUGUGUCGCCAGGAUCUAGUCUUCCACAUUUCCCAACCGCCAUCACAUGCGACCGAAUGAACGGACGCAACUACGGGGUCAAGCCUUGCCACCCCUGAUAACGACCGAAUGUCCAUGGACGAUAUCAAGGGUGGAAGGUGGCCUUAUGACCGGUAAGGCCCCUGAGGCACAAUGCUCAGGAGCCCCCUUUUGACGCUCAAGCGGACCCCAUCUCGUCCUGCUGAUUGUGGCCCUCGGAAGCCGCGAGGCGUCCCCAGGUCCCCCGAUGGGCGUCGUGCACCGGCCGGAGCCCCCGAGCGCGGGGGAGGGGGGGUAGAUCGCCCGAAGAUGCAAGCAACUCAAGAUGUCAGGUCGCCGAAUGGAUGCACCAGGAGUUAUAGAGACAUGAGUAAAUGAUGAGAUGGGCAGGGGUGUGCCGUGAACACUUGAAGUUCCUAUGGUCAGCACGCACUCCUUAGAGCACGGAGCCCAAAAAAUUACGUCGCAUAGCUUCUUCGCGUAUGAGGGCCGCCUUGUGAGGCCCGACCCUCGGUGCCUGCUCCAGCUCCAUGGUUGCCGCGGGUGGCCCGCGCCACUUGUGUCUUGUUGCUUCAUAUGACUUGUCCUCUUGAGGCUUGGGGUCCGGUUCUUCACAGUUCCUCCGAGGGGGCGGCGCCUGACGUCAUGCCCUGGGGCCCGGGGGCGCCGGGGGCCUCCACGGCGUUCCUUACUCCUGAGGAGAAUAGGCGGCCGGGGUGGACGCUUGAGGCUCUUACUCGUCGAGAGGGUCUGGUGGUAUCGCAUACUCUGGUACAUAAGUCUCCAUGUAGGCGUUCGAUCGGCCUCUGUGGCCGUUCAGCAGCGCGACCGUGGCGGUCCCUUUCAAGGCGGAGGGGGAUCCCCCCGGCCGUGUUGCUCGAAGAUCUUCCUGCGAUGGGCCUCUGCACGAAGCCGCUUGUUCCUGUUGCCGCCGUUGGUUGGUAUGGGUAUUGCCCGGUGCAGACUCCCCCCUUGGUGCCCUGGUAUGUCUCUGUUGUCGUAGUUUGCCCGCGCCGAUGCCUGCUUCGCCUACGCCUGAGGGAGCGCUCCCGCUUGGCCUCUCUGGGUUGUUGGGGACCAACCUGGUCUUGGCAAUGUGCGUCGGCGUGUGCAUCGAAGGCCCUGCUGUUCUCUUUGCACCCAUGGUGGUUGCCGUCGUGCUGCACCUCCAGGCCAGCCGUCGGGACCUGGAGGAGGAGGAGGAGGGCAGCAAGAGAUGCGCCUCUCUCGGCCCCGCCCUUCGCAGGAGGGGCUCCGUCGCUUGCAGGCUCGGGGACUGGCACAAGGUGCGAGCCCCCGGGGACCGGCGCCUGCAGCCUUGAAGGAGAGUGGGGUCGGAUGGCCUUCUGGGCGAUGGUGAUCAGCUCCAUGAUGUGAUCUGCCCAGGCGUCGAAGCCCCCUUGCGUCGGUCGUUGGAGGAGCAUCUCACUCUCCAUCUGCAAUGCAUCGUGCGGGCCGAGGUCACCGGCUGCCUGGGUGGCGUGGGCGGUCGAGACGGUGGAGGUGAUGUUGACGAUCUGGUACGAGCCGCCUAAUACCACAACGUCGGUACACGUUGCGGCCACUGUGGUAUGGCGAUUGGAGGCCAGCUCGACGAGGCUCGAAGAAGCUUGUUGGGCGCCGGUCAUUGGAGCAGCGGGCUCGGGGAAGAUGGAGGUCGGAGAAGACCUCGACAUGCCCCCUACCUGGCGUGCCAAAUGUUGGAUUUCGGGCUCCGCAAAACCCUAAAGAUUCGAACUCAGGGGCGUGUACGAAGAUCUCUCACUGGCUCGCCUCACAUAGCUCGCUACUCGCUGAGAAUAGCAAGGAACUCACUCGAUGGUGAGGUAGACACAGAACACGGCAGUUUACCCAGGUUCGGGCCACUAAGAAUCGUACUACCCUACUCCUGCUUUGGUGGAUUGCUUCUCGUGGAGGUUGGUGGAUGAACUAGUACAAUGUUUAAGGGCCUCCGUAUGCUGGAUGGCCUUUGCGUUGUGUUGGUCGGUGAAUGAAUCGAUUGCCCCCAGUUCUACGAAGCAACCUAUCCUCUAUAUAUAGUGGCGGCCCCACUCCUCUUCCCUUAUUGUUUCGGCGGGAAGGGAUCCCACAACGGCCAAUUUCAAAGGGGGACAGGGGAACAUGCUUCCCCUGUCCAAAAGUGGUCUUUGCGUGCAAAGUGGCUGCCAACACUGUGGGGAUGGGUUCAGGGAUGACGUCCGUCCUGCCGGCGGGUGGCCAUGGUCUUGUUGCACCAGAAUGGAAACCUUUAGGAGAUACCUUGGAGACCCGUGCGCGUCCUUGUCCCCUUUGCACUAAAGGGGAAACUGCACCGUCCUGCUGUCCGCCGCUCGCCUGUCCUUCUCCCACGUCACCCUUGACUCCUGAGGCUGGGCCUUGCCUUGGAAUAUCCGCCGCUCCGGAGGGGUCCUGAGGAGGCCCCCUGCGGGUCUUGAUACUGCUCCUCCUCGUGAGGCUUGGUCCCUCGCGAGGGCCUUGUCUUGAGUGAUGUCGGACCUGUUGUUUUUUGGUAGAUGAAGUGGGCUAGCCCUAGGCCGCAGGGUGGUAGGUAUGGGUACCCCCAUUCCCAGAAUGCNNNNNNNNNNNNNNNNNNNNNNNNNNNNNCGAGAAUUCUUUUGUAUGUGAUCGCAACAGCCAGUGAAACAUCAGCGCCAACCCCAGACUGCAUUCAACGCGUCAUCGACGACUUUCCAGAUGUCUUCGUCGCGCCCACAUGUGUGAUGCCCGGCGAGCUAGCAAUCAUUGGAUACCUCUUUUCCCGGGUACACAACCAGUGAACAUCAGGCCAUAUCGUCACAAGCCAGAGCACACAACGGAAAUCAAAGCACAAGUUGAAGAACUGCUCAGAUCAGGUAUCAUUCAAUGCAACACCAGUCCCUUCGCUUUGCCACUCAUCCCCAUCAAGAAAAAGGAUGGGGCAUGGCGCUUGUGCAUAGAUUAUAGACACAUCAAAGCACUUACAGUGGUCGCCAAGUACCCAGUGCCAGUGAUUUAGGAACUUCUGGACGAACUACAUGGCGCGGUCUGGUUUUCCAAACUUGAUCUCCGUGCAGGUUACCACCAAAUCCGUCUUGCACCAGGAGAGGAGCACAAAACUGCAUUUCAAUCCAUCAAGGCUACUUCGAGUUAAUGGUGGUCUCAUUUGGCUUCGCAGGCGCACCGACGAAAUUUCUGGGCGCAAUGACAAUGGACCUGAACCCUCUCAACCGUGUGCGCGUGCUCUCCUUAUUCGAUGACAUCUUGGUCUUCAACGCGUCUCUGCCUGACCAUGUCGUCCAUCUGCGGAAGGUUCUACAACCGCUUUGCAAGGAUUGCUGGAAUGUCAAGCUAAGCAAAUGUGCCUUUGGCCAAUAGGAGAUUUCGUACCUCGUCCACACCAUCAGUGUCGAGGGCGUCUCCAUCGUGCCAUCCAAGAUUGUUGCAGUGGUUAAUUGGACAACCCCCACGGACGUCAAAGGAGUCCACAACUUCCUGGGGCUCGCAGGGUACUACCGCCGGUUCGUUAGGAAUUUCGGCGUGAUCGCACGACUCCUGUUCAAUCUGCUAAAGGAAGGGGUCCCAUUUCUAUGGACUCCCGUCAUCGAAACUGCAUUCCAAGUGCUGAAGGAACAACUGGUCUUAGCCCCUAUGCUGGCCCUACCCAAUGUCAAGCAACCAUUCGCAGUCGAGAUAGACGCGAACGAUCGUGGCAUUGGGGCCAUUCUGCAAUAGAACGUGCAUUCGUUUUCUUUCAUGAGAAGGCGCUCAGUCUGCGUUAUCAGGGCCUGUCCACUUAUGAGAAGGAGUACCUCCCAAUUAUUGUGUCUAUCAAUCAAUGGUGGCCCUACCUUCAGCAUGUGGAAUUCGACAUCCUCACCCACCAAAAAAGCCUAGUUCAUUUGGAGGAACAACGACUGAAAAUGCCUUGGCAGCAGAAGGAAUUCACCAAACUACUCGGUCUACAUUACUGCAUCCGCUACAAAAAGGCAUUUAGAAUGCCGGUGCUAAUGCCUUAUCGCGCGCUAACCCCUCCGACACUCUGACUACCAUCACGUCGUGCCAGCCAGCGUGGCUCAAGAUGUCGCCAACAGCUAUGUCAACAAUCCCUAGGCCGAGCGCUUACUGGAGCAACUCGCCAUGAGGGAAGACCCAAAGGGGCAUUUUUCCUUGCAGCAGGGUAUUUUGCGCUUCCAUCGCAGGAUUUGGCUCGGAUGGAACACCAAAAUUAAACAAAGGAUUAUCUCGGCUUUUCAUGGCAGUUUGCUACUUCUUGAGCUUGCGUUGGUUUUUCCCUUGAAGAGGAAAGGGUGAUGCAACAAAGUAGAUAUAAGUAUUUCCCUCAGUUUGAAAACCAAGGUAUCAAUCCAAUAGGAGUAUCAAGAUGAGGGACCAAUAAACCUGCUCAAAAACAAACAAACUUGCACCCAACACGAUAAAGGGGUCGUCAAUCCCUUCACGAUUACUUGCAAGGUGAGAUCUGAUAGUGAUGAAAGGUAAAUAUAAAUAAAAGUGCAGCAAGGUAUUUUUGGUAUUUUUGUAUGUAGAUCUGAAUAUAUAAUGUGUAAGAUAGACCCGGGCCCAUAGUGUUCACUAGAGGCUUCUCUCAUGAUAGCAAGUAUUACGGUGGGUGAACAAAUUACUGUCGGGCAAUUGCUAGAAUCGCACAAAGUCAUGACGAUAUCUAAGGCAAUGAUCAUACAUAUAGGCAUCACGUUCGAGACAAGUAGACCGAUACUUUCUGCAUGUACUACUAUUACUCCACACAUCGACCACUAUCCAGCAUGCAUCUAGUGUAUUAAGUUCAUAACAAACGGAGUAACGCCUUAAGCAAGAUGACAUGAUGUAGAGGGAUAAAUUCAUGCAAUAUGAUAUAAACUCUAUCUUUUUACCCUUGAUGGCAACAACACGAUGCGUGCCUCGCUACCCCUUCUAUCACUAGGUGAGGACACCGCACGGUAUGAACCCAAAACCAAACACUUCUCCGAUUGCAAGAAUUAUAGAUCAAGUUGGCUAAAAGAAACCCAUAACUCGAAGAGAAUUACAAGGAUAUGAAAUCAUGCAUAUAAGUAAUCAGAGAAGACUCAAAUAAUAUUCAUAUAUAAUCUGAUCAUAUAUCCACAAUUCAUCGGAUCUCGACAAACACACCGCAAAAGAAAGUUACAUCGGAUAGAUCUCCAUGAAGAUCAUGGAGAACUUUGUAUUGAAGAUCCAAGAGAGAGAGGAAGCCAUCUAGCUACUAGCUAUGGACCCAAAGGUCUGUGGUGAACUACUCACGCAUCAUCGGAGAGGCAACGGUGUUGAUGAAGAAGCCCUCCGUGUCCGAAUCCCCCAUCGCCAGGGCACCAGAACGGUCCCCAGAUGGGAUCUUGCGGAGACAGAAGCUUGCGGCGGUUAAAAAGUAUUUUCGUGGCUCCCUCUGGUGGUUUCGGGAUAUUUGGAAAUUUAUAGGCAAAAGAGGUAGGGCAGAGGAGGAAAGGGGGGCCCACAAGCCUGCUAGGCGCGUCCCCCCUAGGGCACACCUAGGGGGCUCGUGACCUCCCACGAGACCUCCUUCCUUGGUUCUCAAGUCUUCUCGGUAUCUUCUGUUAUGGAAAAAAUCAUCCCGCAGGUUUUAUUCCGUUUGGACUCCGUUUAAUAUUCUUUUCUGAAAAAUGUCAAAAACACGGAAAAUACAGAAACUGGCACUAGGCACUGAGUUAAUAGGUUAGUCCCAAAAAUGAUAUAAAAUGGCAUAUAAAUGCAUGUAAAACAUCCCAAGUUGAUAAUAUAAUAGCGUGGAACAAUAAAAAAUUAUAGAUACGUUGGAGACGUAUCAAGCAUCCCCAAGCUUAACUCCUGUUCGUCCUCGAGUAGGGAAGUGAUGAAGACCGAAUUUUUGAUGUGGAAUGCUACCUAACAUAUUUGUUCUUUGUAACUUAUUUAUUGUGGCAUGAAUGUUCAGAUCCGUAAGAUUCAAAACAAUAGUUUAAUAUUGACAUGAAAACAAUAAUACUUCAAGCAUACUAGCAAAGUAAUCAUGAACUUUUGAAAUAACAAGGCCAAAGAAAUUUCUCCCUACAAAAUCAUAUAGUCUGGCUAUGCUCCAUCAUCCCCAAACAACGAAUUUAAAUCAUGGACAACCCCGGUAUUGGACAAGUAAUUGUUUUCGCACUCUUACUUUCUCUAACCUUUUCAACUCUCACGCAAUACAUGAGCAUGAGCCAUGGAUAUAGCACUAUAGGUGGAAUAGAGUGUGGUGGAGGUUGCGAGGCAAAAAGAAGGAGAUGGUCACAUCGACUCGGCGUAUCAUCGGGUUAUGGAGAUGCCCAUCAAUAGAUAUCAAUGUGAAUGAGUAGGGAUUGCCAUGCAACGGAUGCACUAGAACUAUAAGUGUAUGAAAGCUCAAAAAGAAAACUAGUGGGUGUCCACCCAACUUGCUUGCUCACGAAGACCUAGGGCAAUUUUGAGGAAGCCCAUCAUUGGAAUAUACAAGCCAAGUUAUAUAAUGAAAAUUCUCACUAGUAUAUGAAAGUGACAAAACAAUAGACUCUCUAUCAUGAAGAAUGUGGUGCUAUUUUGAAGCACAAGUGUGGAAAAAGAUAGUAGCAUUGUCCCUUCUCUCUUUUUCUCUCAGUUUUUUUGUUUGGGCUCUUUGGCCUCUUUUUUUCAUUUUUUUGGUGGGCAUCUUUGGCCUCUUUUUUUUAUUUCCUCACAUGGGACAAUGCUCUAAUAAUGAUGAUCAUCACACUUUUAUUUACUUACAACUCAAUACUUAGAACAAUAAUGACUCUAUAUGAAAUGCCUCCGGCAGUGUACCGGGAUGUGCAACGAUCUAGCUUAGCAUAUGACGUUGAAACAUCUCGCUAGCUAUCUUCCGAUCAUGCAAUGGCAAUAAGAGAGUGGCGGUCAUAAGUCAUGAGACGGAACGGUGGGAGUUGCAUGGCAAUAUAACGGAACGGUGGAAGUUGCAUGGUAAUAUAUCUCGGAAUGGCUAUGAAAAUGCCAUAAUAGAGAGGUAUAGUGGCUGUUUUGAGGAAUGUAUAUGGUGGGUUUGUGCACCGGCGAAAGUUGCGAGACACUAGAGAUGCUAGCAAUGGUGGAAGGUGAGAGUGUAUCUAUACCAUGGACUCACAUUAGUCAUGAAGAACUCAUAUACUUAUUGCGAAAGUUUUAUUAGUAAUCGAAACAGAGUGCUAAACACAUACUCCUAGGGGAAGGGUUGGUAGGUGUUAACCAUCGCGCGAUCCCGACCGCCACACAAAGGAUGACAAUCAAUAAAUCAAUUAUGCUCUGACUUCCUAACAUAGCGGUUCACCAUACGUGCAUGCUACGGGAAUCACUAACUUCAACACAAGUAUUUCUAGAUUCACAACACCCUACUAACAUAACUCUAAUAUUACCAUAUCCAUAUAUCAAAACUAAUUGUGAGGAAUCAAACUUCUCUUACUAAUAAAUACACUUGUAUAUGAAAGUUUUUAUUAUAUCCUCUUUGGAUGCCUAUCAUAUUUUGGACUAAUUUCAUAACACACGCCAAUUACCAAGUUACUUAGAGAGAGCACUCUCAAAAUGAUAUAAGUGAAGAUCGAGAGUUUUUAUUUCUACAAAAUAUGACACCGCCGUGCUCUAAAAGGAUUUAAGUGAAGCACUAGAGAAAAAUCAUCUAGCUCAAAAGAUAUAAGUGAAGCUCAUGGGAGCAAAAUUUUCUAGCUCAAAAGAUAUAAGUGAAGCUCAUGGGAGCUAAAUUUCCUAGCUCAAAAGAUAUAAGUGAAGCUCAUUGAGUAUUCUAACAAAUUCAUGAUGAGUGCAUGUACCUCACAAAAAGGUGUGCAUCAAGGAUGAUUGUGAUAAAACAAAAAGCAAAGACUCCUAUAGUACACAACGCUCCAAGCAAAACACAUAUCAUGUGGUAAAUAAAAAUAUAGCUCCAAGUAACGUUACCGAUGGAUUGAAGACCAAAGAGGGGAUGCCUUCCCGGGGCAUCCCCAAGCUUAGGCUUUUUUGUGUCCUUGAAUUUGGCUUGGGAUGACUUGGACAUCCCCAAGCGUAGGAUCUUUCCACUCUUUAUUCCAUUGUCCAUAAGAACAUCACCCAAAACAUGAAAACUUCACAACACAAAACUUAAACAGAAACUCGUGAUAUCAUUAGCAUAAGAAAACAAACCACCAACUUUUUAGGUACUGUUGUAAACUUAAUUUCCAUUUAGAUUGAUGUUAUAUUACUGUAUUCUCAGUUCUCCUUGGCUCGCACCCCCCGAUACUAACCAUAAUUUUAUCAAAAUAAGCAAUCAACACAACAAAAACAGAAUCUGUCAAAAAUAGACGAGUCUGUAGCAAUAUGUAUAUUUCUUAAACCGCUGCUAUCCCAAAAAUUCUGAAACAUUAUGAAAAUUAGGGAAAUUUUCAUAUCAAUAAGCAUCAAAACGAAUCAACUCAAAAGCUCUUUCUGGAUAGGAAUUAAAAAUAAUUUCGUGAGCACAAAGUUUCUGUCUUUUUCAGCAUGAUUAAACAACUAUCACCAAAACUAAUCAUAAAGGUUCUACUUGGCACAAACACUAAUUAAAAUAUAGAAAACACAAUCAAGAUGGUGUGGACUCAACAAAACAGAAAGUAAAAAGCAAAAAUAAAUUUAUUCAUUCGGUUGUCUCCCAACAAGCGCUAUCGUUUAACGCCCUUAGCUAGGAAUAAGGCAAUAGAAUCAAGUAUCGUCAUCUUUAGUGCUCAAACCAUAAGUAGCUCUCAUAACGGAUUCAUAAGGCAAUCUUAUUUUCUUUCUAGGAAAGUGAUCCAUGCCCUUCUUUAAUGGAAAUUGAAAUUUAAUAUUCCCUUCCUUCAUAUCAAUAACAACACCAAUAGUCCUAAGGAAAGGUCUACCAAGAAUAAUGGGACAUGUCGGAUUGCAAUCAAUAUCAAGCACAAUGAAAUCUACGGGCACAUAGUUCCUAUUUGCAAUAAUAAGAACAUCAUUGGUCCUUCCCAUAGGUUUCUUAAUAGUAGAAUCCGCAAGAUGCAAAUUAAGAGAGCACUCAUCAAUCUCAUUGAAACCUAGAACAUCACAUAAAGAUUUUGAAAUUGUGGAAACACUAGCACCAGAAUCACACAAAGCAUGGCAUUCAUAAUUUUUAAUAUUUAUUUGUAUAGUAGGUUCCCACUCAUCAAGAAGUUUUCUAGGAAUAGAUAUUUCCAACUCAAGUUUCUCUUCAAGAGACUUCAUCAUAACAUCAACGAUAUAAUUGGUAAAAGCCUUAUUUUGGCUAUAAGCAUGUGGAUAGUUUAGCAUGGAUUGCAUCAAGGAAAUACAUUUAAUAAAAGAGAAACUAUCAUAAUUAAAUUCCUUGAAAACCAAAGUCGUAAUUUCAUCACUAUUCAAAGUUUUGAUAUCCUCUACUCCACUUUCAGUAUCAAGAUAAAUAGACUCCGAAUCAUUGGGGCGUUUCUCAACCAAAGUGGAUUCGAAUACAACCCCAUCAUCAUUAGGAUUGUCAUUAGAAAACAAGGAUUCAAUAGGAGUCACACCAAGCACUUUAAGAUCUUCGUGGUUCUCAUCACGAGAACAUGCCUUUCUAAGCCAUUCAUGUCUAGCACGAAUUUGGGCGGUUCUUUCUUUACUCUCAUUCAUAGAAACACGCAUAGCUUUCAAAGUUUCAUCCAUAUUAAUCUUGGGAGGAACACAUCUCGAUUUCAAAGCAUCAAUAUCAAGAGACAUUCUAUCAGCAGUCGUAGCCAAGUCAUCGCUUUUAAGCAAUUUUUCUUCUAUGGUAGCAUUGAAAAUCUUUUGCGAAGUAAUAAACUCCUUAAUAUUACUCUCAAGAUCAGAGGGUAUUUUAUUAUAAUUUCCAUGAGCAUUGUUGUAGGAAUUGCAAAAAUUAUUAGAGGGAUUACUAGGAAAAAGCCUAGAAUUAAAGUUACCUCUAUAAGCAUUGUUGUUACCAAAAUUAUUCCUACCAACAAAAUUAACAUCCAAAUUUUCAUUGCAAUUCUCAAUCAAGGAAGACAAAGGCAUAUCAUUUGGAUCUAGAGGAGCACUUUUACUAGAAAACAACUUCAUUAACUCAUCCAUCUUAGCACUCAAAGAGUUAAUUUCUUCUAUGACAUGCACUUUUUUACUAGUUGGUGACCUUUCAGUGUGCCACUGAGAAUAAUUUGUCAUGAUAUUAUCUAGGAGUUUUGUAGCUUCUCCUAGUGUGAUUUCCAUGAAAGUUCCACCAGAGGCGGAAUCCAAGAUUUUUCUAGAAGCAAAAUUCAAACCAGCAUAGAAAAUUUGUAUAAUCAUCCAAAGACUCAGGCCAUGAGCGGGACAAUUUCUAAUCAUCAAUUUCAUUCUUUCCCAAGAUUGUGCAACAUGUUCAUGAUCUAGUUGCUUAAAAUUCAUGAUAUCAUUACAGAGAGAGAUAAUCUUAGCCGGUGGAAAAUACUUAGAAAUAAAGGCAUCUUUACACUUGUUCCAUGAAUCAAUACUAUUUUUGGGUAAAGAUGAAAACUAAGUUUUUGCUCGAUCUCGUAAUGAGAACGAAAAUAGCUUCAAUUUAAUCAUAUCAUUAUCCACAUCUUUCUUCUUUUGCAUAUCACAUAACUCAAUAAAGGUAUUAAGAUGGGAUGCGACAUCUUCACUGGGAAGGCCGGAAAAUUGCUGUUUCAUAACAAGAUUCAACAAGGCAGCAUUAAUUUCAUAUGAUUCCGCACUAGUAGCGGGAGCAAUUGGAGUACUAAUAAAAUCAUUGUUAUUAGUAUUCGAAAAGUCACACAAUUUAUUUUUUCAGACAUGGUGACUUAGCAAGCAGAUAAGCACGCAAGCAAACAGAAAGCAAGCAAAAGAAAGGGCAAAUGAAAAAGGCAAAUAUUUUUGUAAAUUUUGUUUUUUAGAAGUGGGGGAGAGGAAAACGAGAGGCAAAUAAUGUAAAUGCAAGAGAUGAGUUUGUGAUAGGUACUUGGUAGAUAUGCUUCACUUGAAUACUCCCCGGCAACGGCGCGAGAAAUUCUUCUUGCUACUUCUUGAGCUUGCGUUGGUUUUUCCCUUGAAGAGGAAAGGCUGAUGAAGAAAAGUAGAGAUAAGUAUUUCCCUCAGUUUGAGAACCAAGGUAUCAAUCCAGUAGGAGUAUCAAGAUGAGGCACCAAUGAACCUGCGCAAAAACAAACAAACUUACACCCAACGCGAUAAAGGGGUUGUCAAUCCCUUCACGAUUACUUGCAAGGUGAGAUCUGAUAGUGAUGAAAGGUAAAUAUAAAGAAAAGUGCAGCAAGGUAUUUUUGGUAUUUUUCUAUGUAGAUCUGAAUAUAUAAUGUGUAAGAUAGACCCGGGGGCCAUAGUGUUCACUAGAGGCUUCUGUCAUGAUAGCAAGUAUUACGGUGGGUGAACAAAUUACUGUCGAGCAAUUGAUACAAUGGCACAAAGUCAUGACGAUAUCUAAGGCAAUGAUCAUACAUAUAGCCAUCACGUCCGAGACAAGUAGGCCGAUACUUUCUGCAUCUACUACUAUUACUCCACACAUCGACCGCUAUCCAACAUGUAUCUAGUGUAUCAAGUUCAUAACAAACGGAGUAACGCCUUAAGCAAGAUGACAUGAUGUAGAGGGAUAAAUUCAUGCAAUAUGAUAUAAACCCCAUGUUUUUACCCUUGAUGGCAACAACAUGAUGCGUGCCUCGCUACCCCUUCUGUCACUAGGUGAGGACACCGCACGGUAUGAACCCAAAACGAAGCACUUCUCCCAUUGCAAGAAUUAUAGAUCAAGUUGGCCAAACGAAACCCAUAACUCGAAGAGAAUUACAAGGAUAUGAAAUUAUGCAUAUAAGAAAUCAGAGGAGACUCAAAUAAUAUUCAUAGAUAGUCUGAUCAUAAAUCCACAAUUCAUCGGAUCUCGACAAACACACCGCAAAAGAAAGUCAUCGGAUAGAUCUCCAUGAAGGUCAUGGAGAACUUUGUAUUGAAGAUCCAAGAGAGACAAUUAGCCAUCUAGCUACUAGCUAUGGACCUGAAGGUCUGUGGUGAACUACUCACGCAUCAUCGGAGAGGGAAUGGUGUUGAUGAAGAAGCCCUCCGUGUCCGAAUCCCCCUCCGGCAGGGCACCAGAACAAUCCCCAGAUGGGAUCUUGCGGAGACAGAAGCUUGCGGCGGCGGAAAAGUAUUUUCGUGGCUCCCUCUGGUGGUUUUGGAAUUUUUGGGCAUUUAUGGGCGAAAGAGGUAGGGUAGAGGAGGCAAGGGGGGCUCACGAGCCUGCUAGGCGCGCCCCCUAGGGCACGCCUAGGGGGCUCGUGACCUCCCACGAGACCUCCUGCCUUGGUUCUCAAGUCUUCUGGGUAUCUUCUGCUAUGGAAAAAAUCAUCCCGCAGGUUUUAUUCCGUUUGGACUCCGUUUAAUAUUCUUUUCUGAAAAGGGUCAAAAACACAGAAAAAACAGAAACUGGCACUAGGCACUGAGUUAAUAGGUUGGUCCCAAAAAUGAUAUAAAAUGGCAUAUAAAUGCAUGUAAAACAUCCCAAGUUGAUAAUAUAAUAGCAUGGAACAAUCAAAAAUUAUAGAUACGUUGGAGACGUAUCACAGUCCCGUUGGCGGGCACUCGGGCUUUCUAGCGACUUACAGGCGCAUCCGACGCCUCUUUGCACGAAGUAAGAUGAAAGCACAUAUCCUCCAAUACAUUCAUUGCUGUCAGGUGUGCCAACAAGCCAAGCCUAACCGUGCUGCGUCUCCAAGGCUUCUCUUACCAUUGCCCAUUCCAGACGAGUUAUGGGAAAUGAUAUCUAUGGACUUCGCCGACGGUCUUCCAUAGUCUAGUAAGAUUAACUUCUUGCUCGUUAUCGUGGACAAGUGCACCAAAUUCGCCUACUCCCUCCAUGUGGCUCAUCCAUACAUAGCAGCGUCUGUUUCUCAACUCUACUUGCAUCAAAUAUACAAGAUCCAUGGGCUGCCGGGGGCAAUCAUGUCGGUCAGGGACCUAGUUUUCACAAGUCAUUUGUGACAGGAACUAUUCUGUGGCGCGGGCACAGAACUCAGGAUGAUCACAACAAAUCACCCAGAUACUAAUGACCAAACAGAAUGCGCCAACCAAUGCAUCGAGACCUUUCUAUGCUGCUUCACACAGUCUUGUCCACAUCAAUGGAGUUUGAGGAUUCCACUGGCCCAAUUCUGGUACAACAACACCCACCACUUGGCCAUCGGGAUGAUUCCGUUCAAUGCUAUGUUUGGGUAUGAACCUCGCCAUUGGGGGCUCACAACUGCUACAGUUUGCUCGGUCCCAGCUCUUCAAUCCUAGCUGGAUGAGCGUGCUAGGGUCCAAAGCCUUCUUCAACAACACCUCAAUAGAGCUCAACAACUUACGAAGGAGCUGGCUGACAUGAAGUGUUCAUUCCAAACUUUCACAAACGGUGAGCAGGUCUUCCUCAAACUCCACCCAUACAUCCAGGCUUCGGUUGCACCGCGAGCGAAUCACAAGUUGGUCUUCAAGUUCUAUGGCCCAUUCCCAAUCAUCGACAAGAUCAACGACGUCGCAUACAAGCUCCAGCUACCACCACACGCUACCAUGCACCCGGUGUUUCACGUUUCACUCCUUCACCGAGACAUGCUCCCGGGUAUGAUAGUCGAACUUUAGCUCCCACAUUGCUCUCAUGAUCUUGAUGUUCCUAUUGCUAUCUUGCAAAGUCACUGGCAUAAGCACAAAUAUGGCGUUCACGAACAAGUCUAGAUACAGUGGUCAAACUCCGCUGCAUUGGGACCUACUUGGGAAGACAAGGCUAGCCUGUUCGCUCGCUUCCUGCAUGCAGAGGCUUGGGAGCAAGCCUCAUCCCAAGGGGAGGGGAUGUCAGCGUACCUGACAUGCAGGACCAACAUGGCAGCAAUGGCCACAACUCCAACGCUGCCCAACGACCCGUGCGGCCCAGACGUCCCUACCCACACUACCACGGGCCGGCGGGGGCUAGCUGAAGCUAGCCUCCUCCCUACUUGAAGCCACACACAUGAGAGAGAGACAUACAUCAAGUGGAUCACAAACCGGCGGAAGUGGCUACCCGUUCCUCCAUCUCAUCCCGAUCCCCUUCUCCAAUUCAUGUAUCCCCAUGCUUGUAAUGGCUACUGAGACUCGAAUUCAUGUGAGAUGAUAGAUCGAGUGAUAUUUUACCGGGUACCUAAGACCUAGAUGUCCAUAAGGUCUGCAAAGCCGAGGUUCCGGUGUUGGAGAACGUUGCAAGGGAAAUAAAAAAAUUCCUACGCACACGAAGACCUAUCAUGGUGAUGAUCAUCUAUGAGAGGGAGAUUGGAUCUACAUACCCUUGUAGAUUGCUAAGCGGGAAGCGUUAAGAAACGCGGUUGAUGUAGUGGAACGUCUUCUCAAUCCAAAUCGCCGCCGUCCCACGAUCCGUCCCGAUCUAGCACCGAAUGGAUGGCACCUCCGCGUUCAGCACACGUACAUCUCGAUGACGAUCUCCGCCUUCUUGAUCCAGCAAGAGAGAUGAAGAGGUAGCUGAAUUCUCUGACAACACGACGGCGUGGCGGUGAUGAUGGUGGAGCUACUCCAGCAGGGCUUCGCCGUGCCGUACCGAUCUAGCUAUGAUAUGUCAGGAAGUAGUGGAGGGAGAGAGGUUUGCACAAAGGCUUGAGGUGCAAAGACCUUCUCAAACCUCCACUAUAUAUAAGAGGAACCAAAGGGUGGCUGCCUUGCCUCCUACUCCAAGUAGGUGGGGUCGGCCAAGCCAAGGAGGAAGGUUUCCUCCUCCAAUUCAGUUUGGAGGAGGAGUCCUUUCCUUCUUGCCCACCUCCUCUCUCUUUUUGUUUCGUUCUUUUCCUUUAUUGUUGACUUAGCCGAAAUAGGCUUAUUGGGCUGACCUCACCAGCCCACUAAGGGCUGGUGUGCCACCCAUGGGCCUAUUAGGUUCUCUCCCGGGUGGGUGGCCCCUCCCGGUAAAACCCCGAAACCCAUUCGUCACUCCCGGUACUUUACCGGUAAUGCCCGAAAUCUUUCUGGAAGUCAAAUGCAACAAUCCUAUAUAUCAAUCUUCAUUUCUGGACCAUUCUGGAGACCCUUGUGAUGUCCGGGAUCUCAUCCGGGACUCCGAACAACAUUUGGUUACCAACAUCAAUAAUUCAACUAUUCCAAAAACGUCACCGAACCUUAAGUGUGCAAACCCUGCGGGUUCAAGAACUAUGUAGACAUGACCGAGACACUCUCUGGCCAAUAUCAAAUAACGGGACCUGGACGUCCAUAUUGGAUCCUACAUAUUCUACGAAGAUCUUAUCGGUUGAACCUCUAUGUCAAGGAUUCACGCAAUCCCGUAUACCAUUCACUUUGUCCUUCGGUAUGUUAUUUGCCCGAGAUUCGAUCGUCGGCAUCUCCAUACCUAUUUCAAUAUCGUUACCGGCAAGUCUCUUUACUUGUUCCGUAAUACACGAUCCCGUGACUAAAUCUUUAGUCACAUUGCUUGCAAGGCUUGUUUGUGAUGUUGUAUUACCGAGUAGGCCCCGAGAUACCUCUCCGUCACACGGAGUGACAAAUCCCAAUCUUGAUCCAUGCUAACUCAACGAACACCUUCGGAGAUGCCUGUAGAGUACCUCUAUAGUCACCUAGUAACGUUGCAAUGUUUGAUACACACAAGGCAUUCCUCCGGUGUCAGUGAGUUACAUGAUCUCAUGGUCAUAGGAAUGAAUACUUGACAUGCAGAAAACAAUAGCAACAAAAUGACACGAUCAUAUGCUACAUUUAUAGUUUGGGUCUUGUCCAUCACAUCAUUCUCCUAAUGAUGUGAUCCUGUCAUCAAGUAACAACACUUGUCUAUGGCUAGGAAACCUUAACCAUCCUUGACCAACAGGCUAGUCAACUAGAGACUUACUAGGGACAUUGUUUUGUCUAUAUAUCCACACAUGCAUUUAUGUUUUCAUUCAAUACAAUUGUAGCAUGGAUAAUAAAAGAUUAUCUUGAAGCAAGAAAUAUAAUAAUAACUAUUUUAUUAUUGCCUCUAGGGCAUAUUUCCGGCAGUCUUCCACUUGCACUAGAGUCUAUAAUCUAGCCUCACAUAUCCAUGUGACUUACAAUGUAAUUAAUCUAACACCCAUACAGUUUUGGUGUUGUUCAUGCUUUGCUCGUGGAAGAGGUUUAGUCAGCGGAUCUGCAACAUUCAGAUCCGUGUGCACUUUGGAAAUAUUUAUGUCCUCCUCCUUGAUGUAAUCGUGGAUGGCGUUGAAGCGUCGCUUUAUAUGCCUGAUCCUCUUGUGAAACCUUGGUCCAUUGGCUAGAGAAAUGACACCAGUGUUGUCACAGAACAGAUUGAUUGGAUCCAGUGCACUUGGGAUUACUCCAAGAUCUGACAUGAACUGCUUCAUCUAGACACCCUCCCUAGCCGCCUCUGAGGCAGCUAUGUACUCCGCUUCGCAUGUAGAAUCAGCUACAACGCUUUGCUUGGAACUGCACCAGCUUACCGCAUCCCGUUAAGAAUAAAUACGUAUCCAGUUUGCGACUUAGAGUCAUCCAGAUCAGUGUCAAAGCUUGCAUCAACAUAACCCUUUACGACGAGCUCUUCAUCACCUCCAUAAACGAGAAACAUUUCCUUAGUCCUUUUCAGGUACUUCAGAGUAUUCUUGACCAUAGCCAGUGUUCCACUCCUGGAUCACUUUGAAACCUGCUUGCCAUACUUAUGGCCAGGCUGACAUCCGGUCUUGUGCACAACAUUGCAUACAUGAUAGACCCUAUGGCUGAAUCAUAGGGGACGACACUCAUCUUUUCUCUAUCUUCUGCAGUUACUGGACAUUGAUUCAUACUCAAUUUUAUACCUUUUAACACAGGCAAGAACCCCUUCUUGAAUUGUUCCAUUUUUAACUUCUUCAAAACUUUACCAAGGUAUAUGCUUUGUGAAAGAGCUAUUAGGCGUCUCGACCUAUCUCUAUAGAUCUUUAUGCCCAAUAUGUAAGGAACUUCUCCUAGGUCUUUCAUUGAAAAACUUUUAUUCAAGUAAUUAUUUACGCUUUCCAAAAACUCCACAUUGUUUCCAAUCAGCAAUAUGUCAUCCACAUAUGAUAUUAGAAACGUUAUAGAGAUCCCACUCACUUUCUUGUAAAUACAAGCUCCUUCAAAAACUUGUAUAAACCCAAACGCCUUGAUCACCUCAUCAAAGCGCUUAUUCCAAUUCCGAGAUACUUGCACCAGUCCAUAAAUGGAUCGCUGGAGCUUGCACACCUUGUCAACAUUCUCUGGAUCGACAAAACCUUCGGGUUACAUAAUAUACAACUCUUCCUUAAGAAAUCCGUUAAGGAAUGNNNNNNNNNNNNNNNNNNNNNNNNNNGAAUGCCGUUUUGACAUCCAUCUGCCAUAUUUCAUAAUCGAAAAGUGCAGCUAUUGCUAACAUGAUUCAGACGGACUUAAGCAUCGCUACGGGUGAGAAUGUCUCAUCGUAGUCAACUGCUUGAACUUGUGAAAAACCCUUUGCCACAAGUAGACGUUUAUAAACGGUCACAUUACCGUCCGCGUCCGUCUUCUUCUUAAAGAUCCAUUUGUUCUGAAUAGCCUUGCGACCUUCAGGUAAUACUUCUAAAGUCCAUACUUUGUUUUCAUACAUAGAUCCUAUCUCAGAUUUCAUGGCUUCUAACCAUGUGUUGGAAUCUGGGCCCACCAUUGCUUCUCCAUAAUUCACAGGAUCAUUGUUGUCCAACAACAUGAUUGACAAGACAUGAUUCAUGUACCACUCAGGAGCAGUACGUGCUCUUGUCGACAUGCGAGGUCCGACAGUAACUUGAUCUGAAGCUUCAUGGUCAUCAUCAUUAGCUUCCUCUUCAACUGGUGUUGCCUCGACAGAAAUUUCUUUCUACCCUGCACCACCAUCUUGUUGAAGCAGAGGUUCCGCAACCUCAUCAAGUCCUAUCUUCCUCCCACUCAAUUCUUUCGAGAGAAACUCUUUCUCAAGAAAAGCUCCGUUCUUAGCGACAAACACUUUGCACUUGGAUCUAAGAUAGAAGGUAUACCCAACUGUCUCUUUUGGGUAACAUAUGAAGUCACACUUUUCCACUUUGGGUUCCAUCUUUUCGGGCUGAAGAUUUUUGACAUAAGCAUCACAUCCCCAAACUUUAAGAAACGACAACUUUGGCUUCUUGCCAUACCAUAGCUCAUAUGGUGUCGUCUCAACGGAUUUUGAUGGUGCCAUAUUUAAAGUGAACGAAGUUGUCUCCAAUGCAUAACCCCAAAAUGAUAAUGGCAAAUUUCUAAGAGAUAUCAUAGAUUACACCAUAUCUCUACUAUUAAAGGAGGAUCUGUCGUCGUCGUGAUGGUUCGACUGACAGAUCCCCUCGCUAGCACUUGCGUUCCACCGAUUUUUUUCCCACUGUUUUUCCCCAUCCCUCCAAAAAUCAAUCCCCAUCCCCAUCCCUCCAAAAACCAAACCGAAUUUUUUCUCCCCGUCCAAAAACCAAUCCGGUACCUCCCCACCUCGUGGUCAUCCCCACCUCGUAGUUAAAACAAAACAGUUGAAUCAAACACACCCACGCACGCACGCCUCGUCCAUAGUUGAUUACAAUAUCACCCACGCACGCAUGCCUCCCUCGCCUGAUCGCCGUUCGCCUGCCUGGCCUGGUCGUCGUUCGCCGCCAUCGCCUCCCUCGCUUGGUCGCCGCUCGCCUCCCUGGUCGCCGUUCGUGGUGCUCGUUCUUGGGCCUUGCCGGUAGCCGUUCGUCGCCAUCGCCUGCCUCGCCUGAUCGCCGUUCGCAGGCCUCGCCUGGUCGCCGUUCGUGCUGCUCGUUCUUGGGCCUCGCCUGGUCGCCAUUCGCCUCCCUCGCCUGAUCGCCGUUCGCCGCAGCAGAGGAGCACCUUCUCGCGCCUUGUGCUGCCUCCCUCGUCAUCUCGUCCUCGUCUUCAAACUAUCCCUGGAGAAGAGCACCUUGCCUCGCCUGAUGCAUGCUGUGGGUUUGAUGGCAGAAGGUUUGUUGGAUUUAUAACUUUAUAUAUGAACGGAAAAACAAAUCCCUACUGUUAUAAACAACUCUUCUCCUUUUUAUUUGAAGUUCCCUGACAUAAUGAAGAAAUCCCUACUGUUACAUCAAGGUAUCCUUACAUGUAUGAAGAAAACAUAUAGGUGGACCAUCUGUCCCUCUUACGAAUAGUGUCAUGCUAGAUACUUACAGGAUUCCUAUAGUACAGAUUUCUUCAACUCAUGGUGAUUACAACCUUUGAUCUACAACAUUUGUAUAAGCUGAUAGCAGCUGAGUGAAAAUUUAAAAAUAAAUAAGCACUGCCAACAUGAGAUGGAAGGAACUCCAGCAUGUCAAGAAGCUGUAGAUUUAAAAACUUAAUUUAUAGGGGUUGAUUAUUUGAUUACCGUGUUGACUUACUAAUGCUUCCGAUGCCUAUCCUGAAUUUAAGAGGAACCUUAAAGGAUCGGCAAAACUUUAGCAUGAGCAACAUUAAUAAAUAGACAAUCAUGACAACAGGAGCUACAAUAGAGGCAUAUUUGGAUAAUACUUUCAAAUUGCCAAGUCACAGGUAGAUGAAUAUAUACGCAUCUUCAGGAAAGGAAAACAUUACUAUGACUUAGUAAGGAACACAUUACUAUCUCUUAGUAAGGAAAACAUUACUAUCUCUUAGUAAGGAAAACAUUACUAUGACUGAGAAUAUCAUCUCUACCUAAACCUUGCUCCGAGCAGUACCAGAAGAAGACCAAGCAUACAACAAAGCAAAUUUGACGUACCAACACUAGGAGACUCAGAUUUCUCUGCAUUUACAGCAGGUUGGCUGUUGAUGGUAAGGAAACCCUUUGAGUUCAUCUUCACCAACUGAUCAUCAAUUGUAGUUGUCUCGGGUUGAAGACCAUCUAACUCAGACCAUGGGCUGCUUUUAAGUUUUCCUUCACAGAAGUUUACGAACCACUGUAGGUGAGAAAGGUGGGUUAGCAAAAACAUUGACACUUUGAAAUUGUUUGUAUGGCAUACAUUGCAAUAGUAUACUAUCAUGUAGUUCAAGAGUUACCUCAUUAAUGUCUUGCACAGAUUUCAGUGGAACAGCCCAUUCCUCUUGGAGCUUCUUACCACGCCCAUGUGGCCAUGUGAACUGUGAAAGAGUGGAUAUGUUAUCACAUACAACUAUAACUUUAUGAAAUUUAAAUCAAAAAAAAGCAGGUCCACUACUAUAGGUAAUCUUUGCAACAGUGAAUAGCCAAUGCCCAACAACUGAAUUAUGUUGCAUGGGAAGAUGAUUUAAUUGGCACUAAGAAACAGAUAAAUGUUUCUUUUCGUAGAAAACUAAUAGACAGAGCCCAUCAAGAAGAGUGUUGGGCAUACAAUAUUUUCUGCUGNNNNUUUUGUGCAUUCAAUAUUUUCUGCUGAACCAAUAUUUCUGGAUCUUAUGUAAAUGCUCACUUUCAACUAUAUUUCUUUCUGGAAGAUAGAGUCUACAAGUUAUGAAGAUGUUGCAUGCAGUGUCUGUGCAAAACUGUUUAUGAAUACAAUAAUUAUAGAUUCAAACAACAAGACAAUGAAAUUAUCUCGUGGUCAUUAAGGGCUCCGUAUGAUGGGUUCCUGGAAUCACCCCACCGCCCCUGUGGGUAUUGAUCCCAACCAGUGGUCCUUCAAAUGUAACUCUUUGGUCUGUUGGCCCUGCUCACUUAUAUCAAAGACAAGAUUGAAUGAGCAUAUGUGUGGUACUAAUAGUCAAUCAGCUUUCACAAAGAAAAAAUCAGAAAAAAAUUUACCAGAAUAUAGGACGAACAUCCUCUUUGACACGGAAAACAUUAGUUGGUGCCCUCCAAGGUAAUGUUCUUGAAAUCUUGGAUUCCUCUAUUAAUCCAAGAUUCUGGAGAAACAAUAGUUAGCUGUUAGAAACUCGUCAGAGCAAAAAAUUAAACCAAGCAAGACAAGGAAAUCACCAUCAUAAUUGCUAAAGCGGUCUUUUCCAUGUUUAGUGUGUAAAGGUGCAAAGUCUUGAGGCGCGAGUGUUUUGGACUUCAGCGGCAUGAUCCAAACCGGUUUAAGGGACACACCAUCGCACUAUAGAAAAGCAGAUCACACGAACACACACAAGAGGUGAAUCGAACCUGUGGAUAGGAGAUGAUGCUCUUAGGUGCUACCAUUCUGGCUUGAGUUUUAUUGUCAUCUCAGCAUCAGCAAGUGCCUUAUUAAGCUUAACCAGCUGCAGAAAUGCAGCAGCUCGGUUGCUGGCAGUGAUUUAAAUAAAAAGGAUAUCAGAACUUGCCAAAAAGUUUAUUUCAAUAAAAAGGAAUACAUCACAAAUCUCCAACUUAAUGCCUACUUUUUACUACUUGAAAGCCGGCUUGGUUCUCAGACCUUUUUUUUAGGUUUUAGAUCAAUUAAUUCGACACCUGCUUUGAAAGGGAGAGGCCUGAUUUGAAAGGAAUUUUUGGAUCAGGAGCGGGGAUCAAACGUGCAAACUGGAGUACAGCCUGGUUCGUCCAUUAUUUUGGUUUAACAUUUACAUUAUGUCGCUCUCUUAUUUAAAUGAGAUUAACCCUGGAAUUGGAAACUAGGAUAUGUCCUCCACUAAACAAUAACUAUGGUCGAUUCAGACAUCAUUUUUCCAUUGCCAAUCGCGAUGAUUAGGAUACAUACAAAGUUUUCAUUGAAAAAGGUAUAUAAAGUCUACGGUAGAAACAGGGAUGCUGAGUGUGAUAAAUCUUUAGAAUAAAGGGGCGAGGGGAGAACAGGCUGGUUCAAUUGGCAGAAACUAUCAACACCUCCCAAGUUUCAGCAAUUCAUAUGGUGCCUACCUCAUAGCAGCCUGCUGCUACCAAUGAAUAUUCAAACAAACCUAGUUUUAACAAAAGGGAUGUGUUUCAUCAACAAAACUCUGAUCUUUCCCGUAACACCAUUAACAAAUAAGAACAAAUGCAUACUAUUACUGUUAGAGUUGUGUCGAAUAUUCUUGUACAAGAUAGGUUACAGUUGGACUCUGAGUAGUAUUGUGUUUAGACAGGAUAUGGAGUCGUGUCCUGAUAGGACACUUGUAUCCUAGGCCUCUCAUAUAUAACGGGGGUAGACACACGAUGUAACCUAUGCCAACAUAAUAGCACAAGCGUGCAGGGGGAGCCGGCGGUGUGUGCCGGCGCCCGGGUGGCCAGCGUGCGGUAUUGUGACGGUGUCACAGGGAGGAGCGCCCGUAGUCAGGCCCCGGGGAUGUAGCCAUAUCGGUGAACCUCGUUAACAAAUCUCGGUGUCGUGCUCGUGUGAUUGCUUGGUCCUAGGUAGAUCAACGAAUUGCCUCGGAUUAUUCUAACAAGUGGUAUCAUGAGCAAGGUUGCAAUAUCCGCGAGACGAGGGAAUUGAUCUAGAGGAAGAAUUGAUGUUGUGAUCGAUGGUGUGUGCAUGAGAAGUCGCCGACGCGGCAUAUGCAGACGCAAGGCGAUCGGGAUACAUCUAAACUCAAGAAGCAAUCCGAAGGCAUGGCAGCGUGCAGCCCUGUGCGAGGGAAGCAGCGUACAGUGUACAACGGAAGACCUCGGUGUGCACCGGAAGUCUCGACGAGAUCGAUAGAAGCGGCAGCCGCAUAUCGUGCAAGCAGAAGGCAGAUCGAUGGGUGCGGCGCCUGGAACCGGCCAGGUUCAGUGCGUGUUGGCAUAACAAUCGUGAGGCCUAGCAAUGCGCACGUGGUUUCUUGUAGCAGUCGGAUCGAUCACGAGGCAGCAUGGCCAGCUGGUGGAAGGCCGGCUACAUGGCCAAGGGCAACAGGGGGCCGAGGUGAAGUCACGCCUGGUGCUCAGCGCACGGCUACUUGCCGGGAAGUUGCGAGCUGGACGUGCAUGUACUGGAGAUUUGUUUGUGAAAAAAAGACAGCCUGCAGCAUCUGGUAUUUAAGUGGCAUGGGACAGCACCAUGGUUGGAGAAAAAGAGCCUUGGGAGUUGUGUGGCACAUAGUGCACGCAUGAAAGCUAUCGGGAACAUUGUUUUUCAAAGGUGUUGCUAAUUACAAGUAUGGUUCUACUAGAAGGUUGGCAGGUUUGUGAUGUGCGCAUAAGGCUUGAGGAGCCUGGAGUGCAUGUGCAAGGAUCAUGUAAACACAGGGCGUCAAGCAAUGCAUGGAGAUGUGCGGUGGGCACGACGCAAGGUGGAGCAUGGUUGCAGUCGAAUAUUUUUGGUUGGGUCGGACUGGACAGUCUGACGGAUCGACGGCGAUGUCGGUCAAAGCAGAAGACGGCGGUGAUUUCAGCGACGACAACAUAGGAGAGUGAUGCUGAUGGUGGCCAACUUCUGGGAUGUGGAAACACGUGGUGCAGGUCUGAGGGCUUGUGCAGCUUCAAACGACUAUGACACAGGGUUGAUUCAAGGCAGUGCACACAUGAGAGCUUGAAGUCGACAGGGCGCGGGGUAGCAGGGCCAGCUACAUGGAGUCAUGUUGAAGGUGGAGCUGGAGUCUAGUGGAAGAUUUCACUCUGUGCUGAUGGAGGGGCUACGACGUAAAUGGAUGGAGAGUCGAAGCCUAUUUCAGCGGGUAGCGAGAGACACGUGGAUCGGACUAGGUACCAGUGGUCUGAUGGAGACAUGAUACUCGGCAUCAGUCGGUGAUGACCGGUGGUUCUCUGCAGUGGGGGUUGAGUGGUGUGGGUUCGCUGCCUUGGAGACUCGACCAGGACAGCAGAGGCUCGACGCGGUGAUAGCGGCGAGGCGUGCGAUAAGCAUGGGACACAGCGACAGACCAAGGCACUGGUGGUCAGACAUGUGGUCAGACAAAAUUGUGCAAAGGGUGCUGAAGCAGUGUUGGCGAGUAUCGGAUUCAAGUUGAUGACUGGGUCUAUCGGUGCCGGUUUGAUGGACGGGAGUUGACCAUGGAGAAUCUGAGAAAGUGACGGAAAGUCUGAAUUAUCAUAAGCGGAGAGAGUACAUGGCCGCAUAUGAUGUGGUGUUUAGUGCACAUGGGAAGCUGCAUAUGACAAGUACAGAAGAAGGCGGAGUGCUAUAGCUUUGGGACAUGUCAGAGACUAUCCGGGAAAAGGAUGAGACAAGUGCGAAUUUGACUCCGGGGUGACACAAGACGACGGUGAAAUUCCUUCAAUUUUCAGAUAGACGGUCAAGGAAGAGAGAAGAUGUUGAGUUCAGAUAACUCUUAUACGUGGCAUCAAAUAUGUGGGUUGUUCACUUUCAUGCAGGUCAGUGAUCAGUGUGUGAUGGCGUUGAAUGGAUACUCCGGAAGUUGAAAGCACAAAGUAGAGUAAUAAGGAACUUAACUUUGCUCGAGGGUUGACUGUGAAGAAGACGAGAAGGGACUACAGUUGCAGGUGGAGUCACAUGGAGUCUGGGAGUAGCAGUGGUGCUCAUGGCGUAUCUCAAGUCCAAUGUACAUGGAAGUUUGACGCAUGGAUGAACUCAAAGAGGUGGAGAUUAUUCGCCAAGGUGGAGUUUGUUAGAGUUGUGUCGAAUAUUCUUGUACAAGAUAGGUUACAGUUGGACUCUGAGUAGUAUUGUGUUUAGACAGGAUAUGGAGUCGUGUCCUGAUAGGACACUUGUAUCCUAGGCCUCUCAUAUAUAACGGGGGUAGACACACGAUGUAACCUAUGCCAACAUAAUAGCACAAGCGUGCAGGGGGAGCCGGCGGUGUGUGCCGGCGCCCGGGUGGCCAGCGUGCGGUAUUGUGACGGUGUCACAGGGAGGAGCGCCCGUAGUCAGGCCCCGGGGAUGUAGCCAUAUCGGUGAACCUCGUUAACAAAUCUCAGUGUCGUGCUCGUGUGAUUGCUUGGUCCUCGGUAGAUCAACGAAUUGCCUCGGAUUAUUCUAACAAUUACUUUGAUGCUGCACUUAUUUUUUAGUGUGCGGAUAGGCAUGAGAAGCAAACAAACAGGAUAGUGCGAGACUCGUUACGAUUCAAAGUAAGAUAAGUGAGUUAGGUGACACACCUGAUUAGGACUUCAGAUAGAGAAAAAAUAACAAUACCUUGUGGAUAGCAAAUCAUAGCAUCCAUGUUGCUUAGUAUCUGAUUUAUUUUGGAGGAGAUUAAUUUUCUAUCAAUUCUCACAAGAAAUUCUUAACAUGAGCCAAACGUGGGACUGGGAGGGAGGUUUUUCUUAUGGUUAUGUGCACUGCCAUUUUUUGCAUGGUUCUAAUUGUCCUAUAAUGUUAUUCUAUCUGAUCCAACCUAAUUGACACAACCUCGAAGGAGUAGCAAUAAUAUACCUUGGUUCAUCCGUAAAUUUAAUUGGAAACAAAUACUAAAUGCCUUUCUCUUUUCCUUUUUGUCUUAUGUUUUUGAUAUGUAGGAAUAGAUGCUUUAUUAGCUGCUGGUAAGAACACUGGUCCCUUCUAAAGUGAUGUACAAAGUCAAGAUAUUUUGAGGCUCGCAUAUAAGAAAGUAGAGAUGUCACCUAUUAAAGUCAUGGAAAAACUUCCUCAACCCUGUCAGGAGCUGUAUACUUAGUGCUGGGAUUGGCCUUUGCAAGCCGUUUAAUUUGGAAUCUGUAUCAAGCUUGUGAAGUAACACGACACCCCAUUUUCUCUGGCAGGUUAUCUACUUCACCGACCCCAUGGACCGUGCAUC
This 91765-nucleotide long non-coding RNA is filed under the name Hordeum vulgare. Its description in RNAcentral is "long non-coding RNA (HVUL_LNC012055)". The record is from RNAcentral. Lineage: Eukaryota; Viridiplantae; Streptophyta; Magnoliopsida; Poales; Poaceae.